UUUUUUUUUUUUGGUAGAAGAGAAACAUUUUUGUUUACAUGAAAAAAUUGGCUACUCAAAGCUUCAUCCUUUGAUAUCUACAUGGAAUUGUUUUUAUGCUUAUCUAGGAUCAUGGGUUAGCCUAAAUAACCAUCACUAGGAGUGCAAAGUCUUUGUUCUACAAAUUUUGCAUAAGAAUGAUUUCUUAGAGAACAAAGUGGAUGGCAUCAAAUAAUUUCAUAGAGUUGAUUGCAUAUGGAGCAGAUGAAGUUAUAACCAUUUCUUUGAUUUCUUAUACACAAUCCAUUUUAAUCAAAGAGGUUCAAUGAGUGUUGAUAAGGUGUCAAGUUAUUUCAAGCCAAAAUUUAUUUUCUUUUCUUGGUGUUUUGGUAACCUAUAAUGAACAAUAUUUAUUAUUUUUCAUUUUCUUAAAAAAUCUUAGCCAACAACACUUUGGAUUUUUUUUAAAAAAAUUUACCUAUCCUUACAUGGUAUGAAACAUGUUUGCACUGAAAUAUGGAGAACCUAUUAUAAUAGCCAAGUUUUCUUUUAGGAUUGUUGGGCCAGCAUGAAGAAGCCUGGUCCCACUGGAGCACGGGUGCCAUGUAUAUAAGGGGUAGAGAAAGAAGACUUCGAUUGGGAGUCUUCUUUCUCUUUGACACCAGCAAACUCCGAGGGUCUUGAGACAAGCCAAACUUUUCUAAAACCCUAGGAUCUCAUUUAUUUAAGGGUCUCCUCCUCCUCUUACAAACUCCAUCAUCAAUUUCUUGAGAGAUCGCCGUCCAUUCCAAGCUUUCUUUUUUGGAAUACUUCUUUGGAUUUCCAUCGAAGAAGUCGUCGAACUAUUUCAUUGGACCAAAAUAGUCGCCUCAUGCGUCUUCCUCUUUCUUUUUUUGAUUUUCUAGACGUUGCCACCUUGAUUUGAGCCGAUGAAUCAUCGGGAUUCCAUUUGAAACAGAGGUGUCCUAUUUUGGCCCCUUUCUUCACCGUCUUCUAGGAUCUCUAAGGUUGUGUGACCAUCAAUUAGGGAGAUAGCCAUGAUCUAGGCCGAGUUUGAUGCAUUUGUUUUGUGAUGAUCUUUCUCUCCUUUUCGCUUGCCGACCACCAUUGUUGGUGAUGCUAUUGCUGAAGGCCGCCUUUGCCCGCCACUAUCUGAGCCAGGCCAUCUUUGGUUGCUGCUGGCUAGAUCGCCCUGAUUUUCUUCCAUCUUGAGGAAGAGAGAGAGAGAGAGAGCUCCCAUAGCGCCUCUUGUUUUCUCUCUAUUCUCUCUCUUUUCCUCUCUUCUCUCUUCCUUUCCCUCUCUUCCCUUUCUUCCUUCUUUCUCUUUCAUUCUUUCUUUCUCUCUCUUUUCUCUCCCUAGUUGACCAGAGUGACUGGUAGUAAGAAUUCAAGGGAUCUAGUGAUGGACCCCUAGUGGACACUAGUAGAAGGUCCAGGCUACGAGUCCACUAUGUAAUUUUUCUUUUGAUGAUGGAGUUUGGUUUUGUAAAGGAGAGUUGUCUAUGCAAGAAGGUUUUGAGCGGAGUACUUUGCACCCCAGUUUGUAGAUUGUAAAAUGGAUCAGUGGUUAUUGUAUUUGAGUUUGUCUUCAGUAUAUAUAAGAAUUCCUGCACUUGAUUACUAGUAUAUAUAUACAUAUUUAUUGAUUUGUACCACCAUAUUUACAUCAUGAGAUUUGUGUCUAUGGAUUUGAUUUUACAUGAGAUGAUAAGUUUUAUAUGAUUUCUGGUAUGGACAUACUUCUGUGUUUAUUAUAUAUGGAUAUCAAAUAUUGAAGAUAUGACUAUAUGAGCUAUGAUAAUAGUUACCUCGAAAUUAUGAAGAAUACACAAUUUAAUUAGAAUUGAUUUGACAAAGAUGACAUAUAAAAUCUGAUUGCUAAGAAGUGGUUUGGACUAAACUAGCCAUGGGAUAGCUUUCACGAGCUUAUAUAUGGGAGUAGCCUCCACGAGCUUACGCGUGGGAUAGCUUCUAGGGCUUACGCGUGGUUACUUUGUUUAUCAGUCUUGGACUAGGACAUGAACUUGGUUAGUCCAAAGUCAGAAAAAUAUUUGUUAUGGAACAUAGUAUUAAGAUAAUGAGAAAUGGAUGACAUGACAUACGAAACUGUUAUUGAAUAAUUAGAUAAACUUGAUGUGUAUAUAUAGAUAAUAUCUUUUUAUAAGUUGAAUACUGAUGACAUAUGUGCAUCUUAUUUUGAAUAAGCUUUCCGAAUAUGGUUAUGAUAAUUAUUUUAUCUAGUAUUAUUUAUCUGAUUAUUUUUAUUAUUAUAUUAUUUUUGGUAUGGCGAUUGGAGCUUUCUUACUAGGCUGGAUAAGCUCAUAUUCAUCUUCUAUAAUUUUUUUUAGAGUCACAUGAUACAGUUUCAGAUGGGUGGGGCAUGUAGUUCAAGCUUUACAGUUAUUAGUUAGUUAGUUAGUUUAUCCUACUUUCUAACAUCGUUGAAUAUUUAAAAAUUUUGUAAUUGAACAAAUUAGUUAUUUGAUCAUAGUAGUUUUAUUUAGUUGGAUUAAUUGACUAUUAUUUAUUGAUUUAAAUUUCUAGAAUUAUUUAAAAAUUAUUCAUCUUAGGUCGUGCAUGAUCUCUAGGGCAUUGUUUUAGGGAUUACGGGGCAUGACACCUAAGCACAACCACUAUUUUUUUUAACAAUAAGAUGGAUAAAAGCUUGGGUAAGGACUGAAGUGAGGGCAAUAAGCUCCGAUGGAAGAGGUGCCAAUGAACUUAGCUAAUAGGCUAUUUCAUUGCUUGCAAUUAAUAGGUUGUACUUGAGUUGGUUGUAAUUGAAUAGUAGGCACCCAAAAAACAGUAUCAUAUAAUAAUAAUAAUUAUAAUAAUAAUAAUAAUAAUAAUAAUAAUAGAAAUAUUAUAAUAAUGUUUAACAUUAUAUUAUAAUAUUAUUAUAUGUUAACAUCAUAAUAUGUUACUACAUUAUAUUAUUAUUAUGGUAUUAUAAUUACUAUAAUAUUAUAAUAAAAUUAUAACAUAUAAUAAUAAGUACAAAUACAUAUAAUAAAUAAUAUAUAAUAAUUAUUAAUUACUAUAAUGUAUAUGAUAAAUAAUAUGUUUGGUUACUAUAUUAUCGAAUUAUUUUGUAUUCAUACAAUUAAUAUAGUAAUCAUUCUUGCACCGAUCUAAUAUAAUUUAAUAGCAAUAUUAUUCUUCUAUUAUAAUUAUAAAAAUAAUAUGAUAAAUAUUAUAGUGUAAUAGAAAACCCGAAAAAUUUAUUGUUUCCAAGAGAGGUAACCUUGCCAACUCAAUUACAAUUAAUAGAACCCUCUAUCUUUCUACAUCAAGCUAGCAACCAAAAAGCUAUGAUUAUAUUUGCGGUUUUCAAUUAUGAACAACUAAAUAAGGCCUCUAUCUCUAACCUCAAGCAAUUGAAUUGCAGCUUGUAGCUGAAUUGCAUGCAAAUUGCAAACAACGAAGCAAUCCCUAGCAGUUGUUGGGUAACAUACCCAUCUUUUGCAUCCACAUAAAAAAUUUACCGAGUUAGCCAAUUGGCACCCUUGAUAUGCAUGACCACAGGUACAGAUGUCUCACUACCCACCUAUUGCUUUUUAAAAAAACCUUUGAAAUCAUCCAAUUCCAUCAAAUUAGCUCAACUAAUUUUGACCCUGUCUUCUUCUUUUUUUUUGUUAGAAAUUUGGACCCUGUAGGCUCGUCCUCGUAUUAACUAGUCAAAGAUGGAAUCACGCCACAUAGUGUUCCAUUAUUCUAACUGAAUGAACUUAGUCCUCCCUUCAUCGGAGACUGUUCGCUCGCAAGUCCAUCUACAAAAUAUUCGGUCUCUUGCAACGCGCAGACCAGUCUAAAUUUGGAAGUCAAAAAGAUUAGUGCAGGAACAAAUUUCAAAGGUGGAAAAAGAAACAAUGGUAUCCGCCAAAAAGAAAAAGAGCCAGUAACUGGCUAUGCUCAUGCCAGAGCUAUGAGAGUAGCCGAUUUAUUAAAAAAAAUAAUGGCAAACCAAACACAAAUCUGGGCCAUAGGAUAUGCCGAGCCCGACUGACGGAAUAGACCAUCAAUCGGAUGCCGACAGCCGGCGAUUCCCGCCAUCCUCUCGGCUGCCCCCGUCCGAUCUAUGGACCCCUCCAAAUACACCAAACUCAACUACGUUGCUAUCGGAAUAUCUUUGGAUUCUCGACGCCCCAGCAGUCCAUGUUGACGCCUCACCGGUCCAAUUAGAUUCCUCCUCGCCACCCACGUUGCUCUUCUGGACCACACAUUGUAUCGUAUAAUGUACACCGUUAAAAGCUCGUGGCCCACCAUACAUUGUGCCGUGGUCCGUUGAUCCGUGAAAUUAUACCCUACACCAUGUCCACCAACCCAAUCAUACACCUUGUUCAGUGUAAGGUUGUCCCGGAUUGGACAAUUUAUUAGAUGGACAAGGUUCAAUAGACUAGUCUAAUAGCCACUCGCCGGACUUUCGUAUUUAAACAAUUCAAGAUCAAAUAGAGAUGAAAAUUCAUCGUCAUGUUCUCCACCGUAUACGUCCGACCGGUCCACUAGAUAUGUCCAUCUGAUAACUUUUUCUCGAAUUGUCGCCGCCUCAUCUCAUCUCGAAUUAUUUCUGUGGUGCAACAUUCGCCCGAUGCACGUGGUACAGGAUAUAAUUCCUCCAUCGAUCCGGACCUUCUGAUCAGUGGGGCCCUCCCCAGAAGUGCACCAGCUGUCCAAGAUGGGCUUGAUUCGUGUGUACAUGGGAGAGGCCCGUGUAUGCCUACGGAAGUGGUCCAAACUACGACUUUCUUCCACCUCCGGGCUCACCAAAAGAAGGAUGAGACAUGGACAGGGGCAUUAGGACCACCGUUAAUUUCCGACGGUCGCCGUCGAGCUUAUUUGUAAAGGAUAUGAUCAUUGCCUGCAUUAUUGACAUUGCAUGAUCGAUCAGAAUGUAGCACCAGGGUUGUCGACCUUCUUGAGGCGAAGGAGAAGGUUGCAUCUUGUAGUGAAUUGUUCAUGGGGAUGGCAUAGUGACUGAGAAACAAAGGGCGACUGAGAUCUCUAAUUAAUUUUAGUAGAUGGUUAACCAGUGGGAGGUUAACUUGCAAAGCAUCGAUCCUCUCUUCUUUUAGACCUUCAGGGAUAGCUAGCUGAUGCACCAACAUGGAAACUCACCUUCUCAGUGGUGCCGGAAAUAGUUGAGGUAUUCCUAUAGCGUAUUUGGUCUACCAUUAAGACUGUUCUUAACUUGAGAGCAUUGCCACUCAAGCUACAUAUGCUUUGGGCUUCUUGGAGAAGGAAGAAAUGGCAGCCAUUCAGUAGAAGAGCAUGGGAUCAGUAAUUGAUUGCUGUUAGUUGAAAAAUUUAGUUCGGACAGAGUGCAAGAGUCCUCCUAACAAAGAAAAGUUAUAUCUUUAUAUAUAGUUCUUCAAAAGGCGUCCGAGACCUUUCAUAAUUGGGAGAAUCUUUAUAAUGACAAGGUGAUUGAUGGUUGUAGAAGGAUUUGGAGCUCUUAUCAUUUUUGAUGCCUUCUAGUGCUCGCUAGCUCAACUCAUACUUGUAACGUCUCCCUUUGGAACAACUCAUACCCGUAACAUCUUUCUUUACAUAUAAUUUGUGCAGUAUUUCUCUUUAUUAAUAAAGCAGGGAGAAGUGUCUCGCUUCCUCCAUUACACAUCAACCGAUGGGAAGUUGAAAUGCUUGAGGAAGCCACUGUUUCAUGAUCAUGGCAGGAGUAUGUCAUCUCGAUCACUGCAUGGGAUAGCCAUGCAUAAAAUUGAUUGAGACGGGGAGGCUUUGGUUAGCGUCGCGUCAUUUUGAUGAUCUAAAUUAGGUUCGAGUGCUCACGUCACCAUUUUGACGGAUCCAGAAAUAUCCACGUCUCAUUCACCAUGAUAUUUGAUGCGAGCAACCAUGUACAUACAUCACACGAAUGGGAACAUCGAUGCACCACGUAUUUCAUAUAUCUUGAUGCAUGAAGCGAUGCCACUUUCCACCAAGAUGGUAGCAUAGUUGAAACAUGGCUUUGCUUCUACCGGCACGGUCUAGGUUCGAAACGCGCGAGCGUCGAUUAAAUGUUGAGGACCGUAUGCUUCCCAUCUGGACAUGUUCAGUGGGAACACUAUCUGGUUCAGCUAGCACCGAGGUGGCGCUGGGGUAACAUACUCACACGUGGGUGACCCACAGGUCGGAAAAGGUAUAAGCAAAAUUUCUCUCCGCAUCGAACAUUCUCUGGUAGAAAAGAGGCCCAGUGGAGACUGGUACGCACUAAAGCAUCCACUCGCAUGAAAUUUUUGAGUUAAUCAUGGAUGGAUGACUACCACAGCGGUCAAGGACCAUCUUAUUCAUGCAUAUGGUAAUGGGGUAAUGGGGCCACAAGACGAACAGUGUUAAUUAAGCUAGAUUGAGAAACCAGGCUAUAUGACACGGUAGUUGCAUCAGUUGUAUCCCUCCUCAUGUGAGAAGGGGUUUUGGGUCUGAAUUUUGGAAGCCCUUUUGUCGGUGCCAUACAACUAGCAUAGUCGGUAAAGUCUUUGGACCACUGUAUCCAAUGUAGACCAGCUGAACAGGAGCCGUGUAAGGACUCAUGUGGGCGUGUAUUUAGUCUCACAUCGGUAAUUCACCAAAGAGAUUCUAGAUACUUAUAUAGGACUAAGGAACCCAAAUAAUACAUUUCAUCUAGCCAUUUUAGGUGAGGCUCUGAAUUGUUACAAAUGACAUCAGAGCAGAUCCAGCCUAUAAUCUAUGUAAUUAGGGGACACUGCAGCACGGUUCUAUUGAGGCUGACCAUAGGCCGAUCGUGGUAUGUUUAGUCUCGUAUCGGUUAUUCGCUCGGUAAAAUUUUUAGAUUUAUAGAGAAUCAAGGAACCCAAAUAAUACCUUCCAACUAGUCAUUUUAGGUGAAGUUCUGGAUUGUUACAAGUCGGAUCAGAUCUGUAUAAAAUUUUAUAUUUUGUACGCCUUUCUUUAACCAAUACCUGAUUUUGAAUAUUGCCUGCAACUGGAUGGUUAGGCAUGGAUAAUCCCUUCAAUUUUAACAAAAAGAAAUAAAUAAAAAUGAUAGUGCUCCUUCUUCCAUACCUAACUUAUGCGAUUAUUCUAGUAGGAAGUCCAUGGUUAGUCUAAAAGAACAAAUAAUUUACGCCGGAGAGUGACAGUUCACAUGAGAGAGGAGAGCAAGUUCUGGACGGCCCGUCAAACGUAUCAAGCGCUGGAAACAUGCGAGCAUUCCGUUGAGAGAAAAGCUUGGAAGGGAUUCCGCUGGAUCGACCGUCUGGGCGUUGAAUUGAUCAUAAUUAAAGCUAAAGGUGGAGGAAUAAAACCUAGCAUGAGAUUCUCUCAGAUUUUGUCACCAAAUGGUCCGAUGUGACCACUCUUCUUUUGGUGGACACGUCAGGCCGGCAAGACCUCAGCCAUGGAUCCACCCAAACCCUAUCAAGGUCUUCGGCUCUGCGGAUUGCUCCAAAGGAACCAAAGGAACCAAAGGAAAGGUUGGAAAGCCAGUCGAACAUGGAUUGGGCUUGACCAGCUUGAGCUUUUCCAGAUCCGAUCACUGUUACCGAUUUCAGCGUUGCGUAUUGUUCUGGACCACUUCAAGGUGCAAGUGAAACUUUUGUUGCUUAGGAGCUUCUGUUACGUAUGGUGCAUGUACAUGUUUCCUUUUUCUUACACGUUUCUUCGACACUGCUUGUCACUCCUUUAAACUUUUACAAUUUUGGAUGACUGAACUGUCUAUCUACAUAGCUAAUGCCAACAUGUAUGUCCAACACUAGGCUCCUUUUCUCUCUAUAGAAUUCUAUGAGUUCUUCCAUAUUUUGAUUCUCACCUCUUCCAACUCUUUAGAAAUUUUUUUGUUGAGAAAUUAUAUCUUGCACCGCGUGCACCAGAUAUCAAUCAUGUUGUUUUAUUUUUUGGGGCCGAGUUAGAUGGCAAAAAUGAGAUGAUAUAAUUGGUAUGACGUGCGAUCAUGUUGUAUAAUUUUAUUCUACUUUAUUUAGAGAGAAAGAGAGGUUAGGGGCAUAAUUAUUCCAUCUAGGGUGUGACCAUCAGAUAGGACGUCAUUCACUUGGAGGUGUUAAUAUUAAAUGCAAACUUGUGCAGGGAUGGCGACUUUGGAAAAGUAUCAAAACUAUGUGAUUUCGAAACUAUUUUCAUAAAAUUUUGCUAUUAAAAUUUUAAGUGAGUGUUAGAAUAAUUUCAAAAUAUGGCCUUCCACUGGUUGCGUAUUUUUAUUUUAUAAAACGGGUUAGACGUAUGGCUUAUAAUGGUACUAUGGUUAAACUCAAUAUGAUGUGUAAUAAUUUUGUUUUAUGAAUUUUAAUGCACCUUGGAUGUUUAGGAUUGAAUUCUAUUUAUUGUGGUAAUUUUAGUAUGUAGGCCUCCAAACCCAAUUAGGGUUUGGAGCCCUUAAUGGGAAGGCUUCCUUAUGUUUUCUAUAUAAAGGCUAGGUCCCCUUCUCCUCUCUAUAUGGUACAUAGCUUGCCCCAUGAACGAUUAUCUUUUGUGAGGAGAAAGGAAGGGAAGAUCCAGUCGCUAUUAUUUCAGGUGAUUGAAGGAUGUAUUCAAUAUAGCUUCUGCAGGCAUACCUCUCAAAUUUGAACACGAUGUUAUUAUGAUUCUAAAUCUUUUAACAGUGAGCACAUAGAGAAUUCUACCGGAAUGCCGUGUAUAAUAUCUCAAUAACGNNNNNNNNNNNNNNNNNNNNNNNNNNNNNNNNNNNNNNNNNNNNNNNNNNNNNNNNNNNNNNNNNNNNNNNNNNNNNNNNNNNNNNNNNNNNNNNNNNNNNNNNNNNNNNNNNNNNNNNNNNNNNNNNNNNNNNNNNNNNNNNNNNNNNNNNNNNNNNNNNNNNNNNNNNNNNNNNNNNNNNNNNNNNNNNNNNNNNNNNNNNNNNNNNNNNNNNNNNNNNNNNNNNNNNNNNNNNNNNNNNNNNNNNNNNNNNNNNNNNNNNNNNNNNNNNNNNNNNNNNNNNNNNNNNNNNNNNNNNNNNNNNNNNNNNNNNNNNNNNNNNNNNNNNNNNNNNNNNNNNNNNNNNNNNNNNNNNNNNNNNNNNNNNNNNNNNNNNNNNNNNNNNNNNNNNNNNNNNNNNNNNNNNNNNNNNNNNNNNNNNNNNNNNNNNNNNNNNNNNNNNNNNNNNNNNNNNNNNNNNNNNNNNNNNNNNNNNNNNNNNNNNNNNNNNNNNNNNNNNNNNNNNNNNNNNNNNNNNNNNNNNNNNNNNNNNNNNNNNNNNNNNNNNNNNNNNNNNNNNNNNNNNNNNNNNNNNNNNNNNNNNNNNNNNNNNNNNNNNNNNNNNNNNNNNNNNNNNNNNNNNNNNNNNNNNNNNNNNNNNNNNNNNNNNNNNNNNNNNNNNNNNNNNNNNNNNNNNNNNNNNNNNNNNNNNNNNNNNNNNNNNNNNNNNNNNNNNNNNNNNNNNNNNNNNNNNNNNNNNNNNNNNNNNNNNNNNNNNNNNNNNNNNCAACAUAUAUUUUAUAUUUUAUUUGUUGCAUUAACUAGCUAGUAAUAUGAAGUUGUGGAUUUUCUUUAUAUAGGAAGAUGAUGAUUUUUAUAUAUUCCAAAUUAAGGUCGACGGAAGAAUCUCUAGGCUCUAGCAUGAGUCAUUUAUUCUCAAUAUGUUUGUUUUGAAUGAUUAUUAUUUAUAUAUUUUAUUGUAAUGUUGUUUAUGCUUCACCUUUUACAUGCUGAAGAUAAUGAGGAUAAAAGUGCCACAGUCGAAAGGGCUAUGAAGAAAAAAAAGAAAUAUCAAGGGAAGCAAAUAAGGGGUCAUAUUUUGGCGGAUGAUAAAUAAUCUGAAAUAAUUGAUGACAAUGAUAUUAUUUCAAAUCAUAUAACUAAAGUGGAUAAUUCUAAAAAAAAGAAAGUGCAUAGCUAAUAUUUCCAUUAGAAAAAAAAUAAAAUUGAUUGUCAAUCUAUACUACCAUACUAUUCAGGAUAUUCGACUUUAUGAUGCAAUUCAAAAUACUUGGGUUCAAAUAUAAACUUGUUUCCUUAUUCCAAUAAAGUCUCCAAUAGUCUAGCCAACAAAAAUAAUUAUAAAGUCUCUAAUAGCCUUAUAUCCUUUUGUGUGAUGCUAUCUUUUGAUCUAUAAGUUUUCAGACACAUCAACUUAAAUGACUGACUUUCAAGAUAUUCGCUAUAUUUGAAAUGAAAAUGUACUUUAUUCAAAAUGAUGCGUAAAUAGAAAGUGAACUUUCAUGUUCAUGUUUGCGUGAGGCAAAGCAAUACUAAACAGAAAAGAAAAAAAUAUAGCCAGACAAAUAGCAUGGGGUAUGCGCUAGUUUACAAUUUAUAUUCAAAAUAAGAGACACUAGAUCGAGACAGACCAUCAUUUACAUCCCCAGACUCAUGUGACAGAACACACCAGCUGAGGAUGGAAAUGAGUUGAACAUCAGACAGGCCAAACCUGGCUCAUAUAAUUUCAGGUCAAGCACAACAAAUAAGCCCCCCAAUCAAAAGUCCGACUAAAAAUGACUAAAAUUUAGGCCCACAGAGAUCAGCUCUAAUUUCAAAUCAAAUUUGAGAUAUGGACAAACUUAAUAAUAUUGACAAACUUAAUAUUAUUUAAAACUUUCAUUUUUUAAAAUUAAAUUAAUAAAAUCAAUUAUAACUUGAUUUUAUAAUUAUAAAUAUAUUCUACUCUACCUAUUAUAUAUUAAUGUAUAAUAAAAUAAUUAAAAAACUGUAUUAUUUAUUUAUUGUAAAAAAUAUUAAGUAAAAAUAAUAUUUUCUAAACAUAAAUUAUUUUUUAUCAUAAAAUAUAUAAGUUACUUAUAUAUUAAUAAUUCAAGCAACUUCAAAUAUUCAGGCAAGGUAAAUCUGACUCUAGCUUGCCUUGCUUUUUAACCAAGCCAGCCAUUAGCAAACGAACAAUCAAUUUAUUUGGCAACAACUCAUGCCCCUAUCACGGCCACAUAAAGGCCAUCGGCCAAGCCACCCAACGCUUGCAGGAUUUCACCAAUAAGGGUUAAUUUAAAGCAUACGCCUCCAGUUCCAUGCCCGAUGAAAACAAAACAUCAAACCAAACAAUUCGAAAUUCACCAAUAUAAAUAUAACUAUUUUUUUCAUAGCCAUCACUACUAAUGUUGCAUGAACAAGAAUACAAGCACCGGAUUCAGAUUUGUACCUAGCUAGCUAAGACAAAACAGAAUAUAUGAAUAUAUAUAACUGAGACUCAACUAGAAAAAAACAGAGAGAGAAAUGUCAAAAUAUAAAAGAUAAUAUAUAAAUUUAACUAAAUUUAAAUAUUAAUUUUUUUGCAAAGACAUAUAUUUCUCCUUUAAAUUUUCUAAUUAACUUAACAAAUUUAUAAANNNNNNNNNNNNNNNNNNNNAAUAUAUAUAACUGAGACUCAACUAGAAAAAAACAGAGAGAGAAAUGUCAAAAUAUAAAAGAUAAUAUAUAAAUUUAACUAAAUUUAAAUAUUAAUUUUUUUGCAAAGACAUAUAUUUCUCCUUUAAAUUUUCUAAUUAACUUAACAAAUUUAUAAAACAAUAUUUUAACAAGUCAUUUUAAUAUUUGUAACCUUAAAAAAACGACGACUACCCACCCACUCUUAAUAUCACAAAUUAGAGAAUCAAAUUCAUUGAGGCGACCAUCAUUUAUAGAAUAGCAAUCAUAAAACAAGAUGAAACUUAAAUGCAAAUAACAUAAAAUAGCCCUUCAAGAGCAUAACAGGUUAAAAUCCCCAUCAAAAGAAUGACCCAUGACAUAUAGCAGCCAUGGAUAGCCAUAGAAAGUGCUCUGGAAGUUUAAGUUUAACCAACCAUAAUCCAAAACCAGGCAUGCUAGCCUGGAAAUUAAUCGACCUCCUCAAUCUUGGGGCCAGACCCACUGCCGCCAGCAGCGGGAGCAUCAUCAUUCAUUCCAUCAGCCAUGUCGGGACCCGCACCCUGAUACAUCUUGGCAAUGAUGGGGUUGCAGAUGCCUUCCAGCUCCUUCAUCUUGUCCUCGAAUUCAUCAGCCUCCGCCAACUGGUUUCCUUCCAGCCACUGGAUAGCCUGCUCAAUGGCAUCCUCGAUCUUCUUCUUGUCAUCAGCAGCCAGCUUGGAUGAAAUCUUAUCGUCCUUGAUGGUGUUCCUCAUGUUGUAGGCAUAAUUUUCCAAGGCAUUCUUAGCCUCCACCUUCUUCUUGUGCUCCUCGUCCUCGGACUUGUACUUCUCUGCAUCUUGGACCAUCUUCUCAAUCUCCUCCUUGCUCAACCUACCCUUGUCAUUGGUGAUGGUGAUCUUGUUCUUUUGUCCGGUGGUCUUGUCCUCAGCAGACACAUUAAGGAUACCAUUUGCAUCGAUGUCGAAGCAAACCGUAAUUUGAGGAACGCCCCUUGGUGCAGGAGGAAUGCCUGAGAGCUCAAAUUUACCAAGGAGGUUGUUGUCCCUGGUCCUGGCCCUUUCACCUUCAUAAACUUGAAUCAAGACACCAGGCUGGUUGUCGGAGUAGGUUGAGAAGACCUGCUCCUUCUUGGUGGGAAUGGUUGUGUUCCUUGGAAUUAGGACAGUCAUGACACCUCCUGCAGUCUCCAGUCCAAGGGACAGGGGGGUGACAUCCAACAGAAGAAGAUCCUGCACCUUCUCAUUUCCCUCGCCACUCAAAAUGGCAGCCUGGACAGCAGCCCCGUAAGCCACUGCCUCGUCAGGGUUGAUGUUCUUGCACAGCUCCUUCCCGUUGAAGAAAUCCUGCAACAACUGCUGCACCCUGGGAAUUCUGGUGGACCCACCAACGAGGACAACUUCAUGGACACUACUCUUAUCCAUCUUGGAAUCCCUCAGGCACUUCUCUACAGGCUCCAUACACUUCCUGAAGAGAUCCAUGUUAAGCUCUUCAAACCUGGCACGGGUGAUGGUGGAGUAGAAAUCAAUGCCCUCGUACAGGGAAUCAAUCUCGAUUGUGGUUUGGGCAGUAGAUGAAAGGGUCCUCUUUGCCCUCUCGCAAGAUGUCCUCAGCCUCCUAAGCGCCCUCGGAUUUCCAGUGAUGUCCUUCUUGUGUUUCCUCUUAAACUCUUGGACGAAGUGGUUCACCAAGCGGUUGUCAAAGUCUUCUCCGCCAAGAUGGGUGUCCCCAGCAGUGGCCUUCACCUCAAAGAUACCCUCUUCAAUGGUAAGGAGAGAGACAUCAAAGGUGCCUCCACCAAGGUCAAAGAUGAGAACAUUCUUCUCGCCAACACUGCUAGCCUUCUUAUCAAGACCAUAUGCAAUAGCGGCAGCCGUGGGUUCAUUGAUAAUUCGCAUGACAUUGAGGCCAGAAAUGACACCAGCAUCUUUGGUGGCCUGACGCUGGGAGUCGUUGAAGUAGGCAGGGACUGUGACAACUGCGUUCUUAAUAGUAGAACCAAGGUAGGCUUCAGCAAUCUCCUUCAUCUUCAUGAGGACCAUGGAUGAAACCUCCUCUGCAGAGAACUGCUUAUCCUCACCCUUGUACUGGACACCAAUCAUGGGCUUAUCCCCAGGGCCAGCAAUAACCUUGAAGGGCCAGAGCUUGAUAUCACUCUGGACAGAAGCAUCAGAGAACCGCCGGCCGAUAAGUCGCUUGGCAUCUGUAAAGCAAAGAACGGUAAGACCAGGAGCUUGUGCCCAAAAAGAUACCGCAUGAAGUAUGUAGAAAGAACCAAAAAAGAAUUAUUCAUACAUCAAGUGCAAAAGAAAAAAACAGCAUUAUGGGAGCAUAUCAUAACAAAGGUAGAAGACUAAGAAUCGGUUGACCAAUUUCUAGAGUUUAAGGAUCUGCUAAAGAAUAAAAGAUGAUGCAAAACUAACCCCAGUGAAAACAAUAUGCGCAAUGUAGAGCAAAGUUCCAUAAUCAAGAAAUAGCACAACUGAAAGCCCCCUAUCUAUCAAUGGCUCUGCUAAUAUCUUGUCAGAUGGAAUCCUAACAAAGGCACGCCAGUUUUUCAAACAUGUGUUAUGCUUCUUCAACAACAUCUAAAAUAUCCAGCAAUACUAAAUCUUAGUCUUCACGCACAUUCAAAUGAUCCCAAAUCAGCUUAUUGAUACUUAAUAAACUAUGACAUAUCUUGUGUGUCACAAGACUUUCUUCCAUUGGGUUUGUCAUUAUCAAGAUCAAAAAACUUCACGGAAAAUCCUUCCACUCAGACAAAAAAAGAUCAGAAAUCAAAGUGUAUGUUUUGCUACAUGUGAUUUGAACACUUGGGACCAUCCCCCCAUACCUCCCCCCCCCCCCAAAAAAAAAAAAAGUGCAACUCGACCAACAAGUCCAAUACAGAAGGUACUCCACUUAGAUUUGUCUUCCUCCAGUAUUGAAUGAAGAAGGAGAGUACAGAAACCAAAACAGGUAGUAUUUGGGUGAAUCCACCACACUAUGCAUCAAGUAAGUAGAUACACAAUGAUCAUAUAUUAUUGCAACCAUCCACCCUACGCCCUGUUACCCAAUGCUCUGGAUCUGCUCUGAGUAUCAUGAAAACAUUCACAAUAUGCAGGCAUGCGCACAUAUAAAUCACAUAGGCAGCUAUUGUUUAAGCAAAAAAAAAAUCAUAACUAUUUCUGGGAAAGACACAAUAUAGUUUAAGAAAUCACAAAAAAUGUAAUCAUAUCAAAGUUUCUAUAAAAGCUGGAUGUGCAAUGCUAGCACAGACAGUAGUACCAUAGAAAACCAACUAUGGUCCUCAUUCCCUUAAAUUUUUCUCCAACCAAUCCAAAGAACCGAGCACAAAGAAACCAGUAAAAACACCUAUGAAGCAUAAAACGUACUCAAGGUAGACUAUGAGCAUUUAAAAAAUGUAAAUAACAGGUUCAAAUUCAUCAACUUGAUGUCUAACAUUUCUUUUCAUCGCACACCCGCUUAAAAGUCAUAAGCCAAGCCUAGUAAAGCUGAAAGAAACACGUUCCAACUUCUAAAAUGAAGACCUUCCUGUAAGUUAAACAGCCUAGGGCAUCAUAAAUUUCAAAAAAGAUGAGGCUUAUACUCCACAUUAUUUACUCUCCAAUGAAAAUUUAAAAUAACAUAGGUGAGCGAUGUGGUACAAAUAAGUUUCUAUGUUUUUGCUUCCUACCCAAGAACAUAAACAGACACGAGCAAUUAUUUUUGCUUCAAAGGAAGUUCUCGGUUAUUAUAAAAUAACUAAAUUUCCAUUCUGCUUCCUUUUUUUGUCUUCACAAUUUAAACUCUCUCUAACAAUCAAAUGUGAUAUGUCCAAAAUAUGAUUCAUAAAUUCCGAGUCACAGCUAGAUGAUAAUAAGGAUCGCAGAAAAAAUAAUGAAGCAGACUUCAAUGACAAAUCUUGCCGCCAUGUUUGACGUAGAUCUAAAAAAUAGAAACCGCCAGAAUUAUUUAUUAAAAACAUCCAGAACAAGCAGUUGGGAACAAAUAAAAAAACGCCUAUUAAGCGAGCAGAUAGAAUUAAUAGAGAAAAAUAUCUAAAUUGUUUCCGUUAUUUAAGGGGAAAAGAUAUUCAGGGCCACCAAAAGAAUCAGAUCUAUCAACGCGAUUCAAAUCAACCCAAUAAGACGCACGAGAUCACAGAUCUAAUAGGUUUAAGAUCCAUACAAGAAAGACCCACAGGAAUAAAUAGAGAUCUACUUAAUGCAUCAACAACAGAUCUAGAAAAAGGGACAUCCGAGGGCAAGAGACUCACCGAAGACGGUGUUGGUGGGGUUCAUGGCGACCUGAUUCUUGGCGGCAUCGCCGAUGAGCCGCUCGGUGUCGGUGAAAGCGACGUAGGAGGGGGUGGUGCGGUUCCCCUGGUCGUUGGCGAUGAUCUCCACCCGGUCGUGCUGCCACACGCCGACGCACGAGUAGGUCGUCCCGAGAUCGAUCCCGAUCGCCGGACCUUCACCCUUGCCGGCCAUUGCGUCGACGGAGAUCGAAAAGAGUAAAAACGAGAAGAAGAAGAAGAAAAAGGAGAGCAACAGGGCCGAGCGAUACCGCACGGCUAGGGUUUCUAAGAUGGAGCAAAGAGGCCGACCACGCAAGGGGCUUAUAUAGGAAGCUCCAGGGUUCUAGAAAGUUCCAAAGACUUUUCUGGGCCGCCCGAUCUGAUUGAACGGUUCAGAUUUGCUUCUGUUUCGCGGGAGGAGGGAGGAGGGACGUGGACUCUGGCUCUCCUCGCCUGCUUCCGAGCGAAACGGGACUCGAUUAAAGCCACUAAACGAAGAGCGCUGAUUCGUCGAUAGAGCGGUGGCUACGUGGGACCCACGCAUGAUGUAGGGCUGUGAGUGGAGAUUGGCGGGCAAGCGGGUUAUGGAUGGUUUCCGUCCACGUCGAGGAUUAGAAAACGUGACUGAUCUAAAAUUUGGAAUCGUCCGGACGUCAAAACUAUUUCCAAUCUGCUUGGAAGUGUUUGGUUGCAGAAAAAAGUUCAUGCGGGUCCCCGCAGUCCUUAUCAUGGACGGAUGACCUUUCCCUUCUCCGUUCCGACAACAAGACUAGUUGAAACCAUCCCACGUGGAGUCGAUGCGUCGCUCGGAUUCCCGUUGUAGCACCAAUCAUCUUAUGCCACGUCAGCAGCAGAGGAUGCAACAGUGAGAACCCAGCUGGAGCAUUGUAAUUUCCUUGCCUCAGGGUGAAUAACUAUAUUCAUUUCUAAUUGGGCUUAAAACCAAAUUUAUUUAAAAUUUAAUAUUUUUUUACCAUGCCCGGUUUAUGAUUAGGUUUGCUUCGUAGAGCAUCUUGGGUACAUCUCGAUAUCCUAUAUUGUUGGACUAUAAAGAGCUCCACUUCAUGGGGGGAAAAAAUCCUAAUACGAGUAUAAGUCGAAAUUAGGGAUGGCAACUUAUAGUUCAACCCGCCAACCCAAUUCACAAACGACCCUAGAUAAGCUGAUCUGGGUUUGGCCUUAACAAGCUUGGAUCAUAAACUAGUUGACCCACCUUAUUUAUUAAAUCAUGACAUGUCUAUCAUGUUUUGUGUCUAUAAUAAUUUAGUCUGGUUUUCACAUUAAGGCAUGAUCAACACGUUUAAGACUCUUAAAUCAAUUCAAAACCCAUUUAACUUCUUUGACCCAAUUGAGCCGGAUUAGGUCACCUAACUAAUGAACAAGUCGAGUUCAGUUUCCAAUUUCUAGCUUAUGUAAUAAUGGGGUUGGUUACAGGUUAAUAGGUUUCCCCUGAUCCCUAUGUCUCCCCGACAGUAACUUGACCCAUCACCACCUCCAGUUGGGUCAACCCAUGGUUCACUUUAUCCCGUAACCUAACAUCUUCAUGGUCAAUGUAGACUGUAGAGUAUAAGCCAAUCUAGACUAACUGAAAAUUGUGCCAAACUUAAGGCCAUGAUUCGUGAGCCCAAUAGCUCUAGGAGGCCCAACCCAAUACAUAAUAUGUGCACGUACCCAAGCAUGCAUGCAUGAUAAGACCACUGGGUAGAAGAAGAUGAUAACUAUUACCAAUGAUAAUGGCAGGCUGAGCAAGGAAGAAAUCCAGAAGAUGGUUCAAGUUGCUGAGAAGUACAAAGCAAUGGAUGAGGAGCACAAGAAGAAGAUGGAGAUGAGGGAAAGGAUACAGCAUGAGGAGCACCAUUAGGAAGUUUCUUUUUUCCUGCAGGGGCUCUAUUAUCAGUUUUUCCUGGGGCUUGAUUUGGCCUUGUUAAGGUGGUUUAUGUAUUUUUAUCACAAAAAAAAAGAAGAGAAUUUAGUACAUGUAUACUUCUCUAAGAGUUUGUGCUGCCGUCUUUCCAUUUGCAAUGCCUUCUCCACUCAGUUGUUGUAUUGUUUAUUCUCUUUCGUGGAUCCAGUAUCGCGCUAGUAUUUAGCAUUUUCGAUCAGCUGUAUUUAAUUUUCUCAAAGAAGACAUUUAUCCAGUAUUUAGCAUUCUCAGUUUUCAAUCGGUGAUACCAAGAAGACAUUUAUGUGGAUGAAUAUGGUAUUGAGAUGCAGCUUAUUUACGCUGCACGUCAUUAGAAUUACUUAUAUCAAUAGGAAUGUGCAGUUACGUAGCAAGUACUUCUUCAUCUCCACUUGUGCAAAUGAUAGUUGCUACAAUUGGUCCAGCAUUAACUCAAACCAAGCUGAGAAACCUUAACAAGCCUAGUGGAAGGUAUACUUGCAUUUUAGAAUGUUAUUCCCUGUGAUGUUGUUCCAGCUCUUUUAUGAUAAAAAGUAGGAUUUUAAGAUUUUGCAAUUGCUGUUAUUCAUUUCAUAAGCUUAAUUCUUUCACAUUUUUGCAGUCUUCCUAUGCAUGCUGUGCUAUUAUACAAUGAAUCACUCCAGAUACAUUUGCAGUAAGUUCCUGGCUCCCAGCUUGCCUCGGAGCAAUAUACUGGAUCCAAGCCGCCUCCCUCCCUCUUCCUCUACAUUAGGUUAUCACAAGUUACUUAUCAGAGCAGUAGGUAUUUGAUUCAUAAUGCAUCACUUAGAAAGUAUUUGUUGUCUAAUGGAUGAAGAUGGUUUGCUACGAUCUCAGGCAUCAAGACUAAGUCAUGUUCUGUUUGUUUAUCAAUUGAAGAAUAUGUAUUUCUGCUUCUUAGACAUUGUUUAAGAGAAGUCAUCAAUGAGACUGCAUUCUGUGUAAACUUUUGCAUAUUCGAUGACACUGUAGCUCACUCAUUUGCAGUUUGCUCUUCAGAGAGUUGGAUGUGGAGCACACUUCCUCCAAACAAGACAUCAAAUAUUUCUAUAAUGUGCCCCAAGAAUUCUCAAAAAUGGUUUUUCUUUUCUUUUAUUGAAAUAUGUUUAUUUCUUUAUUUAUUUCUGCUCGGGUGGAUGCUUAAUCUAAGUAGAAAUAAAAGGUCAGAUAUGAUUGAAUGGAUUGUGUUAUAGAGAGUGUGGAUUUUGAUUAUACCAGAGAGAGCAUAGGAACCACAUCAAUAUGGGACAAAUCAGAGGAUUGGUGGAUAGCAUAGGCACAUGCACUGUAGUCAAGUGGGAGCAAUUUAGGUAGAGGACACUGAUUUGUGAAGAAUUGGUAUUGGUGGAGGGACAUCCAAAAAAAAAAAAGUUGUUUAUAAAUCUCUCCUUUUUUUUCAGAAAUAAGCUGUAUGCAUAAAACUGGUCCUGUAAAGUUGGGAUGACAUUACAUAUGGGAUAUUCUUGUUGGUUUAAUUAUUUACUCUUCAUUUUUUGUAUGUAUUGUUUGGAAAGAAAAAACUUAUAGUAGUAAGUUGUUUCAUUGUUGCAGCAUUUCUAUGUGGCAACACUUCACCUUUUACUUCUUGUGUUAUUUGCAGAAAUUUCAGAACAACAGGUGUUUAUUCUGCUAUUGCCUGAUAAUAUAUGAUUUAACAGGGGUCGAAGCGAAGCGAGUCAUCUUCCCUAAUUUCCACAUCGAUGGUCAUCCUAGUCAUGUUGAUCUGAAAUCAAGAAUCAAGAUCAUUGGUGCAGAUUGUAGCCCUUGACUCCGGCAUGGACUUACAAUUUUAUUGUCGUUGUUUUAUAUAUAGAGGUAUCACUUCAUAGGCAACUUAAGUUUUUGAUUCUAGCUUGCAUAAUUGCAUCAAGAAAACAAAAGAUUCUAGCUUAUGCUCAAGUUAAACUUUGCUGGGUUCUUGGACAGCUUUAUGCCCUUUCAAUCCACGAAAACACUUCUUGAUUUGCUUCUUUUCCUGGUAAAAUAAAAUCCUAUCGAAGAUGCUUGUAUCUCGUAAGAUGUCCUCUCCAUGUCUGUUGUUGCUCGAGUCAUGUUUAGUUUGAUUUCAGCUACCUCUGUUUUGUAUUUAGAUCUGGACAAUUAUCUGGGAGUCAAAAAUAUCUUACUAUUGCUCUUGUCCAAACAUGCUUAACUACAGAGUUUUGAUGGAACUGCAUGUCAUGUCUAUCAAUUCAAGUCAUUUCACUCUUUUAUCGUCAAUAUUUUUUAGCUACAUCUGUUCAGUCAUUGAACAAUGGCACCAGCAAUGACGAGCUAUUCUUUUCUUUCUAUCAUAGAGAAAAAGAGUUAUAAUGGGGUUCUCUGAGAAUCCAUUGUAAGAAAAUAUAAAAUAUAUAAAUAAAUCUAUCUUAUCCUAUUAGCUUAAGCUUUUGAAAUAAUUGGUGAUUUUAACAUGGUAUUAGAGCAGAGGUUCUAAGUUCCAUCCUAACAGGCAUUCUGAUGUAAACAUAUUAUAAAUGUUGAUUUGAGUUCUGCUUAUCUUAUUGUGACAUUCACAUGCCAUGUAAAGGUGUCAAAGGCCUUGUGGGNNNNNNNNNNNNNNNNNNNNNNNNNNNNNNNNNNNNNNNNNNNNNNNNNNNNNNNNNNNNNNNNNNNNNNNNNNNNNNNNNNNNNNNNNNNNNNNNNNNNNNNNNNNNNNNNNNNNNNNNNNNNNNNNNNNNNNNNNNNNNNNNNNNNNNNNNNNNNNNNNNNNNNNNNNNNNNNNNNNNNNNNNNNNNNNNNNNNNNNNNNNNNNNNNNNNNNNNNNNNNNNNNNNNNNNNNNNNNNNNNNNNNNNNNNNNNNNNNNNNNNNNNNNNNNNNNNNNNNNNNNNNNNNNNNNNNNNNNNNNNNNNNNNNNNNNNNNNNNNNNNNNNNNNNNNNNNNNNNNNNNNNNNNNNNNNNNNNNNNNNNNNNNNNNNNNNNNNNNNNNNNNNNNNNNNNNNNNNNNNNNNUUUAUUUAGUAUUUUUACGUUAUCUAUUCUUGGAUUUUUUCUCUGCCGACGUCCUCAAAGAACGGACUCCGAGCAGAGGAGCGUCUUCAGUCGCCUCGGCGUAAGAACGCUCACGGUACCAGGUACCCACUCAAUGUCUACGUUCUCAAUUUACUUUCAUCCCUGAUUAAUUAUCUGAAUAAACCCCCGACUGACGUCGAGGUACCUGGUCGGGCCAAUCGUCGCCCGGCCUCGACCUUCCUACGUACACCGAUUAACAGCAAGCUUAGUUUAUACUAGGCUCGGUGAAUCUCCGUCGCGAGCUAACGAGCAUUCAACCUAUUCGUCGGAAAAGAAUCCGGUCCGCCCCGGCAACUCGAGGCUCAGACUCAAAGUUCACUAACUUUGCUAAAAAAUUAAGUCCUAGUGACCGUCCUAGGGCUCGGCCGAAUUCUGGGCUAGGCUCAGAAAGACUUCUCGAGCCCAAACACCCUAAACGUAAGCAUUACUAUAUUGCUGGUCGAAGGACCGAGCAAUGGAGCUCAGCAAGCCGAGCCUAAACGCAAGUCCUGUGGCGGACGAAGUUGGGGCCAUGGAGCCCNNNNNNNNNNNNNNNCUUGUGGGGUUGGGGUGUCGAGUUGUCAAUAGCUCUAUCAUAUUAACUUUGCUCGAUUUAACUUGCAUGCUUUUUAUAAUAGCGUAUGGUUAUUAUUUCUGUCACUAGAACCAGCUUUUUGCCUUGAAGCAUAGUAACAAAAUUCUGCAUUUUUUUAAAAAAAAAUUAUGAAUAAUUUGUUUCUAAAUAUUUUAUCAAAUUAUUUGACAGAUGACUCGUUGAUAUGUUAAUGGAUCAUGAAAAAUCCAUUAAGUUAGUAAAAAUCAUGAAUAUCGGUGACUUUCUGAAUUAUUCGCCGAUAAUGAAAACCAAAGAGAUUUUUUCUUUUUUUUCUUCGCCUCUUCACUCCUAUUAUAUUUCUUCUCCAUUCCAUGUUUGCAUGUUUCUCAGCCUCCUGCACAGCGGCUCAUGGGUUGAAGCCUUUAAGGCUUCCUGAGAUAAGUGGGUAGCUGGCUUGUACACCUAUACAAUUAUUAUAAGCAUAAAAUAAGUAAAACUCCAAAUUAUUUUUUUUAUAUGAAUUUUUUUAGUUUAUAUAUUUUCUAUUUAUAGACUUUCUCCAAAAGUGCACGCUGCAAUUUUUUAGAUAACUUCAUGAACUUUUAGUUUGCACAAUUUUUUUUGGCCAUCCCGUUCCCGUGACUUUGGUUAUAAAUAUCUAUUGUAUCAUCAUGUUCUGUUUUAUAUAAACAAUAUAUAUUUAUGUUCACAAAAUUUCCAUUUUUAUUUUAAUUAUAUUAGUUUUUCUAUUCUUUUUUUGAAUUGUUUUACCAUAUUUUUGCCAAAUUCUGUGCUUCCAAGUCAUGAUGAGAUGCUCUAGAACCCAAAAUUUGCGAUUAUGUCUUUGCAACACUUUUGAACAUGAUCAUCCAGAAAAGUUUAGGCUCUUGAAAUGUGUUUGGUUCACAAUCGGAAUAGAUCGGAAUGAGAAUUGAAAUAUUCACAUUCUUUGGUGCAUCUCGUUCGCGAUCGGAAUCGGAAUUGGAAUGAAUAAAAUUUGAAUACUAAAGAAAAGUCGGAAUUGAAUUUUCGCGGGAUGAAAUAUUCUUAUUCCUAUCUGCAAUUAAAAUAACCUUUUUUUCUAACCAAACAGCUGAAAUAGAAGUCCAUGCAAAAGUCCUAACUAUCCCUCCUCCCCUCAAAUAUGCUCUUAGGGUUUUUUUCAGCUAAUUUGUUAGUUCAUGAACAUAUUGGCAAUUUGGCACGGACAAUAUUAAUGUUUAUACCAGCCAAGGUGGUGGAUUGUGGGAAAGGCAGCUGAGAAAGUCGCAAGGCUUCCUACUUAAACUCAAGGUGCAAAGAACAUUGAUAAUUUUGAAUCACCUUGAUCAAGAAAAAACAUUAUAGCUCUUCCACGAAAAGAGGCCCACACGUGUGAGUGCAAAACACACGUACACGCGCGAGUGCAGAGUAAAUUAACCAGAGCAUCCGGUGGAUCAGCUAUCGAGAUCAUGGUCCCCCUUCCCCAAGCAGGGUAAUCAGCAACCCACCUUGAAAUGCACUUUGAGAGCGCAGGCUCGCGCAUGAGGUGCAGCAUAGCUUGAUCUAGGCUUUGAUCUCAUGAAAAGAGAAAUUAUUGGUUGGACCAGAUCCACCGCUACGAAGCAGACCGGUUUAGCUACGAAGCAGCACGCACAAAGUCGAACAAAAGCAUCCAAUAGAUGCAUGUUUGUGCAUGUUGCUUCAUAGUUGGAAUAAUCCAUCAGCGCAGCAGUAGAUCUGGUUCGACUAAUAAUUAGUACUAGAAGUGAUUAUUGGUUGGACUAGGUCCACUACUCGGUUGAUGGACUAGUCGUCCAACAUGGAGCAGCAUGCACAAAGCUAGACAAAAUCGAAAAUCAUGCAAUACACUUGUUUAUGUGUGUUGCUUCACGAUUGGAUUGGUCCGCCAGCUUAACAAUAAAUCUGGUCCGACCAAUUACUAGUACCAAGAGUGAUUAUUGGUAGGACCAGAUUCCACUGCUUAGCUGAUGGACCAGUCCAACCAUAAAGCAACACGCACAAAACUGGAUAAAACCAAAAAACAUGCAACACACACACAUUUGUGCAUGUUGCUUGGUAGUUGAACUGAUCCACUAUUUGAGUGGCCGAUCUGGUCCAACCAAUAAUCACUUCUAGCAUAUGAGUGCAAGCCACACAAGGUACCAGCUUUACAUUUUGGUUUUGAUUUGCCGUGCAAAAGUGGUGAGGUCCUUGGAUUCGUUUACAGAUUGAUAGGUGGAGAUGUGGUCCUCUAACUUCUUUUCAUGAUUAGAUUCCCUCUCCAAAGAGGAACUAUGUUAGUGGAAGAUCGGAGAAUAACUAAAGAAUAAAUCGAGGAUUGGAUGAACAUUAUCAAGAGGAGUCCUAGUGAUCUGGAUUUUUUUAUUUUCAAAAUCAAAUUUUGUUUUUGAAGUUUUUAGGCAAACAAACCGUCUCCAAGCCAGUUCUGAAUUCAAGUUGAAACAAGAUGCUGCUCUCUAUCAUAUGAUAAGAUGUGAAGCAUACUGUGAAAGUUGUUUAUUUUUUCAAUUUAAGACAAACUUCAUGUGCUAAUUGUCUCAUAAUAACUUAAAUAUGACUCCGUUAGAUAGCCAAUUAGGGGAUGACAUGGUUUGUUCUAGAGGUGGCUAUCAAGUCAAAUUGAACAAGAUACGGAUCCGUUGGAUACAUGGUAGGCCAACAUAAACAAUGCAUUGGAAACCUUGUCAAUACCUUGGCUGCAAACAUGGCUGAAAUAAGGAGAAAAAAUAAUGCAACCAUUGAAAGGUUAGAGAGGAGAUUUGUAGAGAGGGAACAAAAGAGGUUGUAAGAGGAAGUGCCUAGGUCGAUCAGCAAGCAUGACGUGUUCAUGUUGGUGGACAACGGCUCUUCCCACAAUUUUAUAAACAUAGCAAUUGUGCGGAGCAGCAGAAGGUAGGACUUAAGGGUGCUGCAAUAGAAUCGUUCGAUGUAAAAAUUGCGAGCGAUGAGAAAUUACAAUGUGCUGAAAUUGUAAAAAAUAUAAAAAUGAAUGUUCAAAAGGUUUUCGGGGGGACUCCAUCUCUUCUCUACCCUCUGUUUUAGGACUUCUAAACCUGAGCCAACAGCCCCUAAAUCAUCCAAAAACCUAGAACUCGGCAAGCCCAAAAAAAGCAAUUCAAACCCGACCUAUAUAUGACAAAGAUCAAAAUUUUAGAUCCGAACUCAACUAUUUUAUUAAAUAGGUAAACUAAUCUAAUCUAUAAUCGAUUAAAACAAGUUAAACAGAUUAAAUAUUAAGCAUUGCCAUCCCUAGUUUAUUCAAUCGUUUCUAGGUCUAUUAGGUUGCCAAGGAAGAGACCAUAAAGCUAGAGCCUCCACCAAGAGGUUGACGAAAAGCAGGCAAAAAGAAAGCAAUGGAUAUGUUGAAACACUGAAACAAGGAAAUAAUGGAAACUGGACUAUGGCUCCUUGACUAAAAGAGAAUUGGGUACCAAUGCACGGUAGUCUUAGUUGGCUGCAUGAUUAUACUAGCUGGAGGGAUCAAAUUCUCCCAAAACAACAGUUUAGUCUCAUUUCCUGAAAGGACAGAUGCUUGCCGUGUGACACAGGGGUCACAGGGGAUGAUUCCAAGAAGAUUGGAAUUUUUUUUUUGAUUUUGGAGGAAAGUCACUUUCGGCGAGUCCGAUUUCACGGUUCCUUCACAAGCCACCACAGCUUUGAUGCUUAGCCAAAGGCCAAGUGAUUGUCACCACCUUUAUAGCUUUCAAAGUUGUCACUAUGUUGAGGCCUAGAAAGUUGGCCAUUUUUUUUAAGACACAGCUAGGUCUAUAUAAUAAUUCCCCUAGCUUGCACCCACCGCCUCCGACCAUCCAUCCCCACCCUACUAGAUUUUAUUGGCAUAUCCAUGCUAAAACCAUACAUUCAACUCAUACCCACCCACAAGACUCCAUAAUUAAGAGCAUAAUAUUGAUCUGUUAUGCAAAUGUAGUAAAGUCCUUAUCCUAAAGAAUUCAUUUCAGAGACAAGGUUAAAAUUACAUAAGAAAAUUUUUUUAAGAUACUGAAAGAAUGAGACCAAUGUUGUGCAACACUCGAUGCCUACUAUCAGAGCAUGAAUGAAAGAAUAAGUUUUUUUCUAGCAUGAAUGAAAAGGAAAAGAGAAAAAGCUAAUAAGUAACACGCUGCAAAGUCCGUGACGCCAUCUCCACUUGAAUUACCAAGAAUCUGGUGCAGGAUUAUCAGAUUAAAGAAUUAAAGCCGAGGCUGUCAGAAAAAGGAAUUGGUCUUCCUGACCUUCAUACAGAAUGGAAGCAGGAAAUGAGGCUUUACACUGUAAAUGUCACAGAUUAGCACCAACCAAGUUGCAAGAUUUACACUGUAAAUGUCGCUAUGGGGUCACAGCCUAAGUUGAAUUGGAGUUAGAAAAGGGCAUUGGAGAUUUCCCACAAAAAACUCUAGCUUUUUGGGUGAGAAAUUAGGUUUACAACAAGCAAAGAUCUCAAGCUUUCAAUCCUUCCCCUCUUAACAAGUGGAACUUUCUUAAGUUGACAGCUUCAGCUUUCCAACCACCUCAAAAAUCAUCUGGUAUGUUUGCCACGCUUUGCAAGGGAAUUUCCAAGUCCCAUCUCAUAGUAGAGUGAUUAUACUUCAACCUCAUCCCUUAAGUGGCCUCAUCUAGAAUACGGAAAACCUGCUCCUUUAUCUCAAAAGCCUCGUCGCUUUGUUUGACUAGGUUUCUCUACAUCCCUUCUAAUGGUGGGUGAAUGAACCAGGGUAGUAUUUAACUAGGUUAAAAAAGAAGAAAAAGAAAGGUUUGAUGGAGUUGUCUAGAAGUAAUGGAAAAGAGCAGGAAAAGCGCUUUCUCCUGUGAAAAAACAACACAACUGCCUCUUCCUCUUCUUUUGACAAAGAGCAGCAACAGGCUGCAGGACCAGCACUACCACUCACAUGAAUAAUUACAGGUUCAGACACUGGAAGACAAGAGGGGGAUGGAAAGUAGACUUCUUUCCUGGUGUCUUUGCAGUAGACAAUCUUUAAAUAUCCAUUUUAGGAGCAUUAAAAAAAUAAAAUUGGAAUGAUGGCAAACAGAAGUUCAUGAUGCACACAGCAGAGCUGCCUCCUGCGGAUUAAAAGGGGACAAAAAAAGACAUGUUGCACAGUAUAUGAGUGGAGAAAUUAAACUACUAAUAACCUGAAUGGGCUACUGAACUCGCUGCCAGUCUGCCAGAUUGAGAGGCAAAUGAAAGUUUGUUUUUAUAUUCCUCUUUACAACCUUCGCAGACAAAUCUAAUGGUGGAUUAAAGAUCAAACAACAAUUACAACCAUGGUCACUUCUCAUUCCUUGGAACUCAUGUGGGGAAUAGGCUUCCCAUGAGUUGCUCUAAUGGUUGAAGGAGAAGAAGGUAAUGGAAUUACCUGUGAGGAGCUUGAAUGGUGUUGGUGCCCCUUGUCUCUGUUCUUUCCCAUGACUAUAGUGAUGAAAGACCCAUCCUCCUCUUCCGGCGGGCCUGCGGGAGGAGAGGCAGCAGCCAUAGGAUGAUGAGGAGGAGCAGAAGCUCGUUGCUUUGCCACAUCCUCGACAACUCCCCCAUUUCUCCGAGCCUUCAUGGCUUCUUCCACUAGUGUUUUCCUUAGGAGCUUCUCCUCAGCGUCCUUCAAAAACUUGAACUUUGGAGGGGGUGAGCACCUCACGCCAUGCAAAUCAUCUUCCUUUGAGGAUUCAAAGAGGGGGUUGAACCCAUGUUGACUGUAACAAUCCAAAGGUGUUAGAGGUGGGGUGAAGAAAGGAGGGGAAGAGAGAGGAGUUAAAAAUGGGGUCUCGGCAGAGACAAGCAAAUCACUCAAGCUCUUCCCUCUUGAACCUUUCCUGCUCCUCCCUCCUCUGGAUCUCCCAUCCUCUGACUCCAAGUCCUCUUUGGUCUCCUCUUUGAUGGUGAAGAGAAACCUUGGAGGCCCAGAGAGGCUGUGAAGCCUCAUGAGCUCUGCCUCCAUGCUCUCUUCUCCUCCUCCAAAUGGCCUCAAAAGAAGAUCCUUACCUGAGUUUGGAUCGAGGUAAAGCUGACCAUCAUCGGAGUGAACUGCGGCAUUAGCUGAAGUAGAGAUUUCUUGGGGAUUGAGAGCUGUGGGGCUCAGAGAAGAUGGCUUCUUCCAGCAGAAGAGAUAGAGGAGCUCUCUCCCAGGACUAGUGUAGUUAUCCUCUAUAUCUCUGUUAGCUCCUCUCUUCUUCCACCAAAACAAGUAGUAAAGCUCUGCUGCCAGCGCCAGGAACAGGAACCCCGAGACCAGGAUCAGCCCAAUGCCCAAACUGCUCAAACGUCCCAUCUUUUUGCCUCCAAUCGCAUCCCCAAACCACCAAACCACUGAUGUUAUCUUCAACAACACCCAAAAAUCACUAUGAUGUCCCUAAUCAAAAUCCCGUCUUUGGCACAUCCCUAAAGCCAAGAGUAGUUCUUGCAAACAGAGGAACUAAAAAAAAAAAUACCAAGAAACGAAACAAAAACUCUACUCUUGGGAGGAAUAAUCUUCACGAUCCCAAAAUCCCAAACAAAUGCAACAUUUCCCAGAAGCCAAAACACAGAAAACAAGGCAGAAAUUACACCGAAAUUUUUUUCCCAAAAAAACCCCUACUUCUUCUAAAACCCAGAAAAUCUAAAACCACGUAAAAAGAACACACCUUUAGCAUCAAGACCACAUUCUGAGACCCACCAGCCAUUAAUGGCACCUCCAAAGGUCCAAAACACCUCAACUUUUGCUGGAACCCGCCAUUCCGGGCCAAAUUUCUCAGCUUUUGCUCCCAAAAAGACCAGCUUGGACCCAGGAAUCGUUCAUGGAGUACAAGAAAACCACCACUAGCUUGCGAGCACGGAAGGCCGAGAAGCGUCGCGUCGUUCGAGAGCUGAUCACAUGGCCUGGAGAGGAAAAAGGACGGUGUCGUUUCUCCAAAGCCAAUGAACUCCAACCUAUAUAUAAAAAAAAACAGAGAAUUACUCCCUCUCCAUUUGUCUUCACCGCAAUAAAGCUGCCUGUUACGUUAUCUCGCGGAAAUGUUCGUGUCGUGUGUCACUCGAUCCUGACCGUUGAAUUGAUGUAGGACCCGACACGAUAAACGGCGUGGCAGGGCUUAGGGUACGGAUGAUUACGGGAGGAGGGGAUGCUAUGUUUUGCAGGUGCAUCCAAUGGGAGAUGGACGCGUGGUGGGAUGAUCUUUGAAUUUGUUCCUAUAACUGUCAAUUGCUGGGUUGAUAGGGGGUGGCAAAAUAUAGCCCGACCCGCCAACCUGAUUCGUAUUUGAUCCACCAUAAAUAGAUUUGGAUUUGGCCUAAACAGGUUCGUAUCGUAAACAGGUCGACCCGUUUAACCUGUUUAUUAAUUGGAUCGGAUAUGGAUUCUAGAUGUUUGACCCGUUUAACUGUUGGGCAGGUUAAUAAGAUCUAAACAUGUUAAAUGGGUUAAACGGAUUAAACAGGUUAAACAGGUUAAACGAGUCUAAACAGGUCGGGUUGGGCAGGUUAAACAGGUCUAAACAGGUUAAACGGGUCAGAUUGGGCAAACAGGUUAAACAAGUCGGGUUGGGUUGGGUAAACAGGUUAUCUAUUUAUUAAAUAUGUUAAACGGGUCGGAUCGGGUUACCUGUUUUAUAAAUAGGUCAAGUUCAGGUUGUAAUUUUUGACCUGUUUAAUAAACAGGUCGGGUUCAGGUUUAUGAUUUUCUGAUCUGACUUGUAUGUGAUCCGAUCAAUUUAUGAUCCGAUCCGACUGCCACCUCCAUGAGUUGGUGGACUUACGACCGUUGAGUAUUGGAAGGACCGUGGAGAUUGGAUUGAUGACUGAGAUCGUCGAGGACGGUCGACUAUAAGUUUUGAAGGAAGAAUUUGGAGCCUUUUCUAAAGUUACCUCUCCAUGGUCCAUACCUGCUCCCGUUGGAUGCUGACAUGACAUGAUGUUUCUGAUGAGUCGAGAUCCUCUCCUAUCUUUGAUGAAAUUGGAUAAAUCUAAUCUUCUAAUCAUGAUCAUAGAUACAUUACAUAAAAUUAUGCAUUAAAUAUAGGAUAUAAUAUCUAUUUUGAUACAUCUCCAACCACAUCGUUGGUGGAUAAUAAAACUAACCAAUGAAAGCCCGCCAAAUGACCUUCAUUAAAGGCACUAAAAAAUCAUGUAAAACUCUUUCAACAGAAAACCAUUUCAUCACGAUCGACUAACAUACAUCCUCAACACUUAAAUCCAACAACGUGCAUAACAUGUUGGCAGUUGUUGAACAAUUAAGACGUGCAUCCGUCUUACUUGAUGACGUAUACUAAUUCUCACUAAAUAUUAUCUACACUUAGAAGACCUUCAGAUACACUCUCUCUGGUACCCUACUUUUGCUUUCACUAUUCUUAAAUCUCCGCCAUUCUCAAAAACUUUUUUCUAAUUUAGGCAUCAGAAGAUCCUCCUCCAAGCAAAAUUCAAUAGCCUUUGGGGCUCGUUUGGUUCACGAGAAGCAUUUUCCCUCUUAAGAAUAUGACUCCUGGAAAACAAAUUCCUAGGAAGAGAAUGCUUAGAAAAGUACUUUUGGCAUGUUUGGUUGACCAUGAGAAAGUGACAAAUUUCCAAAGUGCUUAUGUUUGGUUGGCCAUCCACUUUCUUAAGAAAGUUAUGUAUAAUUUCUAUUAUGCCCUUAAUAAAAAUUAGGUCUUUAAUGCCUCUUUAAUGCUUCUUUAAUGUUGAAGGGCAUUUUUGGAAAAAAAAUAAAAAUAAAGUGAUUCCCACCUCAUGGGAAAGUAACUUUCCCAUGUUUUUCAUGGGAAAGACUUUCCCAUAAAAUGUGGGNNNNNNNNNNNNNNNNNNNNAAUGCCUCUUUAAUGCUUCUUUAAUAUUGAAGGGCAUUUUUGGAAAAAAAUAAAAUAAGUGAUUCCCACCUCAUGGGAAAGUAACUUUUCCAUGUUUCUCAUGGGAAAGACUUUCCCAUAAAAUGUGGGAAUCAUAUUCCUAUGGAAAUACAAUUUUUCCAUCUUUCUCCUUUGAAAAUUCCAACCAAACAAGAGGCAUUUCAUUACUUUCUCGUUGACCACACUUUUUCCUCUUCUUUUUCCGCGAACCAAACGAGCCCUUGGUGUUAUUUUUCUCUUACUUUCAUAUUGGACCCUUAGCAGAUUUUUUUAUCUGAACAUGGCCGCAGCGGAUUACUCACUCACUGUUCACCAGCUUGUCCAAUCUUUCUAGCGCAGAGUUUGUUUGAUUCCUUUCUGACAUUAUUUUCUCAAUCAUAAUUUUGGCAGCAAAAUAUUUACUCACAACUCUCAUACAAUAUAUGAAUAGUGAUGAUUGGGAGAAUAUACGUUGCCAAUUCAAUCAUGAAUUGGAAUGUGUUUACUGGAAGAAAACAAUGAACUGAAAGAAUCUGAAUUCGCCUAUUGUGUUGCAUCAUCGUACUUGAAUCCUUUCUGACACUAUUUUAUUGUUAUUUUUUAUUUACUAUGUAAUUUUUGUUAUAAUAAUGUAUGUUUGCUGCAUCUGCGAUUACUUUCCUUUUAGAUAAACUCAAUAAAAGACAAAUGAGAAAUAACUGUGCCGUAAUUACUGACAUUGGAAUAAGACUUGUUUUUUUUUUUUUCAUUUUUGAGCAAAGGGAGCCACAUUCACAUGGAUCUAAUUGGAAGGUUCAAAAGCCAAGAUAUUCCUCGCAAGUUCUAAAAGUCACAAGUGGAACAGCUUCCAAACUAGGUAUAUCAUAUGUCACAAAAAAAUGUUAUCCGUGCCAACUUAGAAGGGGCCUAUAUUCAUAGCAACGGCUAUGAGAUUAGUCAGAUGCCUGGUUGUAAUGAUAUGAUCUAAUAUUCUGUGGUCCGGAUGGUCCUUGCUCCUAGGGUUAGGUGUGAGAUUAGGACGGAGGGAGACAAGAAGAGAUAUUGUUGUCCCAAGUGAAUGCUCACUUGCUACCAGGCCAUCAUAACCAACGGCAUGCUUGGAGAAGGGAUCUUAAACGAAGUGACGUUGUUGGCCUCUUAGGCAGGACUCCAUUGGAUCUUUUUCAGCAGAAUGGACCACAUCUUUCUUUUUUGAUGCAAAGGGAAGGCAAAGGGAUCCACUCGGCUUUUAUUGAAGAUUAAUCGUAUUUACAACAGAGAUGAGCGGAGAGUGGAGUUACAUUAUCAAGAGAGGAUGCGAAAAAAAGAAGCUAAAUGUUUCCAAACCUGUGUCUGAUAAUCAGGACAGAAAAUGUUUAUGCUUGUAAGAAGAAACAGUGGAGGAAAGAACCUCAUCCAGACCAAUAAGCAGGAGCAUUCAUUGCCACGUCCAGGACAGAAACAUCAUCCGGGAUAGAAUUUAUGAAAGCCACUAUUCAACAACAAUUUCAUGCAUAUUGUAUUAUGCUUCAGGGGAAUGGACCACAUCUUUCGAAUGGACCACACCUUUCAAAUUGCAUUCCCAAAUAUUACAAAGCCAAAUCUACCUUGUCUCUCACCAGCAGUGAUAGCAUGUUUAAGAGACGUUGCUGAAGGAUGUCUUUUUAUGACCCAAAGAAGAGCAUGAGAAGGAUAUUUAAGCGGAAAUAUUUCUUAGAAACAGAAUUUAUUAAGUUGAGUUCAUGUUAGGUUGGAUGUCAAAUUUGUGACAUCUAGGAGCAUCAAUGAAGGAGCGUUGGCAAAGGAGGGGAUUUAUGGAAGCCACUAUUCAACAACAAUUUCAAGUGUACGUAGCAACCUCUCACCUACCAUCAGAAAGGGCUAAAAAAGAUGUUCUCCACAAGAUCCAUUUAGUUUAGGUUUUGUAGACAUUCAGUUUUGGUAAUAGUUGGCACUGAUUUCUCCAAUUAACCUUUCAGGCAUCCUACAAAUAACAAAUGUCAUCACUAGAAAUUCAAUGUGCAUGCUAUUUCCAUAGCAUCAUCUAUUAGCAUAAUUUUAGAGAUCACGUGACAACCUGUAUCAACUCAUAUUAUUUUUUUUUGUUAGCAUGAUCAUGUAUUAAUCAGUAUUAUUUUAUUUGUUAGCAUGAUCUUGUUAAAAUGAUUUUAGAAAUCACAUAACAAGUUUUAUUUUUCUUUAUUAGUAUGAUUUUAUAUCAACUUAUAUUAAUUUUCUUUUAUAGAGUCUGUACAUGAGUAUAUAUAACUCCUGAGAUGUACCAAAUAUGAUGGAACAAAAAAUAAAAUCAUUUUUUUCUCUCUUUUUCUUUUGUUUUUCUCUACUUCUGCAAAUAUUUUAAUGUCAUCCAAGUUGCUUCUCCCGUUUGCCUUUCUUCUCAGCUUCAUCAAGUUUUCUGGAGCUGUCAUGCUGGCGGUGAAGCUCGUUUCUAGCCUUCUAGGCCAUGUUAGCUCUCCACAUUACUUACAGGUUCUUCGAUGGCGGAAUCGUCGAUCCUCUCCAAGUUGCUACAUCUGCAACAUCCACAGCUAAUCUACACCUCUCCAUUCAUCCUUUCAUUACAUUAGGAGCAGAAAAGAGGUGUGGGCUUUGAGCCACAAGACCUGAAGGCAGCAGAGGCCAUUUGAACAGGCAUCAUGUGGACCUCAUGUAUAAGGUCACGAGCGCAGUAAAUGAUGUUAUCAUCUAGCCUCAUAUAAGACAUCUUACACAGCUCCAAAUAGGUACCCUUGACCUUGCUCCUUCAUAAAAGUUGCCUGUUCUGAUUCAAAGACUUGCAUGGUACUCACAAGUACUUCUUCUCAGGCUUGUGAGGCAGUCAUAAUUAUUUUCUGUUCGGAGACAGGAAUGAUCACAUGUAACUUGGAAUCUCAAAUCGAUAAAUGAGCAGAAGAAAUGAAGCUGCUUGCAAUCACUUUUCAGACCACAUAAAAAUAGGAAACUCGUCCAGCAAUUUUUCACCAGACAUGAAUGCUGUUUUAUUCUACCACUCCAGCUUAGCAUGUAAGCACAUGUUUCAUAAUAAUAUACUUUUACUGUUUCUGCCGUGCCUGCAUGGAAUUAGGGCUUUGGUUCUUGCCACAGCUGAAUGCUUAUGCAACGAGGAUGAAAUACUAACAAAACUUGGAGGACCAUAUGAACUUAGGCUAGAAUUCGCAAAUCACUGAUCAAAUAAAAAAUCAUACAGAUGGAAGGAAAUUGUCAGUCAAUGCAGAGUUGUUUUCUAUACUAUUUGGAGACUGAUAUGGGAAUUUAAGCAUCUUGUUCCUCAGAAGCAGCACUUGCAGCACUCAGAUCCAGAGUCAAAUUAAGCUCCCGCACCAUGGGGAAAAAAACGAAUAAAAAAUUACUUAACAGUACUCUGAACAUUUUAACGGACAAGCAAAUUUUCUCCUAUUUUCCUUUUAGUAUCAAUACUUAUUUAGCUACCAAUAUGGGAAAUUCAGAUCCCAGUUUGUCCAUAUGACAUCAAAAAUGAUGCAAUCUCUUCCUUGUUUCAAAACAUCAUAACGUUAUGGUCUAUCACAAGUGACCCAGCAGCAAGCAAUCUGGUAGUUCGAAGCUUUCUCUAUAAGUAUCAUCAUUAACAAUUUUGUCAACAAAUACUUUCCAAAAAACUCUUGAAAAACUUCAUAAGCUUCUUUUUAGUUCAUCCCUCAAUUAGCUCAUCCUUAAUGUAAUAUCAUUCUGUUGUCAGUAAUAUAAAAUAAUUAGUCAUUCAAGGUACCAAUGGAUAAUUUGAAUGAUUUUAUAUGCUUUCUCAAAUAAGUCAAAAUAUUACCUUCCUAGUUAUCUUUCUGUGCAUAGAGAGCAACUACGACUGUUGACUCAAAAUGAGUUGUGGCAUCAUAACUCUGCAAAGCAGUUAAUAUCAAUUUAGAAAAACCACUUCAAGUCUUUUUCACAAAACAAUAAAUCACAUGAUUAUAUUAUAGUGCAUGUUAGUGACUGAAUACCUCUAUUGCUUUAACAAAUUAUAAGUGAAUCGCCGAAUUAGUUCAUACUGACAGUAGAUAUAUGGCACUUGUCCUCAUCAUGGUUGUUGAUAGGUUCAUAUCUGUUAUAGAUGUAGAAAAAAUGUCUCAUCUACACGUCCAAGGAGAUUGGUUCCAGGCUUCAAUUCAACCUCAGCAUAUUUUGUCUCUGUUUCUGCUGAAACAAAAGCGAUGUAUUUCCCCUUUCGAGCUACAUUAGGAGCAAAAGAACAACAAAAUACCUACCCGUUCCGAAAACAAAAAUUAAAAUGUCCAUUACUAUGCUUUAUGUUAAGUCUUCAUUUAUUUUUUACUUAGGCUUCAUUUCCUUUUUCUUAAGCAAACAGGCUUUAUUUCACUUGAAGCACCUUCCAGAGCUUUGUUAUCCCAUGUUAAUGUUGAGGUAGUGUUGGUUGCUUAUUCAAGCUCACUGUUGGAGAUGGUCAUGCUGACAGGCAUAAUAAAUCCUACUAUUCAAUUGGAAGGUCCACCGAGGCAGCACCGGAUGUUGUAUCGGUUAGUGACCAAUAUGGUAUGAUACUGGCUUAGUACCAUAUCGAUACACAGUAUGCAAUGAUAUACCGGAUCCAUAUAUGCCAGUACAACAAUUCCUAUUUUCAUUUUUUUUUGUUCUUUUAAUUUUUUUUAUUAUUUUUGUUGAUUGUCUUAAUGAUUGUGAUUGUUUAACUUAAGAUUUCAAUAUUAUCUUGAUGUCUUUACAUCAGAUUAGUCUUAGGUCUCAACAAACAUGUUAUAAUCGAUAAACUAAUACAAUGCAACAUAACUGAAUGCAUGAGUACGUAUGAUUGAAGUUACAUACAAUAUAUCAAAUAGAUUUGAAGUGCAGAAUAUGUACCAAUGUCUAAAAUUUUGGGAAGUACCUAUGUCCCUCAUAGACAUCAGGAUCUUUAGUCUGGGCCUUGGGAGAUUAAAGACUUGGCAUGAUGAUUUUGGCAUGCAUGCAUGAUUCUUUCAUAUAUUGUUCAAGCAACUGCUUCUGUUAUGACCUCCUUUUCCCCAUAAAGCAACAGGCCGUCCAGUUAAGUUUCCAUCUCCGAGGCAUGCCCUUCUACAAAUUCUCACUCUGCUGACUGACAGCAGUGAUUAGAGUGAGCAUGUAAACAUGGUUAUCAAAAACAGUUAGCUUCUGGCCUAGUAAUGGUAGAAAAGUACUCGGACCUGCAAUGCUUCAGAAAUAAUAAGAGUUUCUUGUCUAAUUUGUUCAAAAAAAAAAUCAAGCAAGACUCUGAAAAUAUUUAAUAAUUAAACAAGUGGCAUGACUGAACAUAAUCAUAACCAAGGAAACUUCUUUCAUUCAUACGAAAACAAACCAUAGAGUUGCUGAUAAUAACAAUAUACAUUUAAGUCCACUUGGAAUUUUAAUAACAAAAUCCAUUUGGAAACAGAGCUGAUAAUAAGUGAUGCAUCCCAGUUGCAAGCAAUCAACAGAAACAGCCUGUCACCAUCUAGAGAACAUGGAAACUAAAAAAUAGUGGAACUUCUAGGAGGCUCAAAGUGUUAUGAUCAUUCCUUAUCAUUGUUGCAUGCUCCUCUAAAUGUUGUAACAUAACAGCAAGCUAUGACUACCCUUCGGCAAACCGAUGUUUGUCCAUUAUACCUUUCUCCUAGUGAUCCUCAUUCUGCUGUUCCAGAGGGUUGAGCUUGGAUCCUGCAAUCCUCCAAAUAUGUACCUGUCAGAGUCCAGCAAUGAGUCCUUCCCUCCACCUGCCAUCCAAGUUCCAUUAGGUUCCCAACAAACACAUCAACAAAUGUCAAAGCAUUGUUUUGGUCAGAAGAGAGGGGAGAGAAAAAGGCAAAGCAUUGUAAAACAAUAAGAAACACAUGAACAAGUAUAGCUCUUCCUGGCUUACAUAAGACUUUAGAGGAAAUAUGAGAAGCUGUAAGCAAUUUUAUGGAAGAUCUAUGGAGCUCUUCACAUGGUAUGCAUUACAGCAAUCAAAUUGAGACAAGUUAUUCUGAAGUCAAACCAAAUUAAAAAUGAAAAUAAAGCAUCUCUCAGAACUAUUUCCUAAUCAACAGCCCGGCUAACCAAUUUGUACGCAUAUGGUGAUCAUCACAAACUCGAGGAUUCUCAAAAUAUCCUCAUUGUAGAUCCUUCCAACAAGCUCAUUAUCCUAAAAGCCAGAGCCAGGUUCUCACUGUGGCUCCAAAGGUUAUGCUCUUUCUGUUUUUCAUCUGUGCUAUGCAAAUGCCAAUGAGGUAUGGGCAACAAAACCAACGUUGAACAGAUUCGCUGUGCCUGUGGGUGCCUUCUGUUCCCAAUGCCAAAGGAACUCGCUUCAUUCUUCCCCUUAAUCCAGUGACAAGCUGAUCUCUUUUUCAGAUUGAUUCAUUCGACAUGGAUUCUCAAUUUGUCGAUGUCUUCGGCAUUCCAUUGACAUCAUGUACAUCUAAUUGAAGAACAUAAGCUGAGUCUUCUAAAGGCUAUAACUCAAGAAGGAAUCGAGAAGAUUUCCUACCGCUGUUCAAAUUUUUGCGAAUUCUGUUGGAAGACAACAGACUCGGGUCGAUAAGAUAAUCUAGUGACAUGGGCAUGUCUUUGAUAAAUCUCUCUGAUUCAACAAGCCUCCCAUGAUACAAACACAUGCUCUAUUCUUGGGGAAAUAACCAAACUCCAAAUUCAUAGCAUUGUAGCAGUUCAUACCUUUGUCUACUAGGCCUGCAUGAUUGGAAGCAAAGAUGAGAAAUAAAUAUAACUAUGAGGACUCUUGCGGGCAUACGUUUAGUCCCAUAUCAGUUAUUCGCUGGAUAGAUCUUGGGUACUUAUACAGGAUCAAGAAACUCAAAUAAUAUAUUUCGAUUUGCUUUUUUGGGUGAGAUCCUAAGAGGUUCCGUGGAUUUGAAUGGAUUUGAACCCUAACGUCAGACGAGGACAUUAGAGAUUGAACCGUGGAGUGACCAUUUUGGGUGAGGUCCUGGGUUGUUACAAUAACAUAAUCUAGGUUAAGGAAGAAAUGUCAACAUACUAUCCAUCCUUCUACAUAUCCAUGAAGUUGCACCGUCGAGGCUGCUGGAGGCUGAACUGGCGAUCUAGAGAGAUUCGGGCAUGCUGCACUUCCAAAAAUGCUUUACAGAAUCCUUUCCACGGCUACAGAGAGCAGUUAUACCAAUCGUUGAUAUCAUUCAGUCAUUCAAUCAAACAGUGGAGGCAGGACAUCUCAUAAUUAUGUACAAUCCGAGCAGAUCGCGAAACGACAGAGGUAGGACCAUCAUGGAAGGAGGAAGGGGAUGAGAACGAGAGUUAAUAACCUGGCUGGCUGGAGAAGACAUAGGAGGAGGUAGAGAAGAGACUGCAAGUGAAGGAUUUGAGAAAUUGAUCGUUGGACAGGCAGGAAAUUACUUCUGGUGUUUGAUCGGUUUAACCUUCACUGACUUCAUUGUGCAAUCACUUUUGGAAAGAUAUUUGAUCAAAACAAAGUAUUUCUAAAAAAAAAUUAGAGAAACAUACAAAUAAGAAUAACGGUAAGGCUAAUGACAUGUUAUAAUGGCCAACAUCAUUUCCCUCUUGCAUUAUAUCCAAUGUAUAAUGUCAUUUUAAAAAUUGGUUCCCAGAAGCCACCAGUGCAGUCUUGACUGAAAAGAGAGCAGCUAUUAAAUUACACAGUGUCCUUAAUAUUUUGUUGGAGAUUCUUGUUUUAUACAAACUUUUUCUCAAGAAUCUCAUUUUUCCAACAUAUAAUCUGCCAUUUGCUGACAUGAUCCAUGAACCCGUUAAGAAAAUUUUCAACUUUCAGCAGGGUUUACCAUUGCCUCUCCAAGAGCAGAAAACAAAUGACAGUAGCUUAAACUCUGGCUUGUGCGUAUAUCAGAUCAAAAGAGUUUAGUUACUCUAGCAAACAACGGGUUUUGAAUUUAUGUACUAAAGUAGUGGUUAGCUACAGGAUGUAUUUUAAUUUAAGAGGGAGGCCUGAAACAUCCAUGUUCUGCAUUAAAAGAAAAGCUGGGUUUGCAUUAAUGCUUUAUAUAUACACCCACAUAAUAAAGACCUAGAAAGACAAUGCUAUGACUUUCUAAUCUUUGAAGAAGAAGAAAACUCCGGUAUUCAGCUACGCUCUUUUGCAUUCCUAGCUUCCCCUGCCAAAGAGAUAAAAAUGGCUAUCCAACUCAAGCAUUUACCACAAAACAAAGAUUAAUUUCAAACUUCACUGAUCAUAUCGCAAUGUGAUCGCCUCGAGUACGCCUACCAAAAACGAUCGUUAAGGGCCGUUCGACUCCAUAGUUGUUGCCGCUCGGUUCCGCUGACACACCCUCCCAAUCCGCUUGGAUCCGGCUGCGAAAGAGAGAGAGAGAGGGAGGAUGCAGUUGGAAUUCACGAGGCGUCGCUGCGGAAAGGUGGCGCUGCGUCGCCCAGUUGGAACCCCCCACCCACCACCUUUCCUCCCUCGCUCUCUCUCUCUCUCUGACUCCUUUCCCCAAAACGCACCAACCUCUCUCGCUGUCCAAAGGCUUAGCCUUCUCCCUCUCCCUUCAUAUGUGAGCAUUGAAGAGAUUUCCGGUAUCCCCUCGCCGUUUGGUCUCCCUCUCACGUAUCGCCCAGCCUGCUGCCAAAAGCUCUCCAUUUCCCAAAGCUCCCUCAUUUCUCUCUUCAAAAAAAAAAGAAGCUAUCCUACAGAUAGCUCCUCUCAGCUAGUAGAACCUAUCACUAGGCUAGCUACUAAUGAGAGAUCUGACCUCUUCCUCCCAAGUCCGAGGCCUAAGACUAACUCGACUGCUGAGUACCACGCACACAAACAUGCUCUUUUCCACGCUACCCUUCUUUCUUUCCCUCUAUCUCCCUCUCUUUCUUUCUUUGUUUGCUUUCCUACGAAUUCCCACCGAAUCUCCAUGCAGAGGGUUGGAGGAGGAAUAGAUUUCGUGCCAUUUAUGUCCCUGGGGGAAGCAUGCUGCAGUGCGCGCGCACUCCCUCCUCUAUCACACCCCGCCAUGCACGGUUGUCAUGCUUGAUCGAUUUUUUUAGUACUCCAAGUAGUUGAGAGAAACGUCUCGAGGGAAUAAACACAAGCAUGUUGCCGCCUUGUCACCUUAUCUAGAUUAGGUUCCAAGGCCGGAUCCAACUAAGAGCAAAACACCUGACGAUAGAAAACCUAAAGAAAGAAAAGAAACCAUUCGGAGAUAAUUAGGAAUAUUUUCGAAAAUUAAAAAGAUAAGAGUCGAACACAUUGGAGCCUCGCAACUACAGGCAUUUUGAAGAGUUUGUUUUUAUUAUCAGCAACUUAAGUCUAAUACAUACAAUUAAUGCACAUAUUUUCAAGGCAAACAAACUCUGGAAUUGAGUCUUAUGCAUCAUUAGGGAAUUUUCUUUUGACAAUAGAAUAAGUAGUAGAAUAUCAUUAGUUGAACGUUGUGAGAAACACGCAUUCUCCUCCCUAUACCUUAUAUGUAAGUUUCACGUGAAUCGUUUGUGAGGUUCGUCAUAUGAGGAUGGAGCAUGCAGCCGAUGUUGCAAAAUAGUAGUUCAAUUUAAUGUAAAUCAUAUACUUUCUUAUCUUUGUGAUUAAGGAUGCUCGGCACCAUAGUUACAUUUUUUUUUAGUUAAUUCUUUUUGAAUUUUCAUGGAACGUGAAGGAUAACUUUUAUGAUGCAGUUCUUUGAAGGCUAUUUAACGAGAUACAUGAAUCAGCAUUUUAUUGCCUAUAUAGCCGAUGCAUUGUUAUGUAUAUUGUAUUUGUUAUUGAUUGCCUUGAUACUUGCCAUUUGACAUGCAACACAAUUAUCUCCAACCCCUUGCAGUUGCAGGUUAAAAUGUUAAAUUACGCUCGCAUGAGAGAUGUGAAUUAAAAGAACACGCCAACUAAAAGUAUGUUAUUAUCAUCUUAUGGAUACAAAGAUCGAGAAAGAAGCUUAGGUUAAAAAAAGGAAACUUACAUUAUGCAUCCUAACCAUUCAUAAACAGGUGCCAAAAUUUGUUCAGAAUGUCAUCAUGCGCUAAGCAUAUUUGAAGAUUAAUUAUUUUUUCAAUGAAGAGAGUGUCAAAACCAUCCUGCCCUUAUUAGAAAAAAGAAGAGUUUAUAAAAUCUAUUUAUAAAAAAUUUGCAAGAAAAAAAAUACAAAAUAGUAAUAAAAUUUUUUUACAAAAGAUAAUGGUCUGUAAGUAGACUUGUUAAACUAUUCAACAAGCUGAACAAUCUCAUAAAUGAUUUGAAGGAUCUAUGUAUCUUCAAUAUGCAACACAUAAGCUCUGUAUCUAGAUGUGAAUCAGAUUUUUUCUAAAAAGAUAGAACAAUGUCUUUCAACGUGUGGCGCUAACGUUGCAAGAUUAUUUUCAAAUUUGAGAUGGGAACUGAGCAUAUCAAGAUUAAUUAUUAGAAAGAGUUUAGUUUUAGUGCUCAAGAUUGCUGUUGGAACUCUCUUUUGCUAGCUUUCUCUUGGAUGCAUGCAUGCAAAAUCUUGUAUGCACAUUGCCUCAUGGACAAUCAUGAUUACCAACUAGUACUGCAAUGAAAUCAAUUUGUUAAAUUGCAUAAUGAUCGGGAAUGUUAUAUAUCCAGCCAGAUGAGUCCCUGCAAGUCUGCAAAUAUUGUAUAAACAAUUAUUUUUCCUAAAGACAGUCAAAUAUAUGCUAUAAUUAGAAAGAUAUGCAAUCAAAGCUCUAAUAAAUCCAAUGACACAAGCAAAGAAUAUGUAUCAUUCCCGAGGGGGUGAUCUCUUAGCUCCAACCCAAAAGAAACUUGGACUCGCUGGCGACCACCAUUUCCGUGAUCACCCACCCCAACUGUUACCACCACCAUUGAAUGCUCGCAUCCAGGCCAAACAAAGCGACGCGGCACCUGGCGCCCCUCGGCCGCUCCUCGCCAUGUUUUCAGAGCUGUCCAGCUCCAAAAACCACACGAAUGUCAAACCCCAACGCCAGCCCCACCCCGCUCCCCUCUCACGUUUCUUGACUCCACUAGACGACAAGUAGAUACCACACUCUCAGCCCCACCCCCCUCUCUCCCACACACCACCCCCUCCAUGCAUGUAUAAAAAAGGAACCCAGCCCCUCAGAACAAGUGCCAAUAAAACAAAACUCCUACUUUCUUAGCCAUGGAGGAAUGCAAGGGGUCGGCAUCGGCCUCGUCGCCGUCGCCGUCGGGUUCUCGGUGGAACCCGACCAAGGAGCAGAUUGCGAUACUGGAAGGACUCUACCGGCAGGGGAUCCGGACGCCGAGCGCUGAGCAGAUCCAGCAGAUAACUGGCAAGCUUAGGGAGUAUGGGAGCAUCGAGGGGAAGAACGUCUUCUACUGGUUCCAAAACCACAAGGCUCGCCAGAGGCAGAAGCAGAAGCAGGAGAGCUUCGCCUACUAUAGCAGACUCUUCCACCAAGCUCCGCCGACACCUGUCCUCUCACCAGUACCUCCUCCACCAACUUGCACCAAUGGUGAGCCGCUUGGACUGUCUGUUUUAUGUCUUGUGUCUAUUCUUUUACUGUAAGUUGGCUCGUUAUUUCUCAAGUGUUUAAGAUGAUCCAUCCUUGCCUCCCAUUAUCAUCAUCAUCAACAACAAAAAAAGACGAUCGAUCCAUCCUUUCCUUUUAUCUGGUUAAGAAAGGGUUUACUUGAUUCUUGUUUAAUUUUUCCCCUUCACAGAAAACUAUAAUAUGUUUUAACAGUAUUUAUUCAUCAUGCAAGUUGCCCUCAUGGUUCUACUCAUCUAUUAGUUAUAUUUCCAACCUUAUCUACAAUACUGUGUAGCAUUUAAUGCAUUCUUUUUUUCGUUUAAGCUGUAAAUAGUUAACGAUCUUUUACUUGCUUGCAUGCGUAAGAGAUUGUGCCUAAUGGACAUUUUUUUCUCCUUGCAUAAUUUCACGGAAUUUACUUUUACCUUUAUGUUUGCUUCUUUGUGAAUGAUAUUUCUUUCUUGUUUUGGGGUUGUUGCUUCUCCUGCUUGACCACUUUUGAUCACCUUUUUUCUGUCUUGUACCAUUCUCAUGCUUUUGCUUAUGUUGUUUUAGCUAGCCAUCCGUCCUCUUUCCAUCAAAAAAAAAAACGCCCCGCCAUCUGUCUUCUUCCCUUUCCAGUUACUUUUUAUUUGCAUAUCACACUGGACAACAAUCCCAUUCUCAGCUGUCCAUCAGACUUCUCCCUCAGUCUCUUCACCUUCCUUUUUUGUGUAUAUUCUCAGCUAACAACAGAUCUCCUCCUUCCAUCUCUAGUAGCUCUUAUGUUAACUUUCAACACAAGUUAUUACUUCUUGUUUUUAUCUCUUUUAUACACUAGAAUAAAAACAUUUGGUGAUACUAAUCACCUUUUGUAUUGUUGUCUCAUUAUUCAGAACCGUCUUAAAGUUACAUGUAGAACUGCAUUAUCUCUCUCUUUCUCUCUCAUCCUUUUUUCUGAUAAAGCUUUCUCUCAUCAUUGGAUGGGUUCGUGGCCCAUCUUUCAUGCAGUUGUUCGCAGCCCAUAUUACUUUCAGGUACCACAGGUUGGUGGUGUUGGCUUCUACCAACCCCAGUUCCCUAACAUGUUCUUACCCGGAGCUGUGAACAUCAAUCCAAGACCAGAGUUUCAAGUGAGCCGGGAGAUAAUCCCAGAGGCAUUCAGCAACGCCCCUCAUCCAGCCUACCACUAUGAUCAUCAUGCCACUGGAACGAGCCACAGCACUGCAGGUCUUGCCAACAUGAACGGCCCCAUCUCCCAUGAGACACUGCAGCUGUUCCCGUUGCACCCCACUGGCAUCUUGGAGGAGAGAUCUGUCAGCACUCUAACCUCAGCCUCAGCAGAGUCCGAGAGCUUGGACGAUGGAGAAGACGAGGUGGGUGGUGAGAACCAACCACCCUUCAAUUUCUUUCGUGCUCCUAGGAAGCCAUACUAAGAAAACCAUUGUGUUUGGGUGUUAAGAAAAAAAACAAAACAAAAGAGGGGUUGGACAGUGGUUUUGCUUUGAUCUCAUCUCCUUUACUUCUUUUUUUUUUUCAUUUUUGCUACUCUUUUGUGUCAUCGUGAUGCUUUCAGGCCAUGGUGAAUAAAUGGAUGUGUAAAGAGAUUGGAGGGAUCAAGGAAUAGUUUGUUUUAUUGGUUUUGUUCUACACUUCUACUCUGAUGAAGGUGGUCAAAUGUACAGUACUGGCGAGUUUGACCGGCUCGUAUGUUUUUCUUCCUUUAUUAUUUCCUGUGUCUGUACGUAAACAUUGGACACAAGAAUGGGACAGCGUGGGCCGUGCACCUGAGGUCGCAUGUUUCGAUCGAAACGUGAAAUCGCUUGAAAACGAAGUGGGUUACUGUACGGCAUUUAUGAUUUGGAAGUCCUACGAGUCCUAUUCAUCAGCAUGGCCUCUGGAUUCUCUGCAACCUAUAACCUGUAGCCAUAUGGUUUCCUUACCGUCUGCAACGAGGAGCCCCAUGUCUUAGCGUCUGCUGUGUAGUUGUCCGAUGUAAUGCAAACAGCCAUGCAAAGGCUAGUUAAUAUAUACAACUUUAAAAUUAUGCGACAAGCAAGAACAUCCAAGUUGUGCAGUUAAAAAAAAAUAAAUACAUAUAUGCAUAAAUUCAUAUCUAAGAUCUAAUCCUCACCCUUAAAUUCUUCAUUAAGUUAUUCAUAUCUAUUAAUCAAUUAAUUAGUUAAAUUAUAUAUAUAUAAAAGUAUCUUAGUUUUUUAAUUUUAAUUUAGUUAAAAAAAACCAUAAUCAAAUUAUUUUAUUAAAAACUUCAAAGUUUUCUAAUAGCAUCCUUGAAUUAGAUUUCCCUUUAAAAGACUUAAAACAUGCAAAACUCCUAUAGAAGAAACGGUUCUAACAUUGCUGGAUUUUGAGAGGAAAAAAUGAGAAGUAAAGGUAUCACCGAUCAAUAGAUGAUAGAAAAUUGGAUUUAGCAAGAAAGAAAGAAUUCAAUUUUUUUGAAAAAAAAAUAGACUCUAAAAGCUUUUAAUGGAGGAAAUAAGAGAAAUAUUUCUAAAGGGAGAUUUAUUGCAUUAGAGAAAGGUAAUCAUGAUUUAAUUAUUAUAUAUAUAUAUAUAUUAAAAGUGUUUUUGAUUAAAUUAUUCCAGAUUUAAAACUGUUAGAAGUGUAUUUAUAUGUACAUUAUUAGUGUUUUAUAAAAGUAGCUAUCUUUCGGAACUUUUUUCCAAUUUCAAUAAUGGCCUUAAUUAAAUUUCUCUCUUAAUAGCUUAACCAUACUAGCAAACUUCUAGUAAAUGAAAAAGGAGCGGAACGUAAUGUGGGACUUCUUGGAAUUAAAGAGAGAAAUAGACACACGUACAGGAGGAAAUGAGAAUGCAUUGGGCAUGCAUUGUGAAUUAUUGGACUUCUUAAGUGGCAAAAAACUGCUUUUUUUCUCCAAUCUCUAAAAUUGUUUGGGUUUAGUGCCUUUCUAGAGUUAUUCUCAAGUCUGCUAGUGUUUGGAAAAUUUAAUAUUAUCUAUCUUUUAUGUUUUCACCCUAAUUAACAUAGUUACUCUUUUGGCAUUAAGCUCCUAGGUAUACAAGUGACAUAUAUUCGAUGCAGAUAUGUUACCAAUCAUGAACAAAUGAUGAUAUAUAUUAAAAUUUCUUCAACACAAUGAGUGCUUAUCUUAUAUGCGCAUAGGAUAUCUAAACCAUGGAGUUGAAUUUUAAGAACAUAUCAUAGUUGUAAAUUGCUCGGCUAUUAAAGCAUGUAGUACACUUAUCAAAUUAUUGAUGAAUAUAUAAAAAUUACUUUUAUAUAUGAAACAAGUGCAUAGAUAUUUUGCUUGUUGAUGCUAACAUUGUUAUUCUUUCAGAUUAACAUCAUAAUCAUGUGUGACAUUUAUAUAAAUUUUAUUCACUUGCUUCGGACCCGGGGGGGGGGGGGGGACAUUCACUUGAAAAGAAAUAACAAUGAUAGUUUUGUCAAUGAUAGUUGUUCAAAGUAUACCCAAUGCGAGCUCUUAUUAAUUCACUUGAAAAGAAAUUAUGACAUAUUUAGGGACCUCGAGAUGGUUUUCCAAAAGCAAGUUUCACCUAAAGGCUGCAAAGAGCUCGCACUUUAAAUGUGAGACGUCACGUGCGUUAGAACAAUUAUAUUGGGAUCCCUAAACGAUAUCCAACUUAAUUUCAGGUCUGAAGUAAAGUAUGAAGAGAGGGGAAAAGAUCAAAAUUCCUAAUUCGCAAUAUAUCGGCGGCUUUUUACCGCGUGCGGUUGGAUCGGUCGGUCGAAGCAAACCCUUUCGAAGAGAAAAAGGAACAACGAGGAAGGAGGAGGAGAGAUCGAAGAAGAGCUUCCCCAAUUUCCUCCAAUAAUUCUCUCCACCAUAUCGAUCUAGCGACGUAAGGAGAGCGGAAAGAGAACAGAUCGAAGUUCCUCAAGAUGAGCUUUCUCUUCGGCAAGAAGAAAACCCCCGCAGGUACCUUUCCCCUAUCCCCUCCAUGAUUUUCUUUCAUUGGGAUAUUUUGUUGAUAUGUUUGAUCUCAAUCACGUAAACAUCAUGUUAUUUCCCUGUUUCUGUUCGUGCAAACUCGAUAAUUUUGCAACUUCGAUAAUUUUACUCGGCUUGCGUUUCGAUUAGGGUUUGCGAUCAUAUUGUCAUAUUAAGUUGAUUUAUCCUGUUUUUUUUUCGAUGGGUUUUAGCUGCUGAGGGAGAAUAAGAGAAUGUUGGAUAGAUCAAUAAGGGAAAUCGAAAGGGAGAGGCAAGGACUGCAGACCCAAGAGAAAAAGCUUAUCGCAGAGAUCAAGAAAACAGCCAAGCAAGGGCAAAUGGGAGCUGUAAAAGUAAUGGCCAAAGAUCUUAUUCGAACAAGACAUCAGAUCACAAAGUUUUAUGCACUCAAAUCACAGCUUCAAGGUGUAUCUCUUAGAAUUCAACUUUUUAUGGAAAAAAGAUAUUUUAUGUAAAAUCUUGUUCUUUUUUUGGUGAACAAAAACAAAACUCGUUGUUUAGUUAUCGAAAAUCGUUAGAUUGCUGACAAUUUGGCUUGGGACGUUGGUUUUUACGAUGGAUGUUUUAGGUACCGCAGGUCCUUGAUCGAAGAUUUCUGGUUUUAUGAGGUUUUGUUCUUUGACUUAACUAACUUAUAGGUAGAUAAGUAUAUCCGAUGAUUUCGUCUGUAGUACACUCGAAAAAGCGGGGAUUGUUUGACGAUUUGAUGAUUGCUGUGGUUUUUUUUUUUUGUAGAGCUGCUGAGGGAGAAUAAGAGAAUGUUGGAUAGAUCAAUAAGGGAAAUCGAAAGGGAGAGGCAAGGACUGCAGACCCAAGAGAAAAAGCUUAUCGCAGAGAUCAAGAAAACAGCCAAGCAAGGGCAAAUGGUAUGCACUUUUUGUGACCUCUCCAUUGCUCUUAUCAUACAAUGCAGAUAUUUGAGUUUCACUUUGGUUUAGUUUUGGUCUUUGAAUUAGUUUGUGUUAACUAUUGUUCCAACACUUCCAUGUUCCACUAAAAUCUGUUCUGCAUCCUCUUUAACUUUAUAUUUCAUAUGUCUGUACUUCAUAGCCAUAGUUGGUUCCUUCGAAAUAGGUACUCCAAUGAGUGAUAGUGUCAUGGUUUCUCAAGAGAUGGAUUAGGGGAUUAAAAUGCAGUAUGAACAUUCAGUUUACGAGAUGAAGGAAGGAAAGGAGCGAACAAGUUGGAGGAUAGGACAGGCUGGUCGAUUCAUCAGAUAGGUGUGAGCUAUACCCCGCAAUCCCACACUUUAGAUCUUUUAGUGUGAAAUGAUAAAUAAGUGGGGAUGUGCAAGUAAUGGUCUACCUUGAGCAAUAUUUUUCAUGUUGCCUUUUGGUGACUUCUUGUGUUGUUUUAUGUUUUAAAUUUUAUUGCAUUUGCAUGUGGGUUUUGGUGAUCUUGAUUAAUGUCUUGAACAUGACCGAAGCCCAUGAAUUUUACAGCUUUUUGUGGGCUCUUCAUUAUAGCUGAUGAGCCUAUUGAUCUAUUAAGUCAGGUUUAUCCCAUUUGUACUAAGAGUUGAGUUUGGGGUUAAUCUGGGGGAAGUUAUUUAUUUGUGGUUGGAGGGGGAGAAGUGAUGGUGAUGGUUGUGGUUGUAGAUUAUGGAAAAUAUGUAAUGUCAUUACUGGUGAUAAAGAUUUGAGAAUAGCACACUAGAGAACCAAUUAUCAAGGUUACAUAUUAUAUCGAAGUGAGAUUAUUUUAUUUAUUUGAAGUUGGUGACAACAUGUUAAUUGUUACAUAUAUAUUCCAAAUAUUUAUCUUUUAUCAGAACUAAAUUUUAUAAAAUUUAAAUUCUAUAUCAUGUAUAUAAUCAUACACAAUAUAACAUUCUAAGUACAUUUUAGUGCUAAUAGACAUAACUAAGACAAACACUGCACUAAUGACAACCAUGCCCAUGACCCCAACUAUUUGGUUCAGCUUUGUGAAUUCUUGUCUGCCUUUGAUUUCUGUUAACAUCUUCAUUUGCCGCAACCACAAGCUUUUGCAGUCCUUUUCCUGUAAUUUUAUAUCAACUUAGGUCUUCCUCUCUUCCUUUUUGAAUCCAAUAAAUUCGAGCACCUGUCCAUAUUAAGCCUCCUACAUGUGAUACCAUCUCUAUCGAUUUCAUUAUCUUGUCCUUGAUAAACCAAACAUCUACAUCAUAUUGGGUACCCCAGUCCAUUGACUAACACCUAAGCAAUUAUAUCAAGGGAAACAUAUAUUUCAAAAAAUAGUAAUAUUUGAAUUGAACAAAUAUUUUUUUUCUUGGUGCCUAUCACUCCAUCAUGCAGUACAUCAUCCUAUACUUUAUAAUUUUCUGAACUGUAUUGAGUCAUAAUGCCUUUAAUAACACAGAAACAGUUAUCACUAGCUAUAAAUUUACUAUUUAUGCACACAAGGAAUUUGAACAUUCACUUUUUUUUUUUUGGGAAAUUAAAAAUUUAACAUGACUACAUGCAGCUGUUUUUUUAUCAAUGGAUCAAAAUUGAUGCUUGUCUCGUGAGUUCAUCAUCCUGCCGCAUGAAAGAUGGUUGUAAAAAAUUAUAUAUAUAUAUAUAUAUAUAUAUAUAUAUGUUCUCUGUCAUCGUUAUAAAUUUCUAAGUUGCAUGCUGAGUUACCAUGUUUUUAAUGUACAACUUAGAUUUCAGAAAGGCUAGCUAAUGAUUUAAAAUCCCUUUGUUGCCUUAUUUUGGCCUGUGUGCAAUGAUUUAAGUAGGAAUGUUUUUUUAAUUAUGUAAAAGAAGAAAGCAUGGGUUUUGCCAUUAGUGAUGCAGGGCAAGCUACUUCAGACUUUAUUUAGUCAUCAGUUAACUGGGUAAACAUAAUGCAUAUCUGAUACAAUGAAUUACAUCCCUUGUUUUGUCAUAAUAUCAGUAAAACUGGGAUUUUUGACUAUGCUAAACCAGUGCAUAUUUUGAGUUCUUAUUCCAAGGGAACUUUGCUUUACUUAUUUCAAGAACAUGAGUUCUUUAGUAUAUGUUAAAGUCAUCAAGUUAUUUGCAUUUGGAAAAUUUGAAAUCUUUUAGCUGUGAUCUCUUUUGGCUUUCCUCUUUACCUUUUUAUUCAGGCAGCUUUUGUUGGAGAUUAAUCAAUGAGCAUGAUUUGCAUGUUUUCUUACACUAAGUUUCUUCAUUUCCUGAGCUGUAUCUUUUCUUGUUGUGUAAAUAUUUUUUUACAGGGAGCUGUAAAAGUAAUGGCCAAAGAUCUUAUUCGAACAAGACAUCAGAUCACAAAGUUUUAUGCACUCAAAUCACAGCUUCAAGGUGUAUCUCUUAGAAUUCAGGUAAUUUGAUGCUCUUCACUUGCAUUUGACAUGAAAAUGGCAAUGAAAUUCGGUAAUUACAUUUUUCUUCAUUAAAUAUUGUCUGAUAAAAUUUCUUUGACUUUUUGAGAUAAGAUAGGUAGUUCAGUAUUCCUUUUGUGGAAAUGCCUAUUAUAACUGCUAUUGAUGCCAAGAAUGGGAAAAUGCUUCUUAUAUGAUCUGUUUUAAGACGUAUUUGAUUCCUGUGAAAGAUUCUUUCAGUUUUUGUCAUGCUUGGAGUUAAAAUGGUCUUGAGAAUUGCAGACAUCUUUAGUGACUUAAUUCAUUGGUCAUGUUAUGAUAUAUACUAAGGCACCGAAUGCAGGAAAACUGUAUUGAAUUAUAGGAUGCCUAUGCUUCCGGUUAUAAGAGUUUGUGGACUUUGAUAAAAUUAAAGUUGAAACGACAAUUCAUGUGCUGAACAGAUCAAAUGACCAUUUAGGCUUUAUGAUGGGUGAUGAUGACUUCAGGGCAUUUGCAACAUAUGCAUGAUAUGUGGCAGGUAUCAAAGUUUAAUAAUGGUAUAAAAACUUUUGAGCAAUCCACUUUCUAGCAAUACAAUGAUGUUCAAGAGAAUCAUUUGUGCAAUAGUUUGCAGUCCAAUUUAGUUGUCAUUUUCAUUACAACUAACUCAAUUGGAAGAAAAUAAGACAUCCAAUUAUAUUUAUUUUCAUUAGUAAUUUAAUUAUUUGAGUAUAUGAAAGCUAUAAGUUGGCUAAGCAGAAAGUUAAGAAGGCAGUGCAGAUAGAUUCAAAGCAUAUGAAGAAAUAUUUUGCAAGUUAGAAUCUAAAGACAAGGAGAAAGAUAUAUAUAAGUUUGUAAGAGUAGGGGAAAGAAGAACUAGAGACUCGACUUAGGUUAAAUACAUCAAAAAAGGAAAAUCAAAAGGUUUUGGUUGAGGAUGGGAUUAGAGAAAUAUAGAAGAGCUAUUUUAACAAGCUAUGAAAGUCAUGUAAAUGAUUUAUGAUGCCCUGCUAGUUCCAUUGACGAUAGAAAUGUUAAAUAUACAUGUAGAAUUAAAAUAUUUGAGGUAAAAGAGGCUAUGCAAAAGAUGACAAGAGGAGGUUGGAUCUGAUGAAAUCCCUAUGAAAGUUUGGAAGUGUUUAAAUAACAUGGGAGUAACUUAAUUGAUUAAUUUGUUCAAUAAGAUUUUAAAGACCAAAAAGAUACCUAAUAAAUGGAGGAAGAGCAUUAUAUCAAUUUAUAAGAAUAAUGAUGGUAUUCAAAAUUGUUCUAACUAUCAUGGUAUUAAACUCACGAACCAUAUUUUGAGACUUUGGAAGCGGGUUGUCGGGUACAGAUUGAGGUGUGAAACAAAAAUAUCAGAGAACCAAUCUGGUUUUAUGGUAAGAAGGUCGACUAUGGAUGCUAAAUUUCUCCUUCGGAGAUUAAUGAAGAAUAUAGAGAAAGCGACAAGAUCUUCAUAUAGUUUUAAUUGAUUUAGAGAAAAGCGUAUGAUAGAGUCCCUAGAGAAGUUUUAUGAUGUGUGUUAAAAAAGAAAGGAGUUUCUGUUGGUUAUGUCAAUGUGAGUAAGGAUAUAUAUAAUGGAGCAGUUACUGGUCUGAGAAUUAUUGAUAGUAAUACUAGUGAGUUUUCAAUCACCAUACAUUUACGCCAUGGAUCUACUCUAAGUUCUUAUCUUUUUGGGCUAGUUAUGGAUGAGCUUACUAGGUAUCUUUAGGACGAUAUUCCUUGGUACAUGCUACCUGUGGAUCAUAUAGUCUUAGUAGAUAAAAUUAAGGUUGGAGUUAAUCGUAAGUUGGAAUUAUGCAGGAGUGUAUUAUAAUCUAAGGCUUGAGGUUGAGUAGGACCAAGACAAAUGUCGCUUUAGUAAAAUUAGAAAUAGGGCUAAAGGUUAAUAGAAAAUUGAGGAUCAUGAAAUUUUUAAGAGUGAUUAUUUUCAGUAUUUAGCAUUGAUUAUUCAUAAGGAAAAACUAAAGAGGGCGUUAUCCAUAGACUUAAAGCGGGGUAAAUAAAGUGGAAAAGUGCACAAAAAUAAAAAAUACUAUUUUUGUAGGAUACCUACCAAGUUGAACAAAUUUUUUUUUAAAAUAAUAGUUAUUAUGACCAGCUAUGCUUUACUACCAAAAGCUGGAUACUUAGAAAAAAACAUUUGCAUAGGAUGAGCAUGGCUAAAAUGAGAAUGUUGAGAUGAAUAUAUAGUAAUACAAAAAAAAAUAGAAUAAGAAAUAAAAUCAUUCGUAAAGAUGCAGAGGUAGCAUUGAUUAAGGACAAAUUGAGAUAAGGAUGAUUUAGAUGGUUUGGAUACGUACAAUGUAGCAUGAGGAAUGCACUAUUAUGAAGUGAUUUGAUACAUAUGGAAGGAAAGAGGGAUAAAGGUAGACCGAAAAUCACAUGAGAUGACGUAGUAAGGAAGGAUGUGCUAUCGCUAUAUCUUGCAGAAAUUGUGCUUUUAACAGAGCGAAAUGAAAGAAAAAGAUUCAUGUAGCCUUCCCCAACUAAUUUGGGAUCAAUGCUUAUUUGAAUCGGGUUGUCGUCAUCGUCGUAGUAGUAGUAGUAGUAAUUCAACUAUUACAUGUUUUCUUAUGAUUGCAAAUUAGUUCAAAACCAGAUGAGUGGGCUUUGCUAGUUCAGCAGUAAAAAUGUGCAGAUGUUGGAAUACAAAAGAUGGCAGGAAAGAACAAAUUAAGAAUGGAAAAUGAAAAAACAGAAAACAGACAUGAAGGAAAGAGGAGAAUGAAAAUAUAACGGAAAUGAAAAAGAAGAAGAGUUAUUGAGCAAGUUGAGAGAAUGGUAUAAAUGGAAAAGAGUGAAAUGAGCAGGGAACUAGAAAUGUGUGUGUGUGUGUGUGUGUGAGAGAGAGAGAGAGAGAGAGAGAGAGAGAGAUGAGNNNNNNNNNNNNNNNNNNNNNNNNNNNGAGAGAGAGAGAGAUGAGUGCAUGGACGAAGUUGGCUGGGUUUACAGAUUUCCUGGCUUUCUAAUGGAAAUAAGUGCUCAUUAGAGAGAAUCCGGAAGGGUGGGGGAGCGGGGAGGGUUGGGGAGGAUGGUGACCUUUAAAUGUUUUAACCAUGUUUCCCUCUUGGAUAAAUGUAAGAUCCUUGAUCACAUAUGUUAGAAAAAUAAGGUCAUGUCCAAGUUGUAUUAACUAAUGUAGUUUCAUGGUUUCCACUCCUACUUCAGAGCUGCUGGAGAGGAUGAUAAAAUACGUGUGGAAGUUACAGGAAACUUAAUAAAGAAGUCUGACACUGAAUGUGCAAGCACCCUAUCGGUUGAAUAUUAGCAUUAUAUCUUUAAUGCAUCGUCAAGGACCAUCCUUUUGCCAAUUCCUUGAAGAAUUAAAUGUUCGGGGUGGUGUGUGAGGUUCUCUAAUCCGUUAUAAUUAGGUUAAAACUGCAGAUUCAUGUUAUAUGUGAAAGUUUUUUAUUAGAGCGGGAAUUGACUUUGAAUCAGUUCAUCUCACCAGUCUACAAUGUCAUCUUUCAACUAUUUUGUGAUUCUUGCAGACAUUGAAAUCAACCCAAGCUAUGGGUGAGGCUAUGAAGGGUGUUACUAAGGCAAUGGGACAGAUGAACAGGCAGAUGAACCUACCAGGCUUGCAGAAGAUAAUGCAAGAAUUUGAGCGGCAAAAUGAGAGGAUGGAAAUGGUAAGCGAGGCGAUGGGAGAUGCUAUUGAUGAUGCCUUAGAGGGUGACGAGGAAGAAGAAGAAACAGAAGAUCUUGUGAACCAGGUCCUUGAUGAAAUUGGUAUCGACAUUAAUGCAGAGGUAUAUGCUUACAUAUCUGUUACCUCUUUCUUCCUUCAACCAAAGGAUAUUGUUAUGCUUGAUUCAUAUAUAAUAUACCUCAAAUCCAUUGGUUUUUGUAAUUCGCACACAGCUUGUCAAAGCACCGACAUCUGCGGUGGCUCAACCAGCGGCAGCUGACAGGGUUGCUCAAGCUGAAACAGCUGGGACUGAAGACGGUGGGAUAGACAGCGAACUACAGGCGAGAUUAGAUAAUCUACGAAAAAUGUAAAUAAUCUUAAUAGCAUGUGACCAAUGUGAGGAUGCAAUGGAUGACUAGCAUCUAGCACCAUGUAUUAUAGUGUGAUUUUGAGAAAUUUCAUCCAUACAAUAAAUUAUGCUGGCAUACGGUGUUUUUAACACAUGUAAUAGAUUCUUGCUUGUAAGCCUUCCAGCUUCAUUCCUGUUCUAUCAGAGAAGCGCUUCUAAGAUUUUAAGCAGCAACUGCUAGAUGAAAAAUUAUCAUGUUAGCAUGUUGCCUUGUCCUUUAUAACCGUGAUUCAAACUACUGCAUUUCCUUAGCAUUUCUCGACAUGUCUCUGAAAAUACAUGGAAUUCAGAUCAUUAGUUCGAGCCCUUGAGGCUCUUGUAUCUGUGCAUAUAGACGCCACUUCGGCUCACACACAGCAGGCCAAAAAAAAAUGAAAAAAUAAGAAAUGAAUAAUGGAAAAGGGGGAAAUUUUCCGUUGUACAACCAAGCCGGCGCCCAGGUCACCAUGUCACACCGGAACACCGACGACGCCGGCCAUCAAGCCGAAAUCUGUUGGAUGUUGCGGCCCGGAAUCCACCGCAGCGGCGGCAGUCGGGCGGCGAGGAGGCCGUACUGGAACGCUGGCACGGCAAAGGGGGCAGUUGGAGUGAGAGUAGAGCCACAUAUCUAUACAAGCUGCGUGGAAGGUGUGGUUGCAUGGCGGCAGCUGCCGGAUAUAUUCUCCAUCCAUGAAAGGCGAUAGGCACACCGAGCACCCGCUAUCGGAUGCAUUCUCCAAGUCCUCCUCUUCAUUGUGAUACUUCAGUGCCGGAAUAACCCUGGCAGUUUUGGCAUUACUGUUGGUUUCGCUGGUGGAGACCUCAGGUCGCCGGAAGAACCUCCGAAGAGCUAGAGCAAAGCGACAUGGGGAACAGCAUGCAAAGGCUAUCACGUUUGACACUAUAAUCAUGAUGGCAACCACGGCGAUGGUGAGUGCAAAGUAGUGGGAAUCCGGGGUAUCGGAUUUGGGUUGAGGUGAGGGUGUUGGAGAUGCCAUAUGGAAGUGUGUUUUGAUGGCUGGAGUUCAUCAAAACUCCCAGGACAUAUAUAUAUUAUAUAUAUAGCUGGGGNNNNNNNNNNNNNNNNNNNNNNNNNNNNNNNNNNNNNNNNNNNNNNNNNAGACAAAGUAGCAGUCUGGUUUCGAAGGCUGCUUUACGGAGCCUCAGAGCAUUUGUCUGAUAAGGGAAAUAAAUAUUUAAUGCGAGUAAUCCACCUAAAAAUUCUUCGAGUCCAUGUCACGGGUUGUCGAUCGACAUCCUUCAACGGAUGUUCUUCAGGGCGUGGCCCAGCUUUGCGUGGUGGUAAAGUUGGGACAACAGUCACAGCGCUGGGUUUUUGCUCUACUUGAUUCUGGCACGAAAUCUCGCUGUUCUUAAGUAGGUCUCGUGUCAUGUGAAACUGGGUUUCUCCGUGGUGUGGCCUCACCAUGAUUGGUCUGCUGUGAGUUCGGGAGCAGCUCAGUUGUGGGGCGAAGCAGAAAAUUUAUUCUCCUGUCUUCCAUGCUUUGAGAUGUGAUUGUUAUCAUAUGCUAAAGUGGUCCGCUGAGUGCCAUCUUCAAUUCAAAAUCUACACCGACGGAGUUCUGGUUGCAUCUUUCGCGUGAAAGAAUGACUAAUUGCAUUGACUUUUGCAUCACACGGUCCAACGAUAGAUUCGAUCAAAAGAAGGUGAAUCCUCCAUUCACAUGAAAGACAACCCCUGUCCCGAUGGAUGGCGAUGUGUGGGGUUUGACUAUGCUUCAUCUCUAGCGAAAGGUAUUGAAGAGAGAGGCAAACGAUUUCAAGAGUACAAAUAAGGACUUGUUUAGCAUCUCUUUCUUUUUUAAGUUUCUAAAAUAAAAUCACAAAAAUCAAAAUAAAAAUUAUAUUAGAUACUAUAAUUUAUAUAUUUAUUUUUAAAAAUUAUUUUAAAAAUACAAUACCAAUUUUAAAUAUUUUUAAAAAAUAAUAAACUCAUAUUUUUAUAACUAAUACUAUCUCUGCCACCAUCGUUGUUGUUACCACCACCAUACUAUCACCUCCACUAUAAUUAUCACUGUCACCAAUCUACCACCACUAUCAGCCACUCCACCACACCACCACCUCCGUCAUCAUUGUCUCUACUAUGUAGACAGUAACCCCAUUGCUAUCAUCAUUAUGCCACCUCUACCGCAUUAGCUACACUUGGGCCACUAUCACUGUUGUCACUCCUAUCAUCGCCAUCUCCAAUGCCUCUAUUUUUGUUAUUAUCAUCUCCACCAUUAUUGUUAUAUUUAUAUUUUCAAAAAUAAUCAUGUAUCCCAAAUAUAUUCAUAUUUAAAAUCUUAGAAAAUAAAAAUAAAUUUUAUUUUAUUUUAUUUUUUGAAAUAGAAAAAAAAAUGUUAAACGAUGCCCAAGCUUCCAAUUUGCGGUAUACCUUAGCUGCGACCGUUCCAGUUAGCAUGGCACGGUGUGGUCCUUCAACGGGCACAAGGCGAGCACAAAAUGAUCCAUGCCUGUUACUAUUCAACCUUACAUGCCCAAUCAACUUCAGCAUAACAAUCUUCAAUUUAUAUAGAGCAUGGUUAGAUGGAUAUAUAGAGCACUCCCUCCCCUUAUUAGCCAUCACAGUGAGGUGUAGGUAGUAUCAGUGUAGCCAAUCACAUCCAAUAGAUUUCAUGGUUUACAUCGACCCUGAUUUAACUAAUUAAGAUUUUAAGUCAACAUUCAAAACCCGAACAAUUACAACUAGGUGGGAUGGAGGAGUGCUCCAUCAAGGAAUGAAAGUGGACAGCAUGGUAUCUAUCUGAAUUCAUUUUCGUAUCUAAAUCUAUCCGGAUAUGAAUACAUCCGACUAAUAUCCGUAUCUAUGUCCAUAUCCGUCAAAACAUAAAAAUCAAACAGAUAUAGAUAUGGGUAGAGAACUACUCAAUCUAUGUUUGAAUAUUCUAUUCUAUUUGUAACCGUAUUUAAUUUUAUAUAUCACUUAUAAACUUUUAAUAGUAAUAUAUAACCAUAUUAAUAUAUUGUUAUUUGAUUUAUCAUCCACUUAGUAAUAUCUUUAAUUCUAUUGUCAUCAAGUUUAAUUAUCCGACUUAUAUUCGUAUUUAUAUUCAUGCUUUCAGUAUACAAUUUGUAUCUGUAUGCGUUUAAAAUAAAUAUAAAUAUAAAUUUUUGCAUCCGACUAAUAUGUAUAUCCAUAUCUGUAUUUAUUAAAUAAAAUUAAAAUAGAUAUAAAUAUACUGAUAUCCGAUCUAUAUUUUAUCCGAUUUCAGGCCUAACUCCAUCCCUCUCUACGUUGAAAAACCCAAGGUAAUAGAUUUCAACUUUUAAGGGGCUAUCCAUCCAUCGUAGAAGCUUACUGUCAGAAAGAGUGAUGACAACAACAUUUAGGGGUGAAGGUCCAAUUAAACUUUGGCGAACAAGUUGACACCACUCUCCUAGGAACCGAGAGAAAAAUAGGUUUAUCUCUUGGCCCUGCUGAUAGGCUCCUAUGAACUGCUAAAAGCAAUGUAAUGCAAGUUAAAAGGCAUCCAAUGUGCCUAGUGAUCUGCCGGUCCUAUCAAAAAAAGGAUCUUUCAUGGUCUUGUUGCUAGGUUUAGUGGGGACGAAGCUCUUUGAUAAGUGUGAUAGGAAUCUAACCAUUCUUUAUUAUUAUUAUUAUCUUUAACUAAUCAAUUGAUUCACUCUCAUCUGGUAUGAAUACAUCCAAUAAAUUAAAAAAUAAAAAAAAUAAAUGCUAGAAAAAGUCAUUCUUAAAGUUUUACCAGAAUGCUCAACAACAAAAGCAACCACCUAGUUACCAGAGUGCUCUCUAACCAUCCAUUUUAGUGGUAUAUAAGAUCUUGGCAAGAAAAUUCUAUGUAGAACAAACUCGACGAGCAAUCCACUAGAUCCAUGGUAGCAUAAGCGCAUAGUAUAUUAGACACUGCAUUUCCUUCCACUCACCCAAAUCAAUUGAAAAAUAUCAGUGAUAAUCUAAUUCACAAGAAACCACCAUUAUCAGGGGAAUUACACUACACGGUGUCUAUUAUUACAUGUUGCAUGAUAUCUAAAAACUACUGUAAAAUUGCAUGUUGCCACUUGGAACAGCUACCUAAAUUAUACGCAGCCAAUUAAUAUACCAAGGAGAGGUUCUAGUGGGGGGUGCAUUUGGGAUCAUCUCAGGAAUCCAUCAUUUGGAUUUUGGCUCCUCAAAAGAACUCUUUCAUAUAUCAAUUGCCCCUUUUUAACUCCAUCAUAACAUGCUCCCUUCUGUUCCUCGAGAAUGCGUUGAGGUUUCCUGCGUUUUGGCACAUGGGAGCACUCCCAAGAGCAAUAUUUUAGGGUCAAUAAUUCAGUAGCCUUGUAGGAAUGCACUUUUACCAUAUGGCCCAUUAGUGCUCAAACUAAGCAGUUUAAAUUAACUACAAUCACUUGUAUUUUUUAUGGAUGCAAAACUUAGUCAAUGAGAUCAAGGGAAAGCAAGAGUGGCAUGAUGUGUUAUCGUGUCGUGGGUGAUUACUAGGAUGUUACAAUGUCAUUAGUCUCCUUCAUUUUUGCUUAUAACUAAUCUGCAAGUGGCUUCUACUAUUUCAAUAGCUAUCCACAAGCACGCCGGUGUAACACGUCAGGGCCAAGAAUAAUACAAAUCAACAGGAUAAUAUUCUUCAAGAACAUGGAAAGGUUGGUGUUCGGUUAAUACUAAACGGCACGGCUUUAUGCAGUAAAAGAUGGGUUCUUCUUGAUAGUGAUAUAGCUGGUUGUGCUCAUGGGAGAUCAGUUUGAGCAGCUGACCCAAUUAAAAAAAAAUUUAUGAUGGGUUCUAUAGUGCAUAUGCUGCUUGGAUGGUGAUAUUUUGUACCAAGUCUAAAUAUUUCAUAGCGUGCUAAGCUUGAUUAGCAAGUUGACAUGGAGGGAGCUAUCAUGGUUGGUGCUGCACGCAAGCUAUUACCUGCACCAAGGUUGCUUUCAGAUGUUUUUUUCCCCUACUCAUUCAGAAGGCUUUCUUUAUACAUGAUUCAUUGUAUUUGAUAAGCAGCUCGCAAGACAUUUGCUUCGCGGCCUGUUUAUUAAUUGAUUUAUGUAAGAAAUUAGCAAGUGCAUGGGAAUUAAUUAGCUACAUUUGAUCCAUCAUUUUGAUAACUAAUGCCGACUUUUUAUCCUAAGUACAAAAGUAUCCCAAUAUUGUACGUGGAAUAUUGUGUGCACGUUAAGAUGACUUUGGCUAGAAUAGUUCUACCACUUAUAGUGGUAUUUUUCUAAACAAGGACUAAGAGGGCCAAGUUAUAGCAUCCUAUGAUAAAUGUGACCUUGACUCCAUCAACAUAGCUCUUUCCAUAACUUAUCAAAUAAGAAAUCCGGCAGGGGCCACCUCGAAUUUAACAUACAUUCAUCAAUUAGUGACUACUCACUAAAUCAUUGUCUCCAUUACAAACCUGAUAUCACGGUUGAAUAGCUCUUGAGGCUAUCAUUGAUUCAAUUGUCCUAAUUUUCAACAAUAGAUCACAAAUAUAAAAGAAUUGUGAGAGGUCUACCAUUAACAACCAUUGUGAUAAGGGAGGAAGGAGAGCUGAGAGGGAACUCUCAUGAUAAGAAGGAGAGUCUCUUUUGACGAGCUUUUUUUUUUGACUUGACCCUUGAGCCACAUAAUUGAAGAAAGAUAUAGGCUGACACCUAUAUUGAUUUAAUUAAAUAAAAAAGAACUCACACGACGUCACCGUCAAGUAACGGCGAGGUCGGCCUGGCUCCUUAAACGGACCGGUUAACGUUCUUUUUUUCUCCCUUCCGUCUUUUGAAAUGGGGAAGGAAUUCGAGCCCCAGCGGUCUCCUCUGGAAUCCAAGAGGUCUUCUUGAUGCAAUCCGUUGUUUAGGGGCGGGUUUCGAUUCAUUUCCGCUUCUUCUUCUUCCUGCGUUUUUUGUUGUUUAUAUGGAUGGCUGGGUUCUAUCUCUCCGAUUCGGUGUUUUCCUCCCAGUUUUGGCGGAUUUUGGGAUUUUCAUGGUCUUAGGUCGAUAAAGAUCUGAUCUUUUUGGUUGUGUUGGAUUCCUGUUUUAAAUUGCGUAAAGGAUUUCCAAGAAAUUAAUGAUUUUAGGGUUCUUCUCUCCGGUUUUCGGAGGGUUUUGGGGAUUCCAUGGUCGUAGUUCGUCAAAGGUCUCAGCUUUUUCGUUAUCUAUUCGGCUUGUUUGAUUCCUGGUUCAAGAUUUGGUUCCUGGUUUGAUGAGGUUUCGGAUAAAUUAGCGUUUUUAAUUAGGGUUCUCCUCUCCCCUUUUUUUGGACGAUUUGGGAUUCCUUGGCCGCUGAUCGAGAAAGAUUCCUUCUCUCUUGUCAGCCGAUCAGUUAUUUUCCUUGUCGUACAUUUUAUUGGGCACGUUUCUAAGAAAUCUAGGGUUUUUGUUCAUAGAAAUCCGGGUUUGCGAAGAUUUGUUGAGUUUGGGUUUAGGGGGUAUCGGAUUUCUUGUCUCUGAUAGGAAUUCGUGGGGUGGGAUUUAUGGAAUGUGUCUGCGAGUGUUUUCUAUGGGAUGCGUUCCUUGAAUGCGGUGGAGUUCGAAACCCCCCGGACGGAUAGCAUUUGAGAAGGAGGUAGAGGAGGCCAUUAGAGUGCACAAGGAGAUAAGAGAGAAAGAGCCAUGGGAGAAGAUCUCCUCACCUCUCUGUCCAUGGAGAACCACCACCCAUCCACUCUUCUUUCUAUGGAUCCCUCCGGCGGCCCGGCCUUGCUCUCCUCCCAUGAGGACUUGUCCGACCGCGAGCUGAUGAUCCAGCGGCCGCCCGACAUCAACCUCCCACUCUCCGCCGAGCGCUCCCCUCCCCAGCAAUAUUGGAACGAUAUCUUGGACGUCAGUCUUGGCUCUCAGGUCUAUGAUCCUGCGACUCUCCUGCACCUCCCCAGGGUCGGCGCAGCCCGCAAAUGUGUCAAGAGAGGCGACAGCAUCUGGGGCGCAUGGUUCUUCUUCACCUUCUAUUUCAAGCCAGCACUCUCCGAGAAAUCCAAGGCCAAGACAACCCGAGAUGGGAAUGGCGUCUUAGGCUUCGACAAGUCCGAACUCCAGUUUGAUGUGUUCUUGGUCCAGCACGACAUGGAGAACAUGUACAUGUGGGUCUUCAAGGAGAGGCCGGAGAACGCGCUGGGCAAGAUGCAGCUGAGGAGCUACAUGAACGGGCACUCCCGCCAUGGCGAGCCCCAAUUCCCAUUCAGCGCCGACAAGGGCUUCGUCCGAUCCCACCGGAUGCAGCGCAAGCAGUACCGUGGGCUGUCGAACCCUCAGUGUGUGCAUGGUAUUGAAGUGGUGAGGUCACCCAACUUGGCGGCUGUCACCGAGGUGGACCGCAAGAAGUGGAUGGAGCUCACUGGCAGGGAGCUUAAUUUCUCGAUCCCGCUGGAAGCCAGUGAUUUCGGGUCAUGGAGGAAUCUUCCCAACUCUGAAUUUGAGCUCGAAAGGCCUCCUCCUCAUUCGAAGGGCAUUUUGCAUCCCCACCCAAAGAAAUUGCUUAAUGGAUCAGGUUUGAACUUGUUAUCGCAUUCUAAUCAUUCCAAUGGUGAUGGGAUGGACCUUUCUCCAGUUUGCAGCAAGCGCAGGAAGGAUCUCUUUCGACAUGGGAUGGAUGAGGAUUGCGGCUUGCCCCUGAAUUCUUAUUCGGAGAGAGCCCAAGACAUGGACAUACACCCGGUCGGGCCAUCAUGGUUGAAUGACUUUAGCGGUGUGAUGAGGCACAUCUAUGGGCCGGUAACUGCUGCAAAGACGAUUUAUGAGGAUGAACGAGGUUACUUGAUAAUGGUUAGCCUGCCUUUUGCUGAUCAACAGAGUGUGAAGGUUUCUUGGAGGAAUAGUCUUACUCAUGGGAUAGUGAAGAUACUCUGUGUCAGUACUGCUCGGAUGCCAUAUGUAAAGAGGCAUGAUAGAACAUUCAAGCUGACCGACCCUUCUCCUGAGCAUUGCCCACCAGGGGAAUUCAUAAGAGAGAUACCGCUUGCCACUCGAAUCCCAGAAGAUGCUAAGUUAGAAGCAUACUAUGAUGAGACUGGCGCCGUGCUAGAAAUAAUGGUUCCUAAACAUCGUGUUGGGCCCGAAGAACACGAAGUUCGUGUAUGCUUGCGCCCUCCUCAUCUUGGAGCUAAUAAUCUUAUGUUGACCUGAACAGGUGGGAAUAGCAUGUGAUGGGUGGUUUGGCCAAUUUCCAUUGUUUACUAACUAUGCAGCAUAAAAGGAAAUUUGUGAAAUGGAAGUGCAUUCUUGCCAUAUUCAACUCUCCUUUGCAAUUUGGUUUGGCUGAAUAUUCUUGGUGGUUUUUCAUGUUUGGUUGGAUAUUUUUAGUGAGUUGCAUGCUUGAAUGUACUGACAAAAUGUUGAGGUUUGAGAACAUCUUUGGGAGUCAUGUUGAAAUUUUAGCAUGAGGAAUCAUCAAGUUAAAUUCGACUUUGAUUGUUUUGUGGUAAAUGACAAAAUGCUUCAAUGUACUGACAGAAGCAUGACAAAAUGUUGGCUGCAAAACCAGUGUUUGUGGUUCAAAAAUAUGUGUGCGUUCAAAUUCAUAUACUUUCACUAAAAAUCUGUCAUGCUUCUGUUCUGUAUGUGGUCGGAGAUGCUUCAAUGUGCUUAUAUACAUUCUCAAAGUAAUUCUAUCCCUAUACUCUUAUGGAACCAGUAAAUGUCCUUUGUUUAUGUUCCUACUGAAUAUUUGUGUUUGUGUCAGCUUGAAGCGGACCGGUGAUAAAAACUGUAUAGCUAGUUAAAGAUACACUGUCACUCAGUAUAUGUAAAUACCUUUAGCAUAUCUGGGAUAUAUCUAAUAAUUGUUGUAACUUGACCAUCUGCGGGUUCUACUUCAUCUCUAGGAUGUACCAUUGUAUGAUGGGUCGCAGUCAGUGCCGCUGAAUGUCCAAAGCAUUUCCUGUACAUUUGUGUUUGCAACCCCUUUGCGAUCAUCUUAUGUCCAUGUAUUCUGCUACUUUCUCUCUCUCACACACACAGACACCCCUUUUUUCUCAAUUAGUCUUUUACUCGUUUUAAGGCUUUUAUUCCAUGAAUGUAUUGGUUUUCUUUUCUUGCCACGUUUGUGUUCUUUCUCUUGACCUGCAAUGAAGCAAUUCCUUGCAUUGUUUGCCCUUAUCUGAUUUCUUAGCCUGCCGAUACUGCUGUCAUUGCCUUGACAGCCACAGAUAAGGUUGAUUUAGCCGAAGCUCCUGCUUAUGUAGUUUUACAGUGUGCCCUCCGAAGAUGGAGUUCGUGUUAGUUGUUCAUUGGUUGAUAUAUUUGAAUUGUUCUCCAUAUUAGUGACUGUUGCUGGUGCAUACCUAUUUCUUGAUCAUUUUUUAACUUAUCAUCCUUGAUAGCUUACAGUGACUGUUGUAAGAUGACCAUCGGUUUGAAAUCUACAUGUUAUUAUGGUGAUCAUAACUGAAAUUGCUUAUGCUGCGGGCUUUUUCCUCUUGCACGCUGUCGUAGAUUGUCAAUUCUGGAAGUUUACAAUAAGUACUUGCCACUAGAGUAUCUUAUGAUGCCCUACUCUCUCCUAUAAAGAGUACGAGGAUUGAAGAAGCAGCUCUUCAGAACAGUAAGCAUGUAACAUUCGGUGAAAGGAUAGGGAAAACUAUGCCAGGGGCCCGUGCAGCCAGAGCCAUCGUGGAAAGACUAGAAGACAAGAUUUCUUCUGCCGAUGGAAAAGGCACAAGUAGCAGAUGAUCGCAUAAAAUGGCCAGAUAGCUUAAAAGGUCUGUGUUUGGUACGGAACAAAAGAGCUUCAUCUCAGUGCAGAAGAUGAAUGCAGAGAGUCCGCUUUUAUUGGGACAUCACCUGCCUUCUUUGUAGUGGAUAUGUAAUGGUCAUAAAAAGAUGAACCUAGGAGGCAAUACUCUCGAGGUGAGGAUAUUUAGGGUUCUAAACAAAGACUUCUGGUCCAAAAUUUGCAGUCAGGCAUGUUCGGAAGUCCAAACCAGUGAAUCCAACAAUGAAACGUUAUUUUUAAAUAUCCAAAAUAAAUCAUGGAAUGAAAAUUUUAAAAUAUCUGCCUAGAUGUUAUGUUAGUUUACAAUAGAUACAGACAUGAGUGCUGCAUUCUAUACCCAAUCUACAAAUAUGGUCUAAAUUAUCAGCACAACCAAUCCAAAAGCUACCCGGCAUCAAUGUUGCUUUUUCACAAAUUUUCACUUCGUCAACCCACUGCCUUGCAUAUCGAUAAGAGGCAUUCCUGACAUAUAACCUGACUCAAACAAGUAGUAAAGACAGGAGUUCCCAUGAACUAAGUUCCCCAAUUCAUGGGAAGACUAAACCAAUAUAGUCAUGGAAAGACUAAACUAAUCAUCACAACAGAUGCAACGCUCACUGUAGCCACCAGGAAAAUAGAAACAAAAACUAGAAGUUCGGGUGAACUGCAAAGACACCAAACACACCAUGCUGCUACUAAAGCACCUCAAACGAGAAACUGGAGAGAGAAGGUGAAUAAGCUCGGGUGUACUGCAAGACACCAAGCACGCAUGCUACCAUUCAAGCAAUUUAAUCAACUUCCUCAAUCUUGGGCCCUGCACCACUGCUACCACCAGCUGCCGGAAUGUCCUCGUCCAUGCCACCAGCCAUCCCUGCACCUGCGCCCUGGUACAUCUUGGCAAUGAUUGGGUUGCAGAUGCUCUCCAGCUCCUUCAUUUUGUCUUCAAACUCAUCUGCCUCAGCGAGCUGGUUGCCAUCCAGCCAAUUGAUGGCCUGCUCAAUGGCAUCCUCAAUUUUCUUCUUGUCAGCCUGUGGCAACUUGGCGGCAAUCUUCUCAUCUCUGAUAGUGUUUCUCAUGUUGUAGGCAUAGUUCUCCAAAGCAUUCUUCGCCUCCACCUUCUUUUUGUGCUCCUCAUCCUCUGCCUUGUACUUCUCGGCCUCUUGGACCAUCUUCUCGAUCUCCUCCUUGCUCAACCUGCCCUUGUCAUUGGUGAUCGUGAUCUUGUUCUUCUGCCCGGUGGUCUUGUCCUCAGCGGACACAUUCAGGAUGCCAUUGGCAUCUAUAUCAAAGCAAACAUUGAUCUGAGGCACACCUCGUGGAGCAGGAGGAAUGCCGGAUAGCUCGAAUUUACCAAGAAGGUUGUUGUCCCUUGUCCGGGUUCUCUCACCCUCAUAAACCUGAAUCAGGACACCAGGCUGGUUGUCGGAAUAGGUGGAGAAGACCUGUUCCUUCUUGGUUGGAAUGGUAGUGUUCCUUGGAAUCAAGACAGUCAUAACACCUCCUGCAGUCUCCAAACCAAGAGAGAGAGGGGUAACAUCCAGCAGCAGCAAGUCCUGGACCCUCUCAUUGCCCUCCCCGCUCAAGAUGGCAGCUUGGACAGCAGCACCAUAGGCAACAGCCUCGUCGGGGUUGAUGCUCUUGCAGAGCUCCUUCCCAUUGAAGAAGUCCUGAAGAAGCUGUUGCACCUUGGGAAUCCUGGUCGACCCACCAACAAGGACAACAUCAUGGACGCCGCUCUUGUCCAUCUUAGCAUCUCUCAGGCACUUCUCCACGGGCUCCAUGCACUUUCUAAAUAGGUCCAUGUUGAGCUCCUCAAAUCUGGCUCGGGUGAUGGUGGUGUAGAAAUCAAUACCCUCAUACAGGGAAUCGAUCUCAAUGGUGGUCUGGGCAGUGGAGGAGAGAGUCCUCUUUGCUCUCUCACAAGCUGUCCUCAAUCUCCUCAGGGCCCUGGGGUUGCCACUGAUGUCUUUCUUGUUCUUCCUCUUGAACUCCUGAACAAAGUGGUUCACCAUCCGGUUGUCAAAGUCCUCACCACCAAGGUGAGUGUCGCCAGCAGUCGCCUUCACCUCGAAGAUGCCCUCUUCAAUGGUGAGAAGAGAGACAUCAAAGGUGCCACCACCAAGGUCAAAGAUAAGAACAUUCUUCUCGCCAGAGCUGCCAGCCUUCUUGUCAAGACCGUAGGCAAUGGCAGCAGCGGUGGGUUCAUUGAUGAUUCGCAUGACAUUGAGGCCAGAAAUGACGCCAGCAUCUUUGGUGGCCUGACGCUGGGAGUCGUUGAAGUAGGCAGGGACUGUGACAACUGCGUUCUUAAUAGUAGAACCAAGGUAGGCUUCAGCAAUCUCCUUCAUCUUCAUGAGGACCAUGGAUGAAAUCUCCUCUGCAGAGAACUGCUUCUCCUCGCACUUGUACUGUACCACAAUCAUGGGCUUGUCACCAGGGCCUGGGAUGACCUUGAAGGGCCAUAGCUUCAUAUCAUUCUGGACAGAGGGGUCGCUGAAACGUCUGCCAAUCAAUCUCUUCGCAUCUGUGCACGACCAUAACCACAAACAGAACAAAGAUCGUCAGGGGUAAACGGGAAAAAAAAGCAAGAUGCAAAGUGUUCCAAAAAGAUAAAAUAAACACAAGUCAUGACAAGUAGCUCUGUCCUCAAUAAAUCCUAAGAAUUUCCAGUAGAAUUUAAAGUGAGGAUAAUAAUAGUUCAUAGAAUGAUUCAGAAAGGCUUUCAUAAUCACAAUCUUAUCAGUGAAUACAAUUUUGAACUUAAAAUCAAGAAGACUAAACUUGAUCCAGAUCAAGUCAAUUCGGCUUAGAAUUCAAGCCUUUUACACUUCUCCGAUUUACAACUAUAUAAAUUGCUUAAAUUGUAAAAUAAAUGCCUUCCCUAAUUCGUUAAUAAAGCCAGCAUAUCUAAAGAUAUAUACACAGUUGGUAGCUUUGAAUAUUUAUAAAGAUAUAUACAUUAACUAUGUACAUUAUAAAUCUAGCUCCACAUGCAUAGCUUAAGUUGUGCAAUAAAUAUCUUCCAUAAUAUUUUUAUAAAUCCCGUAUUUCCAAAGAAAACACAAAUUUUUGACACAGUUGAUAGUUUCUUAUAUUUAUAAACAUAUAUACAUUAAAUAUGUUACAGAUCUCCAAGAUAUAGAUGGAAAACAGGUUCCUGAUGCAAAGCACGUCAAUUAGAAAAAAUAAACAAGUUUCAAAAUUUGUAAAAAAGUAUUCGUAACAGCUUUUACAUAACCCUAAGAAUAACACGGAUCAUGUUGCAACUUUUCGUUGGAUCUUUCCGAACAAAACUAAACAUACACAUAAUUUGCUCCGAUCCCUAUAACAAAAUCUAGAAAAAAAAUGCAGAAUUUUCCAUUCAUGAGAAAAAUUAUAUCGAAUAUCUACAAGCUGGCAGGUUUUAAAUAACUCGGAGCAUAAAAGCUAAAAAUAGAAUAAAUCAAAAAUUAACUUCCCAAACCAACCCACAAAUCAAUCAAGUGACCAAAAAUUUGAUCUUUUUUUGGGGAAAAAAAAAAUCCUCCACAAUGACCAGCAAAAAUACGACAAAUUCAGAAAGCAUAUCAAAGACGCGUGAACAAUUUCAUCAAGAUCUCAAACUUAUAGAAUUUCCAUGAAUUCUAUCGCAACGUAGCACUACAAAUGCUAGUAACUACGUAAAAAGCAUAGCCUAGCAAACAGAGUAGGCGAUCUGAACUUACCGAAGACGGUGUUGGUGGGGUUCAUAGCGACCUGGUUCUUGGCGGCAUCACCGAUAAGCCUCUCGGUGUCAGUGAACGCGACGUAGGACGGGGUGGUGCGGUUCCCUUGGUCAUUGGCGAUGAUCUCCACCCUAUCGUGCUGCCACACGCCGACGCACGAAUAGGUCGUUCCGAGAUCGAUCCCGAUCGCCGGACCUUCGGCUUUCGCCAUGGCUUCUCUCGCAGAUCUAAUCGAAGAGAAGAAUUAUACAAAGAGAACGGAAAAAAUAGAGAUCAAAAGAGAGAAUGUAAGUGCGAGGAGGCGAGGCGUAGAAAGGGCGCGCUUUUAUCGGAUGGGCUCCGAUUCCAGAAGGUUCGAGCGGGGGAAGCCUGGCCAUUGGAUUGGUGGGAGAUGGACGGCGUGUAAAGGGGUUGGUCGUUCUCGGAGAAUUCGUGCACCCUCUGGAGAAUUCGAGAAGCGUCUUUGCUUCAGGUUUUUCCGAUCGAGUGGGGAAGCCGGCGCGCCUGCUCCUCCACUCCGCUUCUGCCACCUUACGACAUCCGAAAGGAUGAUGGAAUCCUGUCGGUACCUGGCCCCACUCAGUUGGACCGGACCGGCCGGGAGGAUAAAUAUGAAUCCUCUCUCUCUCUCUCUCUCUNNNNNNNNNNNNNNNNNNNNNNNNNNNNNNNNNNNNNNNNNNNNNNNNNNNNNNNNNNNNNNNNNNNNNNNNNNNNNNNNNNNNNNNNNNNNNNNNNNNNNNNNNNNNNNNNNNNNNNNNNNNNNNNNNNNNNNNNNNNNNNNNNNNNNNNNNNNNNNNNNNNNNNNNNNNNNNNNNNNNNNNNNNNNNNNNNNNNNNNNNNNNNNNNNNNNNNNNNNNNNNNNNNNNNNNNNNNNNNNNNNNNNNNNNNNNNNNNNNNNNNNNNNNNNNNNNNNNNNNNNNNNNNNNNNNNNNNNNNNNNNNNNNNNNNNNNNNNNNNNNNNNNNNNNNNNNNNNNNNNNNNNNNNNNNNNNNNNNNNNNNNNNNNNNNNNNAUAUUAAUUAUGUAUAUAUAUAUAUAUAUUAUGUAUAUAUAUAUUAUAUAUAUAUUUAUAUAUAUAUAUAUAUAUGUAUACAUAUAUAUAUAUAUAUAUAUAUAUAUACAUACAUAUACAUACGUAUAUAUUUAUUUGCGUACGUGGCCCAGCCGAACAUAUUUACACUCCGGUUCUACUGUCCCACCGCCCCGCCCCGCCCCGCCCCGCCCGUUUGGCGAGCAGUGGUUCCGCUCCUUCUUUUGAACCAGGUGUUUGAUGAAUUCUCGCACUACGCGCGCCGCGCCAAAUAAACGACGAGCUGGCUAGGUGGUGCAAGAAGAUCCCAGCGCUCCGACCCAAGCCCGCCACCCGUUCUCCUCUUAUUCUCUCCCUCCAAAAUCUCUCCACGCUCUCAUGCCCGCCCGCAGAAGCCACCCCGAAUGGGUUCCGCCUUCUCUCCGACCACCCGAACCCCGAGGUCUCCCUCUUCCUACAAAAAGGCUUCGCAGAGAUCUCCAACCUUCUCACUGGAAGAACAAUCCACUGCCUUUCUAUUCGGCGCUCCAUUCACCUCAGCCUAUUCCACUACAACACCCUCAUCAACUUGUACUUCAGAUUCGGCCGAUUGGAAACCGCGCUCAAAGUGUUCGAUCACAUGCCUCAAAGAAACGAUGCCUCUUGGAAUACAGCAAUUUCUGGCUGUGUUCGAGUGGGUUCCUUUGCUAAAGCUGUUGAAUUGUUCCGAGAGAUGAGGGAAGACGGCAUCGAGCCCAACAAGUUUGUGCUCGCAAGCCUCCUGACGGCCUGUAACCGGUGGGCAGAGAUGGUUGGAAAAGGUAUCGAAAUCCAUGCUUUUGUUUUGAAAAUUGGGAUGAUGAGUAAUGUAUAUGUUGGAACUGCACUGCUGCAUUUGUAUGGCAGUUAUGGAUUCUUGUCUGAUGCUCAGAGACUCUUUCAGGAGAUGCCCGAGCGGAAUGUUGUCUCCUGGACUGCCUUAAUGGUGAGCUUUUCCACAAAUGGGUAUCCACAGGAGGCCGUCAAGGCUUAUAGGUGGAUGAGGCGGGAAGGAGUGGUUUGCAAUCAAAACUCCUUUACGACAGCAAUUAGUUCUUGUUGGUUGCUCAAGGAUGAGAAGUUGAGCCUUCAAGUUAUUGCCCAUGUCGUGGUUGCUGGAUUUGACACUGAUGUUUCGGUGGCAAACUCUCUGAUAACAUUGUUUGGGAAUCUGGGGAGAUUAGAGGAAGCUGAACGCAUCUUUAACCAGAUGGAACAAAAGGACCCGAUAUCUUGGAAUUCGAUGAUAUCAAUAUAUUCACGAGAGGGAAUGCACAAGGAGUCUUUGCAGUUGUUUUCAGACAUGCGUCAUGGUAAUAUCAAGCCAGAUACCACCACUUUCUCCAGUUUAAUAACAGCAUGUAGCUGUUUGGAUCAUCUGAAGUGGGGAAAGGGACUUCAUGCCCUAAGUGUUAAAAAUGGUCUUGAUUUAUUUGUUUCUGUGGCCAAUGCCCUUGUUAAUAUGUACUCCACGACAGGGAAGUACAAAGAGGCAGAGUUGUUGUUUCGUGACAUGCCCAAAAGAGAUAUGAUUUCAUGGAACUCUAUGAUCUCUUCCUACAUCCAGAGCGGGCAAUGCACAGAUGCCUUGAAGCUUUUAGCUCAACUGAUUCGAACAGAGAAAGAAACAAAUCAUGUGACAUUUGCUAAUGCACUCUCCGCAUGUUCUAGUCCUGAGGCUCUAUUUGACGGCAAGACUGUUCAUGCCCUCACAAUUCAUAUUGGUCUCCAAGAGAACUUGUUGGUGGGUAAUGCUUUAAUCACCAUGUAUGGGAAAUGCAAUGCUAUGAGAGAAGCUGAGUUGGUGUUUCAAACAAUGCCUGAUCGUGAUGUUGUUACGUUCAACGCACUCAUAGGGGGACAUGCAGAGAAUGAAGUGCAAAGGGAGGCAGUGCUAGUAUUUAAUUGGAUGAGAGAAUCUGGAAUAACGGCAAAUUACAUCACCAUGGUGAACGUCCUUGGGGAUUGCUCCACUCCAAAUGACCUGCUGAAGUAUGGAAAGCCGCUUCAUGCACAUAUAGUAUCCACUGGAUUUGAAUCAGAUGAGUAUGUAAAGAAUUCUCUGAUCACAAUGUAUGCCAAGUGUGGUGAUUUGGAUUCCAGUGCAUUUAUCUUUGAUGGCUUGGCCAACAAAACUGCAGUUUCAUGGAAUGCUAUGAUUGCUUCAAAAGCACACCAUGGUCAUGGAGAGCAUGCUUUAAAGCUCUUUAUGGAAAUGCAGCAUGCUGGAAUUUCUUUAGAUCAGUUCAGUCUCACCGGUGGCCUUGCAGCUAGCACAAAUUUGGCAUCACUUGAGGAAGGACAGCAACUUCACGGUCUGAUUACUAAACUUGGAUUUGAUUUGGACAUUCAUGUGGUAAAUGCUGCAAUGGAUAUGUAUGGAAAAUGUGGAAAGAUGGAUGAUAUGUUGAAAUUACUCCCUGAGCCUGCUGAACGAUCCCAGCAAUCAUGGAAUAUUUUAAUAUCAGGGCAUGCAAGACAUGGUUGCUUUGAUCAGGCUGAAGAUACCUUUGAACAGAUGCUUUCAGUAGGACGGAAACCUGAUCAUGUUACCUUUGUUUCUCUUCUCUCUGCUUGCAAUCAUGCAGGCCUAGUAGACAAAGGUAUUGGUUACUACAAUGCAAUGACUUCAGAAUUUGGUAUCUCCCCAAGAAUAGAGCACUGUGUCUGUAUGGUUGAUCUACUUGGACGUUCAGGGAGGCUUGUUGAAGCAGAGAGGUUUAUUGAAGACAUGCCUGUGUCACAAAAUGAUCUAAUUUGGCGUAGUUUGCUGUCUUCCAGUAGAACUUACAGAAAUUUGGAUAUUGGUAGGAAAGCUGCCCGACGCCUUCUUGAGUUAGACCCUUUAGAUGACUCAGCUUAUGUUCUUCUAUCGAAUGUUUAUGCUACCAAUGGAAGGUGGGAAGACGUCGACAAAUUGAGAAUGCAUAUGAAGUCAAUCAAUUUGAAAAAGAGACCAGCUUGCAGUUGGAUUAAGGUGAAGAAUGAAGUGAGUUCCUUUGGCAUUGGGGACAGGAGUCACCCGCAGGCGCUGCGGAUCUAUUCAAAGUUGGAAGAGAUUUUGAAAAUGGUUAAACAAGUGGGUUAUGUUGCUGAUACCUCCUUCGCAUUGCAUGACACAGACGAAGAACAGAAAGAGCAUAACCUUUGGAGCCACAGUGAGAAGCUUGCUCUGGCAUUUGGGCUACUGAAUGUGCCAGAAGGAUCUACCAUAAGGGUAUUUAAGAAUCUUCGAGUUUGCGGGGAUUGCCAUAUGGUUUACAAAUUGGUUAGCAAGGCUGUUGAUCGGGAAAUAGUGCUGAGGGAUGCGUACAGGUUCCACCAUUUUAGAGGUGGAGAGUGUUCUUGCUCGGAUUAUUGGUAACGGUAUAUUGAGAAAAAUAAUUGUCAGAAAUCCUCAGUUGUGCAGUCUGUUUUCAACUCUAUUCUUGAAGCGACACUGCUUCUGCUGAGUUAUGUAUUGAUUAUUUGUUUUAAUUUAUUGAUAUGGGAAUAGGUUAAAUUUGAUAUUCUGCAUUUUUCUGAAUCUGCUCUGCGUUCCUGAAGCUUUAUUAUUGUUGAGAAAUUGCCUCAAGGUCUUUCUUAGUCCUUCGUUGUGUAUCACAUGGCUGAACUAGGUUCUCUUACUAGAUCCAAGGCCUUCUAUGAGAAGCCAAGCUCGCAACUGUGAAGUGACACCUUUUGAAUCCAAGUCCCUGGAGUUCGCUAAAUCUAGUGUCUUCCAAACCAAGAAAGCUGAAAGCAGAGGUAACUACCAUAGUUCCCUGCUACUGUGAUUCGAAAUCAAUCUAUUGUUAGUUGUUCUAUGUUGUAAAUAACUUGAGCUGGAUAAGUUUUGCUGAGAACAAUACUGAGAAACAAUUGCAAAAGGAUUUUAUUAUUGACUAUUGCAAUCUCAAAAUACUCAAUUUUGAGCAUUAUUUUCAAACUAGUUGAAGUCGAUUACAUGAAUCCUUUUCUUCCAUUCUACACGAUUUAAGACCAUGCUUUUUGAAGGAUAUUGAGAUAUCAAGUUCUAAAACUACUUCAUCCCGUGAGUUGUUGUAAUUCAAAAAUAAAACAAGAAAAAAGAAUAAGGGGAAAGCUUAUGUGGUGAGCCAUUCGGGUGGUACUCUAUGGAUCCGAGGAAAGAGCUGCCGAGACUCUGUGAUGUUUUAUUUUCAGAUUUUAUUGGUUGUAUCCGUACUCGUGUUGUAUGAUGCAUCCGCUCUAGCCAAAAAAAAGAAAAGAAAAAGAAAAAAAAACCAGUUCAAUGGGAUGUGACAAUCAAAACAUUAAAUUAAAGAGGUUCAGCUUUCUGUAGGUCUAACUUUUAUUGCACUAUGGACAACGAUGACCAAGUUUGGGCAGAUAAAUUAUCAACAUGACUUAUGUGGACUCCAAUCCCUAACUAUGAAAAAUGUCACAUGACAGUAUGACACUAGUAACAUUAACUAAACAUCUAAGAUAAAAUAGAUUUUUUUAAUUCUUUUCCUGGUAUAAAAAACAGAGCUUCGAAACAAGAUCCCUAGAAGACCAUGAAUUUAAAUAGUCCUUGGGAUAAACAGCUUUUCUCAUAAGGGUGAAAAGUAAACGUCGCUCUAUUUCCUUACCUCUGCAUCUUUAUAUUCAGUUUCUUGUUUAUUGUUUGUAUGAGAAUUUUGCCUUCUUAAGAUUUAAGUUUUUUGACAAUACAAUUGACAACUAUUGAAGGAGAUCAUUCUCAUAUGACAAAUUCCAAACAAAUUAAGUCCAAUCACCUGAAGGGUUACACUUCCAUAAAAUACUCUUCAUGCAACAAGAUAAUUACCUUUUUGCAACAAAUUAGAGUUUAUAAAUUUUAAGUAUGUUUCAGAUUACCCAAGCACAAAAGCUCCGUGCUAUAGAGAAAAAAGGGGAAAAAUGUAAAAUGAACCAAAAUAUAAGAAAAUAGACUUGUAUCAUUAAUUUAAAUUUGCUUAGAUUUUGUCAGUUCUAAUCAGAUCAUGUUUGAUUUUAUGUAUUUACAACUGAUCUAAUUAGAGUUCCUAUAGCCCAACUUUGAACUCACACCUAGCAAAACCAAGAUGGGACAGCUGCUUGGUCUCUUCCCGUGGCUUGCAAGUAGGAGAGUUAAUGGAAGGCUCCCAUGUCACUUUGGACCAUGCCUUUAGGGCUGUUAAUGGUCUGGGGUGACUAGUGGUUUGGGCCAAUCUUCCACUCUCGAUGAAUUCUAAUUUGUACUUUUAGGGUUCAGGUUAACCUUGAGCCAAGCCACUUUGGACCAUGUUCGUUGGGACUUGAUCGACCCGGGACAUCAACCACAUGCCGAAUUCAGGCUUCACCCAAUCUGGCCAUUGAGAACCCAAAAACCAUCAACUUCGAUCACCUCCAGCCACAACUGUGGUGCAUAUGUACAGUUCUGCUAAGCAGUGGAUGUAACAAAGAUCUAAGCCCUGUUAACCAUUAUUGAGUCUUUAAGCGAUUUCUUUGAGAAAGCUUAGCAUUGUCGUCCUCAAUUGUUAACCUCCAAAUCUCCAGUUGUGGUGAUUUAAAUGGUUAUCCAUUGCUGGUUUGAUCUAAUUAAAUGGAUCUAUUUAUACUAAACAUUGAAGAGAGUUUUUUGUUUUCAUUUAGUUGACCCUGUGGUUACGUAGCAUCAUGGAGUGAUCUGGCUGGAAUAAGUUUUUGAAAAUAGUCUGGUUGGAAUAGAUUAACAAUUUGCCAUGCUUGUCUGUGGGAAGCAAAACAUGAAGCAAAUAUUGAUGAUCAGUAUUAUGAAAGAUUUCCCAUAAAUGCAAGUUAUAUAGGAGUAAGGAGGCGGAUUAGAUUAUUGUAUUGUUAUAACUCUCACUUACUUUAUAAAUAUACGAUCUCACACCAUAACUCCAACUUUUUGAUGGCAUUAUUGUAACAAUUCAUCCAGAACCUCAUCUAAAAUGACUAAUCGAAAAAUAUUAUUUGGAUUCUUUGGUCCUAUAUAAUAUAAGUAUCUAAUUAUUUACGUCUGCAUAGAUUCUCACAAUUAUUCUACGAAAAAUGAUAUCUGAAUUUAUGUGGCAGGCUUUAUAAUAUUUGUAGCCAAGUCACGAGCCUUACUCGUGGAUUUGUUACAUCACAAAUCUCAAAGCAAAAUCAAGAGCAGAUGCUGCCUUUAGGGUAUUUGGUGAGCAUGGGAUCCAACCUGUCUCGAAAAAUACCAUACGGCUAUUUCUUUCUAUUGUCAUGCAAGAAUUGUUUAUCGCUUCUUAGCUCAUCUUAAAGAUUAGAAAGCCAUCUCAACGUGAUUAGGAUAAAAAAUUAUGGGAGUAAAAGCUUCAAAGAAACUUCAGGAACCCAUGGGCUGAGCCAAGUAGCCAACCAUGUGGAGAUAAAACGAGACCGUUCUUCGUUUCUAAUAUUCAAAAUAAUGGGACGUAAGAAAACCUAACCAUCUUAUCAGUGAUAUCGGCCAUUUCCACCAGCAUCCACGGUCCACGGAUGGAAACCCGUCGCGGCCCGAAACCAUGUCCAAACUCGGCCUCGAAAAAAAAAAAAUAGUAGUACAUUAGAUGCACCAAGAAAAUAAAAAGAAACCUAUCCUGCCUCAAAAUCCCAUCCCCAGUCGCUUCACGCAGCGGCCGCCUCGAGUGCGGCGGCCGCGGCGGCGCUGUCCCUGCCACCCUCGCCCAGAUCACCCUCCACCACGGCGGCCACCGCGACCUCACCUCCUACGGCGUCAGCCUCGUCGACGGCUUCAACGUGGGCAUGACCGUCACGCCGCACGAGGGCAAGGGCCAGUGCCCCGUCGUCGGCCGCCGAAACAAAUACAACAGCCCUCGCACGUGCCGGGCGUCCUCGUACUUGGAAUUCUUCAAGCACGCGUGUCCGGCCACCUUUACGGNNNNNNNNNNNNNNNNNNNNNNNNNNNNNNNNNNNNNNNNNNNNNNNNNNNNNNNNNNNNNNNNNNNNNNNNNNNNNNNNNNNNNNNNNNNNNNNNNNNUCUCUCUCUCUCUCUCUCUCUCUCUCUCUCUCUCUCUCUCUCUCUCUCUCUCUCUCUCCAUGUUGCUAUCUUAUACUCUCAAAGAAGGUGAAGUUGUGGACGGGUUGAUGCAAUGGCCAGUCAGGCCAGCUAUGGUUUUCUCUGGUUUUCCGGCAGCAGGAGGGGAGAUGGCGCUGUGGACCUGUGGGUUGUGGGGCAGGUCUUUGAGAGCCGUGCAGUGCAGCAAUGGUGGACAGGUGCUACGCCGCUUUUAGAGAAGGGAAAGGUUGCGGGGCGUGCCUGAACAAGGGUUUUUUUUCUUCUUUUUUAUUUCUAAAAGAGAAGAUGGGGAAGACAAGGUUAAAAGGAGGGGAUUAGAAAAAGUUACAGAAACUAAAGGAUUUAAACUAGUAAUUAACUAAAGUUUGUUUGAUUUGAUGGAUGUGACGCUGUGUUUGUUUAAAACAAAGAGGGGACAAAAAGCCUAGAUGAUGAUGUUAACCGUUUUUAUUAAACUAAAGUUACCGGAUGGAAACAUAAUUAUGUAUUAGAGUAUCAGACUAGGCCGAGUAUUUUUUAAUUACGCAUUUUUGGAGGAUGGAAAUGAAAAAGAAAAAUUCAUAGGCUUUUUGCUGUAAUUUUGGAGCUUGCCCUAGCCGGCAUGGUGAAAUUUCCAAGCCCAACCAGCAGAGAAUUCUCUUCAAGAUAUAUUGGAUCACUCCGUAAAGCCAGGCCCAUAAAGCCCAUGUGGUGACGAACAGUCAUGGCAUGUUUUCUUAGAAGUUCUUUGGAUAUUUGGCCUUAAGACUUGACAUGUUAGUAUAAUAUCUUAUAUAUUUUUGAGAAAUAUGGCAACUUAUCCUCUCACGCAUGCUUCACUUCAUCUAUUUGUUUAUCCAUUAUCAUACUCCAAGACUGACAAAAAAACACACUUCCAAUUUAUAUGAUGCAAUUCCUUAGUGAUAUCCAGAUUGAAAUAAGCAUGAUGACGAGAAGAGCAUUCACAAUCCAAGCAUAAUGAUGUCAUAUGAUUUCAACGCUUAAUCUCAAGUAUUCUUACUGAAAUCACGCAUCACUGUAAACAAUGCAUCAUUACAUUCACAUGAAUCAUAAUUAAUUGGAUUUGGACUAGGAUGGAUUUAUGCCCCAUUCUAUUGCACACAGAACACAGUUGGAAUACACUACUGUACGACAGCAAACCAAAAGAAACGCAAGCUUUAUAAACUUUAAGCCUUCAACUCCACAACUAACUUGAUCGCACUUUCAGUGGUAGCUGAGAAGAGGUCGGUGGCACAAGCAAUCCACAGAUACUGAAGGAUACAUGAAGUCAAAGUCUAAAUGGAUGUCUUCUAGGCUCAGUGAUCAUGAACUAGAUUCCAUUUCUCGGUUGUGGAUCAGUGCAGCUUGCUGGUUUGAAUUGGAAAAGCAGACGGAUUUUUUUCUACUCAAAAAACCAAGAGUUGGAAAAGCAGAAGGGAGAGGCCUAGUGGCAAAAAACCAUUUGCAAGUUAAUGGCCACCUCAUGCAGUAAAAGAAGACAAAGGCUCCCAGUCUUGCCCUGUCCCACCAUUCUCCAUUCCUUAAGAGGGGUCCAAACAUAAUUGAACCAAACCUAUGGGCAAAAUUCGAAAGAAAACCAAGGGAUAUUUAGGGAUAUCAAAGGUGGAUUAAAGAAGGUUGCCAAGUAUUUUUCUUAAAAGCUAAUCAAUCACAGAUGUAUGUCUGCAAGCAAAAUGAUUUGAUCUUUCUUGGAGCCACCUCAGUGGUUACUGAUAGCUCGAUUCAAGAUCAUGUUUUCUUUGAAAUGCAUCGGUGCUGAAGGUUUGAGUUUUAAUGUUGCAGGUCAGAUCAUAUUUUGUUGAAGAAGGAUAUCCAUUUAGAGUACUAUUGAUUCUUAUAUUCACUAAUGCUAUGAUUAAUGUAUUUGGACCAACAUAUGCCAUGCUAUCUAAUCCACAAAAUAUAGUUUAUUCAUGCUUCUCUUAUUGUGUAUGUUGAGAGUGAUACAACAGCCAUCCAAAAUUUUGGUUCCUCUUUAUACAAAUUUUAUAGUCUUCGAUGAAACCUUUUUAAUUUUGCUUAAUAUAAGCCCAAAACCUUUUAUGCAAAGCUACUUUUUCCUCCAAAACUAGUAUGGAUCUUUGAACUCCUGCUCCCACAAAAUUGUAAAACAUCAAACUAUACUACUCUGGUAUAGUUGAUGCAAGGUACAUACUCUUAGGAUUGCAUUGUAAAGAAGGAAAAUACUCAUGCUUGAGUUUUAUGUGGGGCUAAUUGUAUUUUUCAUAUGCAGAAGCUAAUUUGGCAUUGAUAGAACCUCUAUGAAAGAUGGAAAAAAUGACUUUUGAGCUUAUGGUUAGAAUUUUCUGUUUUGAUUUCUAACUUCUCAAAAAUUAUUCACCCCUAUACCAGUAUCCGUGUCCCCCAUAAAAGCAAAAAAGAAGAUCCCUUUCUUUUUUCCUUGAGCUUCAAAAAUGCAUACAACUUAUCCAUCCCUUUGCUUUCUAUAGCACAAGUCAUGUCAAACACCACUCUAAAUUUAAAGUAAUCAAAGUUGGUCUUGUAUUAUAACAGCCUUUGUUGGUUGAUAGCUUAGCAAUGCCAUUCAACUUAUAAAGGUGCAUGAUGCCUCAAUUUUUUUUUUUGGCAUAAGAAAGGACCUUACUUCCUUUCAUAAUUACUUGCAAUGACUUGCUCCAAACAUUUUGUUUCUUUUCUGCAGUGUAUGAAAAAUGUUUGACAAGGUGAGCUGAUCUGUGCGCUGGGUACAUAUAGAACUUAUGUAAGCUAAUACAUAAAAAAUAUGCAUAUGGUAGCGUUAAUAUCUAGUCAUUUAAAUUUUAUUGAGACUGCUUGUCGAACUUGUUGAAUUAAUAAAGCCAUGCACCAAAGUAUGGACAUUAAAAAAAAUCCAUUGAUCAUUUUCAAGUGAUUAAUCAAAUAACUUAAGAAUUAAUUCGAAUCUAUAGCUUUGAAAUUACUAAGCUAGGCAAUUUUGAAAGCACUUUUGAGAUCUAGAGUACUGAAAAAAUUGUAGAUCGAAAAGGCUGAGACUCUCGUUAACUUUUAGGUAGGGGAUGGAUAAUAGAGCUAAGGAUAGGGCUUUAAUGAACAGACCGACCUCCCCACUCUUUAAUUUCUAAAGAGACCUUAAAAAAAGUGAAAGUGCUUGCGCAUCUUUUCAUUUAGUUAGCCCUCUCCGGCAUCAAAUUAUACUUUUUUUGCUCUAGGUAGGUGGAGUCCAUCUCUUUUUUGAUAGAAAUAGGUAGGAACUUUUAUUUAAACAUGGCAAUCAUUCACAGCUUUGUUAAUGAGUUGAUUUUGUUUAAAUUUCUAGUAUAUGUCAACUACAAGAUUGGGUAUCAGGGAUCGUAUGCAACAAAAAAUAACAAAGCUAUCGAAAAUACUUUGAACAUGGAAACAUAGUUUUUCAAGUUUUUAUAUUGCCACUAGUGUUAAGCUUAAAGUAUAUUGUUGACAUAUUUUCUACUGUUCUUAGGUUUAGGUUACUAGAGAUAUUCAUCAAGACCCACUUGGUUAUCCUUUCAUGUGCAUGGGUCAGACCACAUGUAAGGGAACAUGAUAUUUUUUAGUACAUUACUGUUGUUUUUUGUUAACUUAAAUUAUUAGGUCAAUUGAUUAGUUAAAAAAAUGAUUAGCCACUUUUAGCCAUCUCUCUCUCUCUCUCUCUCUCUCAUGCACACAUAAAUGUCCCCUCCCAGUGCCAAACUAAAACAAAAAUAAUUUUUGACAGCAAAUUGCUUAUAACAUUUUUUAUUAUAUAUCAUUAAUAUUUUUUUGCUGCAUUAUAAUAUAAAUGCUGCUAUUUUCCCAUAAAUAUUUUUUUAUUAGCAGUACUUUGUAGUAAAUACCGCUAUAAAUUCAUAUUUUACAACAUAUAAUUUAAAGGGUUAAAAAUUGGAAUUACUAUUAUGGUUCCUAACUAAUAAGCCAGUAAAUAAGAUCAUAAUUGGUGAGAUUUUAGAAAAUUGCCGCUAAACUUUAAAUUAUUAAUUUUUAUAAAAGUUUGGAUUUGGUCAUACUGAGGCCAUCAAAUUUGUUACGUACAUAUUGUUGUAGUCAUUCACAUGAUUGAAACCCUUUGUAGCGAAAAUGUUUAUAAGAAGUUAGUAUACCUUCUUAGUAUUACUCUAUACAGGUCACUGAUUCAAUCGGACUUGUGUUAAAAUAUUAACAAUCAAAAAUUAUUUAAAAUAAAAAAUAUAAUAUAAAAAUAUUAAAAUAAAAAUAGAUAAAAAAAUCAUGAACUAACUAUUCUUAAAGAGUUUGUAAAAAAAUUAUAUAUGAAUAUAGUCACAUGCAAAAGUUAAUUUUUAAAUAAUUUUAACAAUAAUUUUUUAAAAUAUCUUAAAGAAUAAAAUAAAGUCAGUUCAUUUUUAUUUUUUAAAAAAUAAAAAAUAAUGAUUAAAUUAUACAUCAAAUAAUUAUUUAAUGAUAUGAAUAAAUAUUCAUAAANNNNNNNNNNNNNNNNNNNNNNNNNNNNNNNNNNNNNNNNNNNNNNNNNNNNNNNNNNNNNNNNNNNNNNNNNNNNNNNNNNNNNNNNNNNNNNNNNNNNNNNNNNNNNNNNNNNNNNNNNNNNNNNNNNNNNNNNNNNNNNNNNNNNNNNNNNNNNNNNNNNNNNNNNNNNNNNNNNNNNNNNNNNNNNNNNNNNNNNNNNNNNNNNNNNNNNNNNNNNNNNNNNNNNNNNNNNNNNNNNNNNNNNNNNNNNNNNNNNNNNNNNNNNNNNNNNNNNNNNNNNNNNNNNNNNNNNNNNNNNNNNNNNNNNNNNNNNNNNNNNNNNNNNNNNNNNNNNNNNNNNNNNNNNNNNNNNNNNNNNNNNNNNNNNNNNNNNNNNNNNNNNNNNNNNNNNNNNNNNNUGUAGCAAAUAAUCAAUAUUUUUUUAAAGUUUAUGCAAUGUCAUUAGGUUGUAUGGAUUAAAUGAGCAAAAAUUUUUUUUUAUUUUUUUAUAAUUUUUUUAUUUUUAUUUAUUUAUUUAUUUUUUUAUAUAGCAAUAACUUGAAUGUAAACUAAACACAAUUCUUAUGCGUCAGUCAAUCUCCGAAUGCCCGUUGAAUAAGCUCUGGAGAUUACUCCGUGAGGAGUCCCGAUAGAGGUAUGAUAACCUCGGGGGAUUGCACCUUAUCAAUUACUAGCAAAAAUAAUAUAGAAUUUUUUUUUAAUAUUUUUUUGAUUUAAUUAAAAGAUUUUUUUCUUUUUAAACUUCAAAUUUCGAAUCUCAGAAUUCAAAUUUUGAAUUUAAAAUUUUUUUGAAUUUUUGAAAUUUUUUUUUUAAUUUUAAUUUUUUUUUGAAUUUUAAAUUUCGAAUUUCAAAUUUCAGAAUUUAAUAACUACGAAAUUAUUAAAUAGAAAUUAUCAAAAUAAGAAAAAUUAAUAAAAAUAAAAAUAAAAACUUACUACCGGAGUACGUUCACUCCGGGCAUCCAAAAUUUGAUUUGAUCUUCGUGAUCGUUCUUGCUUCUCGAUUUGCCUCCCCGGUAAUGGCGCCAAAAUUCUGUUCGUCCGAUUCCUGUUUAACUAAAAAUANNNNNNNNNNNNNNNNNNNNAUUAUUAUUUUUUAUUUUUGAAAUAUAUUUUUAUGGUUUUAUAAAAAUGAAGGUUGCUCCUAAUGUUUCCAAAAAUAAGAAAUUUAUGAUUAGAGAUGGCAAUAAGUCGGAUAUGAGUCAGGAUAGGCUAUUACUCGUAUGUGCUCUAUAGCUCUCUGAAAAAGGGCAGGAUGAGGUAAGUAAGUUAGACGGAUAAGAUCAAAUAAAGCUACAAAAGUUACUUUUUUUUAUAUAAAUCAAACAAAUAAAAAAAGAAUGUAUAAAUAAAUCUUGACACUUCAUAAAAUAUUAAACAAAAUAAGAGUUGAAAAUGUACAACAUAACAAAUCACAUUUUCAACAAUAACUAAAAUAUAACAAAUAAAAAUAUCGAUUUUUAGAAGGUUAAAUAUUAUUUCAGCUAAAAAAUGCAAUCAACUAAAAAAAGGAAUGACUAAGCAUCAUGAUAUGCAACCUUUGGCAUAUUCAAUCUCUCGUGCGAGUUAAGCAAUUAGGGCAAAGAUUAGGGAAGAGGAUCUGUGAAAAGUUAUAUAUAUUCAAGUCGAGUUUGAGAUGUGUUUUAUAUUCAGUUCCGCUGCAAGUCGGAUAAAACCCAUCUUAUUAGAGUGAGGUCGAGCCAAAUACCCAAUGGAGUGAAUUAAAUUGCUACUCUUACUUAUGAUUUUUAUCAUCAUUACCAGCAUAGCCUCCACCACCACAACCACCAUCUUAGCUAGCGAUGCCAUCGCUGCUGUCAUCCUUAUCACCAUCAUCAUUACUAUUACUAUCACUAUAUCACCAUCACUAUCAUGAUUAUCCGUAUCUCUAUCACGCUAUUAAUAUCUUAAUUGUAAUCCCUACCCUCACCCUCGUAACUAUAACUAUUAUCAUCAGCACCACCACCACUGCCCUGCCUCCAACAUACUACCACAUCAUCAUUGUCGCCAUGAUACAACCAUGAUACUUGCUGCUAAUAUCAUCUCCAUUACAUUCGCUGCAAUACCAUGGUGCCGAUUACAAUCGAAAUAUUUAUUUUUGAAAAAUCGAGAUAUCUAAAUUACGAAUACCUAAACCAGACGGUCAUGAUCAUCCGACCCGAAGUAACUCCCUGCGCUUGCUGCCGGCAAAACAGCGCAGUCCUCAUCACGCGAGAAGUACCGGCCGCCGGUCAAAAUUCUCGGCAGCAACCGGACGGCGUCUCCCCCACCUUUCACUUAUAACACUACUUCGAGGACACCGACGAGUUUCAUGACUACGUGUCUUCAAUUGAUUCGCACGUCACGACAAUCAUCAUUUUCGCCGGUUCCGUCCUGUGACGUUGCAUGCCAGCUGCGAAGAUAUUUUUGUACAAGAAUUGGGCCCCGUAGAUGUGCUUGUCUGGUGCCGGAGAUCACGAUUGGAUCGCCAACAACGGAAUGUAUAGUAAAAGAAUUAAAAAGAAUUCAUAAGAAUAAUUAAAUUUUUAAUUUUAUUUAAAAUUCUCUUCUCUUUCUCCUCCGUGUUCGUCCCCCCAUCAUUCUUCCGCACUCGGGCCCUCGCCUAUAUAUACCUACUCAUGUCGGUCCUCCUUCUCUCCUUCCCCUCUUUCCUCUUUGGUUCUGAAGACUCCCCUCCACCAUCCCCGCCGCCCACCCCGUCUUUUUCUCUCUUUCACGUCUCGCCCUUCUCCUUGGCUGAAUCUCUAUCUCUAUCUGGUUGCCUCGUUGAUGGCCGUGACGAGCCAAGCGAGCCUGCUCCUCGCGAAGCAGCUGAAAGGUGCGGAUCUGAUCGUUUCUGCAUCGAUUCUGAUCGAGUCUAGGGAUUUUCUUGUUUGUAGGAAUCUUGGAAGGGAUCGAUGGGAUGAAAUUAUUUUCUUUUUGUUGUUGUUGAUGUUGAUGGAUCAGAUCUUACCAAAAAUCCCGUAGACGGAUUCUCGGCCGGCCUGGUCGAUGAUAGCAAUAUUUUCGAGUGGAACGUGACGAUCAUCGGUCCCCCUGAUACACUCUAGUGAGUAGUUGCCUCUCACCUCGCGUAUUCACGGCUUUCUUCUCUUCUUUCUGUUGCUGUUCUCUCUUCUUUUUUGUUAUUGUGAAUUCUCUUGGGGGAAAUGCGAACUUUUGUGUUGUUUUGGCUAGUUGAUGGUUUGGACUGCUUGAAAAUUGGAAUUUUCUGUCAGGCCAGGGGUGGUUUGGGUUGUAAAGUUAGGGUCUUUAUUUGAUUUCAUGGGUAUUUGCAUGCUCCGAGCAUGGAAAGAUUAGAUCUUUGCUGAUGAAACCUUUAUUUGUUGAUUUACUCUAAUAAGAUUUUGGUUCUUCAAUAUCAAAACCAAUCUGUCAGAGAAUUUUCUAUGUCUGAGUUUUGCAGUGUGGUUGAUAAAUUUACAUAUAUACCCAUGAUGUUUGAGAACGUGGCUCUUCAUAGGAACCAAUAGGAAAGCAAGAUCUUUAAGGCUAACCCUAAGCUGAUGAGUUUGGGCUUUUGAUUAUGCCGUAGGCUCUGAGUGGGAACUGUAUGACCAUCUGCUAAAUUUUGUUUGAUCGUUUGUAACUGCACAAAAAUGCUUUGUUGACAAUUGUUGCGGUUAUCUUGAUGGCAGCAUUGGAUAAGAAACGAAUGGUCAAGUGGGAUCAUCAUGCCUGCCUGCCUGUUGACAGAAUAAUGCCUGUGUAUGUCUAUGAUAAUGCUGUUAUAUGUUUGCACUGUGGCCAAUGUAUUGGAACUUGUAAAUUUUCUGAGUUCAAAACUGUUGCAGGGGCUUCUGCUCAUGCAGCUUAUUUCCAUGUUCUUUGAUGACGAUCUGUUAGUGAAUGUAGGAAUUGGGGAAAGAAAUUUACUGUAGAUGUAGGAGAGAAUGUCAAACUGUUACAUAGUGGAUUAAAUAUCAUCAUUUUCAGUGCGUCAAAGUCAUGAGUAGUUUUUAGAUUUUUGUAAAUUCCCUUUUUCUUUUUUUGUGGGGCUAAUCCUUGUUCAAUCUUGCAGCGAUGGUGGCUAUUUUAAUGCAAUUAUGAGCUUUCCUGCCAACUAUCCCAAUAGCCCUCCAACAGUUAGAUUUACAUCAGAGAUGUGGCAUCCAAAUGGUUAGUUUCUAAAGCAUGUUUCCCUAAAUCAUAUCUCAUUUAGCUUACCAUGUGAAACAAUAUAUAAGAAUGCCUUGUUUCUUAUUGCAACUUCAGUUUAUCCUGAUGGACGUGUUUGCAUAUCAAUUCUUCAUCCACCUGGGGAAGACCCAAACGGAUAUGAGCUUGCAAGUGAGCGUUGGACACCGGUGCAUACGGUAUGACUUCACACGUUGUAAUGCUGUAUGCUCCUCCUCUUUAUAUCGAUUUUUUCCUUUUCCAUUUGGUUCUUAUUAAGAAUGAGGAUGAUGCAAAUAGUAUUUUAUAUUUGUGUUCAUUUUUUAUAUUGAACAAAUAUCCAGUUUUACUGUCACAUAAAUUCUAAAUGCUGCUAGUUAUAGUUGAUGUUGAAAAUUUUAUGUGGUCAAAUAAUCUUCCUUGUUUCUUCUUAAGAGCUUAACCAGAAAUCUACUUACUGUUGUUCUUACAAUUUGGAAUGGAUGGGUAGCUCAAAGUCCUUCGUUUCCACCUAAUAUUUUUGUUAUCUUGGAUGCUAGCUUGUAAUUAUAUUCCUAAUGCUUAUAUUAUUUAUCUGUAUUCUUUUAUCUAAACAGAUUAGGGGCCAUUUAUGGCCAUUAUUCUCACACGAUCUGGUCAUUUUCAAUCUCAAAAUAUUUGGAACUAUAAUGUAAGUUGAAUUUAGAGAUAUAAGUAUCACUUCACAAGGAUCAGUAAUUUCAUCUAUACUACCUUUACAAACAUUUUCUCUUUAUUUGAUACAGCAAUGAAGGAUUAUGUUGUAACAUUCAUCUUUUGGAUAAUAAGGUGUCUAUUUAAUGGAUGAUGGGUCAAACCUCUUUUCUGGUCAUUUUAAACACCUUCUGUAAUUUGUUUUUUGGAGUUUUUAUAUCAUCUAGCAUACAUUUUGCCAUAGGAAUCUCAUAGAUUGUUAACUAGCAGAAGAAACUUGAGGCUUGUUCAAACUUAUGAAGGUAACCCAAAGUGAUUUUUCAAAUGUUGAAACAAUGAAAAAUAUUGAAGAAUUAUGGCAUAUUAAAUAAACUUAUUUUAAGGCUCCAUCACAUUUUUUUUUAAAACUCAAAGUUUUCUUAUAUAAGGAACAAGGUUCUUUAAAUUCUUGAUUUCAUUUCUAGUAGUUGUCUUAAUUUAUAUAAGCACAUUUUAACAUACACAAGUCGAUCAAUUUGUGUUGAUCAAUGAUAAGUUAUAUGUGGUUGUUGGUUAAUGUUAUGCAAAUUGGCUGGUGUUAAUGCUUCUAUUUUAUAAUUGUAAUUUUCUUUUAUGUAUUUGACCUGAUUUGAGCCACAAAUAACUAUAUAUAUCAAUAAAGUAAUUCUUGAACCCAAUUCAACUUGACCUGGAGGGAAGUUGAUUCAUCUUGGAUUUAUGUUAUUCAAAUAUGGAUUAGGCUUGGAUUGUGCUGAAAGGACAUCCAACUUGACCUGCUUGCAGCACUAAUUAAGUCACAGAGGCAUUGAACUUCCUUGGAGAAAGUUUUGUGUGACGGACCAUGACUUUAGUAGUUUUUAGGAAAAUAAUCCUAUGAUAAAAUAAGUUGAGGAGUUAUUUUUGAUGUUUGGGUUCAGUAUUCUCUGCAGGAUUGCCAGCUUCAUUUUCUUCAUUUUACUUAUUAUGGUUUGCCUAUACUGCUUCGUUGACUUUAAGGGAUUUACAUUCUGCUAUAUUCGCAUAUGUAUUUUGGAUUUACAUUGUGGAAUAUUUGCAUAACUAUUUAUGAUUGUAAUCAUCUGAAGGUGUAAAUUCUUCAUUUGUAUUCGAAGUUUUCUUUAUAUAUUUUUUAGUUGGAGCAUGUUACUUCCAUCAUAAUUGUGGGAUACAUGAAAUAUACAGGUUGAGAGCAUUGUACUGAGUAUCAUCUCCAUGCUUUCUAGUCCUAAUGAUGAAUCUCCUGCUAAUGUUGAAGCUGCUGUAAGUGAAAAAUUUGUCAUUUUUUUAAGACACUGUUUGUUUCACUUUAUUGAUCAUCAUGCAUUUAUCCAUCUACGGAAACCGAUCUGUGGGUUGCAAGCCAAUGACAACUGCAAGAAGCAGUUGUCAUAGAAAAUUGUUGUAUUAAGUUAUAUUGAAUUUUUUUAUCUUUUAUGUAUAUUCUAAAUUUUGUGAUCCAUUUAGAUCUCAUCUAUUUACAUAUGGUGUCUAAUAUGUUGUAUAGUUUGUCUUCUUGGAUAUACUCUGAAGUUGCUUUAAUAAGAAAAUUUGAACAAAUAUCAUUGUAACAUGUGAAAUAACAAUAACAUCGAUUGGUUUACUUAUUCAUAUGAAAUCGUCCAACAUAUUUUAUCAUUUGAAUUGGAAUUAUGAAUAUACUAGCUAAUUAAAUAUGAAGAUCCAAAAGCCAAAAGUCUAGUGCAUAAAAAUUUGUCACUAAAUAUUAUUCUUAAGUGUGGACAUUUGUAGAAAUUUGUGACUUGAAGUUCUUAACCAUGGACGGAGAAGCAACACUCUGUAUUUAUAAGUUGCAUCUCUGUUUAUGUCAGUGGCAAUGGAAUUGCAGAAGUUGUGUGAACCAUUUUUUUUUAGAUCUGACUACAUUGGUCUUGCCUAAGCUUGACCAAUGGUCAAUAAUUCAUUCACACAUCGAUUAUCAAUGACGAUGGUUUUAUUCUUGGAGGUUUGUUUGUCCUGAAAUGUGAAGACGUUGACUAAUAACUCCCUCGUCUUGUGGUUUUGUUCUAAUGUUGCAAGGAAGUUGGCACCAAAACUCAGCAGUUUGGUUGUAAUUCAAGAUGACAAUGCAUAUAGGACUGUUAUUUUCCUUCGUUUCUCCCCCUCUAUAUUUGGUUGUUUGGCUACAUGUCUGAAGACUGAAAUGUAUACGUUGGUCAUUUGCUUGGUGCUGCUGCUAUUCUAGAUUGGUGUUAGGGAGAAGAGGGGAGGGUGUGCUCGGGUUGUCCUUCUACUACUGUGCGUCAUGAUGCUUAUGAUACUACGAAUCACUAUUUAGAUAAUAAUACAUGAAGGUUGGUGAUGCAUCGUGGUAAGGACCUAAUGUAAAAACUGCGGAAUGCAUGUGUAUUAGAGCCGAUGAUUUAAAUACCAUCAGUUAGGUAUGGUAUCAGCGUGCUGUACUACUUCGACAAAAAAGGGUACUGGUAUGGGUGUGAGCCACUCUCUUAACUGGUCCAUACCGAUUGUGUACUGUUAGUACCAACCAUACUGAUUGUUUUUCAUUAUUGUUGAUACUGAAUGCGUUGGUUUAUCCCAAAUGUACUAGUACUGUAUUGUUUUGGGAAAAAAAAUAUUAAAGAGCUCGGUACCAGCAUCCAACCUCUUGAUUAGAGCACGUGUUAUGUGAUAAAAUGUACAGGAAAAGGGAACGAACAUAAAUUUGGACCAGGAGGUAAGAAAAACAUAUGAUGUUGAUGCAUCAGAGCAAGCUUUAUAAGGAGGGCAAAAUUUAUCAGCAUUUCCAUGCAUGUAGAAGCAUGUGAUAUUUGGUUGUUUGUGUGCAAUUUCAUGUUCGAGUACUCACAUGAGAUGAGUCCAGUAAGUUAAUAUCUUGCAGAUACAUUCUUAGUAAAAUUUUUAUACUGAAAGCGCCAUUAUUGUUUCAUGGAAAGUUCACUCAAAUAAAUAUUCUGAGAGUAUGUUAGUAUGGAUUUUUAAAAAUGUGUACAAAGCUCUUUGUUCACCUCUCCCAUACUUUCUCUAAUCUGUUUCUUUCCGAACUCUAUAGAUCGGUUUCACCCAGAUGGUCAACAAAUCUCAAAAUUUUGUUUCUAAAUGUGUAUUUGCACUUUCCCAUAUACUAGUGAUCUAUGAUAAAAGGAGUAUUAGUUUGAAUUUCAAAUCAACCAUAAAGGAUAAAAAAUAAUACAUUUUAAAGGCUGAAAAACAGAAACCUUAUUGACAAGUGACCCUUAAUCAUUGGGUUGCACAUUCAUUAGAAAUUCUGGAAAUUAUAAAGUGAGUUCUUUGUGCUGGUUAAUGGAACUACUAAGACUACUCUUGGGGGAAGCUUUUUUCUCUCUCUUUUUUUGUGCAGGGUUUUGUUGGGGGGGGGGGUGGUCAGUUGGACACAAAGAUCGCCUUUGGUAACGGAAUUGCAGUUAUAACAAAACUAGAAAUUAACUAUUAAAGUAUGCUGAAAAUCAAACUUGUGAUAAAAAUAAAAUAAUGGAUUUGCUCCUAAUAAGGAAGAUCAAAAGUUUAAUGCUAUAUACAAAUCGAUCUUGACCAAAUUUUGACUGAACAAUACAUUUUACUUAGGGAUGGAAGUGGGCAUCAGCCAAGAAGCUGAUUGAAUUUGGUUUUGGGUCAGAUUUGUAUCUGUUUGGUUGGGCAUAAAAUCUAAAGACCUUAACGGGAUAGGGUUUGGGCAGCCUUUAGCUUGGCUUGAAGCUUGAAUAAAUUAAAUAAUAUUGUAUUAUUAUUAUAUGUUAGUCAGUUUUCAAUUUUUGAUUCAUCACUAGGAUUAGUUUGUCAUUGCUAGAAGCAAAACUCUAGAACUAUCUAUUCCUUUUCCUACUUUCUUGGUCAUUCUCCAUUCAAUUGCUCCUCCUUUCUUCUUUACUUUGGCAUGGUGGUGUGAGGCCUUUGGUUCCUCUUUAAGUUUCAAAGUUGGCGCAGCGACUUCAUCCCUUUUAAUCUCCCCUUCAUGGCUGCCAGUCUUCUCCUCUUACGUCCAAUGCAGCAUUGAGGCUUCCAUUCCUCUCCUCGAGUCUCAAAGUUGGUGCUAGUGAGCUCCUACCUUGUGAUAACCCUGCAAUGGUGGCUGCUGCUCCAUUUGUCUCACUUUUGACUUUCGUUGCCUGAGGCUUUCCCUCUUCCUAUUUCUUAUUGUUGUCCUCAUUCUUCCAUCCAAAGUGUUUAAACCUUUCUCCAACUAGAAGUAAAAAAGUAUGGAGGACAAUUUAGCCUCCCAAUUCUAACAUCGGGUGAUAGGAAGAGAUGGCACCCUUCACCCUUUAUUUUUCUUACUCUAGGGCUUGCAGUAUUUCUUAUUUUGCUCAUAGAAUAAACUUAGGUGAAGACUGAUAGUUUAACACUGCUUGGUAACUGGUGAGACAUAGGAGGGUGGAUCCUGUGACAUUAUUUCUACCCAGAGCCCGAGGGAAAGCGGCCAUCAGGCUUUGUGAAGGGUGGACCAGAUAUAUGCAUAUUCUUGUUAGAUGCAAAUAUUCAUACAGAUUCAUAUGUAUCUUGAAAUUCUUGUUCAUACUUGGUGUUUGCGAAUUCGAUCAAUAACCACAACCAGUAGCUGCUUGGUUCUUAGAAUUGUAAAAGUAUAACCAUAUACAUAUAUGACUCUGGUAUAUAUUCAGUUGAAAUAUAAUACAAGCAUCGUACCUGUUCAAAUAAACCCUAUCUGAAUCAUUUGUCAUUGAGAUCCUCUUAUGGACUUGCCUUUGUUCUCCAACUGGAUUACAACUAGUUCCUGUGACAAUGGACCCGAGUCCUAACUGGUUGUGAUUAAAAGUGAUUUGAGAUGUCUAGAAGAUUUUUGAGCCACAAACUUGACCACUUCAAAUACAAAAUUGGAAUUAUUCUAUGCUCUAAUUUAAAUGUGUAACCAUUUCAGGAUUAGGUGGGGUUCUCCACUUUAUGCAAGUUGGGUUUAGUCUUUUCCCAGGUCCAAUUGUAGAUUCUAUGCAAAUUGAGAUCAGACUUGUCCAAAUUGUACCUCAAUAGUCCUUUCUCUUGAUUUUUCUCUUCUUGCUAACCAAAGUUUGCUUUUUGUAACAUGUGUUCAGCAAACACUAAAGCCGUGCCCUUCUCCCCCCCAAUGGAAGUGCUAACACAGUCCAAGAGAGACUAUUGAUUGCCUAUGUUGCUUGAAAGUUGAUUCUGAGUUGGUCGGAUGUGUUAUCUUAGGUAUCUGGUGGAUCCUGGGUUGCGAGCUGCACAAACUAUGCUCUGUGGUCAAGGAAUUUGGUUCAUGAGAGGGGAUCUAAUUGUGAAUUCUAUUUAUUUCAUAUUGCUGCAGCAGUUAUGAUGCCAGUAAGACAUGAUAUUUGAAUUGUUUGACCACUGCUGGCAUUCGCUGCUGCUACCAAAGACUGGGUUGUAAAAGUGACCCCAGCCAGCUGAUGUCCAAAAUGCUCUAUACACACUUUGCAGUCCAUGAAGCCCAUGGACAUUUUCAGAAUUUUUGAAGCUUUGAGAUAAUGUCUUAGCUAAGAAGUAACUGAAUUAAACUAUUCUAGUUUAUGUGCAAGGUGUUGCUUGUUCUGCAAAAGUUUUAAUUAGUCAAUAGUUCAAGUAAUAUCCAGAUUUUUAUUUGCUUAUAUGCAGUUUUGCCUAAUACAUGGUCCACUUAUCUGGCGGAAGGACAUGAGCACGCGGGCCCAUGAGCUUUUACCUAACUGGUUCCCUCUCUUAUCGCCCAAGCAACAUGUACAGGGCUGACAGGCCCUGGAACCUGACUCUAGUCCAUUUGCCCAUAAACUGAUUUCAAAUUAUAUAUAAAAUUGAUCCGCUUUUGGGGGAAUAUGAGUCAAAGAAAUAACAAGAAUAUUUCUAGUAGAACAUCUUUCACAAUUCUUGGAGUGAUGAUGGUUCUCCAAUAGACUGAGGGAUAAGUAAUUCGACUCAUUAUGUGCCACCAAAUUAUAAUUGCUAGGUUUUCUUAGUUUCUGUUUACAUGGAAAAGAAUAUUAAUUAUUAAACUGUUCUCUUUGUUUUUUAAUGAAGUUUUUAGUUAAAUUUUAUUGAUUGUUGGUGAGAAUAUGAUGCUCCAUGAUCUAUUAAUACUGGCAACAAAAAAAAAGGCCAAAUUACUUGUUAUUUUAUAACUUAAAUGCUAAAUGAUACUCUUAGAUUUUUCGUCAUAUUGUGGUGUAGGACACUAUAUUACCUUCCUCCUAAAAUUAAUUCUAGAAUGAUGCUGCUGUGUUGCCCUACUAAAAUUUUGGUCGGUGUUUCCCAUUACUCAAAUAUCCGUUUCUGUACAAGUGAACUACAUAGAGUACGUAGAAUAUCUAGCCUGCAGAUUUUCUUGUUCUGCAUGCACAAUAUAGCAUUGAUCUAUGACAGGUAUGCUUAUAAACAUGAUGAGGUUGAAGUGGAAUGACUAAAUCAUAGGUGAACUGAUUGUGAAAUUUUAACACCUUUGGGUUUUGCAUAUACGCUUUGAGCAAAGUGUGUAAAAAUAUUGUUCUGUAUGCCAAGGGUUUUUCCUUCUGAAAAUCUGGCAACAGUUAAGAGUAUGGAUAUUCCCCCACCACUACAGCAUUGAUUAAAUUUAAGUUACAUGAUAACUUCAAGUUUCGUGGUCAGGUAAGUCUUAGCAUAUGGUUUUAGUAUUGAAAUUUGAUUUGUUGAUGCUUGUUUGGAGGGCUGUCGUUAAGAUGCCAUGCUCCAGUAUGUUUUGAGCUCUCGAUUUGCUUGUCUUCCUUUCUUAUAUCAGUGUCAUAUUUUUCAUUAAGACUGGUCCAAUCUGGGGUAGCCUCUGAAUUUUGUCAGAGAAACUUGAUCUGAUGCAAAUUUACUUAAAUUGCGAUGCAGAAGGAAUGGAGGGAGAUGAGGGAUGCAUUUAAGAAGAAAGUCAGCCGCAUUGUCAGAAGAUCCCAAGAAAUGUUGUAAGAGCUCGAAAGAGUGGCACCUUGUAGGAGAUAAAAAGUGACUGCCUAGAUUCAUACCUGUCUUGGUGCAACUCUUAUGGUAUGGAAGAGAUCAAGGGUCUGCUGCAUAUCCAGUUGUAGUCUCUUACAGCCCUUUUAGAUUUUUUCCAUCGUCUUCCACUGGUGGUCUCGUUUUUGUCUAGCAAGAAACUGGGAUUGAACGUUACAUGGAUGUUUGCGUAUUUAUCGUGGGUUUGGUGAGUUUCGAGUAUCUUGGACUGUUUUCAUUAUUCUACGGGACACAUCUCACUAGUCUAACCCUUUUCUUUCUGUAAAUUACGAACCUUGCAGUUUAGCGAAGUUGAGCCGCGUUUAUGUUUUAUUAGUUUCUCCGUGGCAUUUGACUGCAUAUACCGAUUGCAAUUCUUUCUCUAAACAUGUCUUCAUGUGUCGUUGUGUAGGGGUUUGAACUGUUUAACUUCUAUAUUUAUAACAUAGAAGAUGCUUUCACGUAUUGUGGUUAUGGUUAAUUGUUUGCUGCAAUACCAUGCUUGUGAUAUAAAAAGCAUUCGGAUUAUUUAGCAUCAUCUUGCUCUUUUAAGGGUUGUCAGGUUAUCCAGUUUUACUUAAAGGUGUUCUCAUUAAGUUUCAAAACGAGUGAGUUUUACGAAACUAUCUGUCGGCUUUUCAUAAAAUCUGUUCUCGAAAUUCUGACAUCAUAAAAUCUGAAUAUAGAGUUCUAGGAUAAACAAACGAAUGAUUUCUCGUGGCCUCUAAAGACUCUCCCAUCCGCCUCUGAGCUCCGCCGUGGGGACACAUCGGUGAAUGAGAAAACCAGCUCCCGCUGGUUUAUCGUUGCACCCACGUUCAAUACCAUGAGAUGCUACGGGGGAAAAGCUUCAUUGCACUUUUCGCUACAAGGAGCACCUCCUGUAUGGUAAUCGGUGGUUGGUUGUACAGUCUACGGGGUUUUCACCCACCCACAAUUNNNNNNNNNNNNNNNNNNNNNNNNNNNNNNNNNNNNNNNNNNNNNNNNNNNNNNNNNNNNNNNNNNNNNNNNNNNNNNNNNNNNNNNNNNNNNNNNNNNNNNNNNNNNNNNNNNNNNNNNNNNNNNNNNNNNNNNNNNNNNNNNNNNNNNNNNNNNNNNNNNNNNNNNNNNNNNNNNNNNNNNNNNNNNNNNNNNNNNNNNNNNNNNNNNNNNNNNNNNNNNNNNNNNNNNNNNNNNNNNNNNNNNNNNNNNNNNNNNNNNNNNNNNNNNNNNNNNNNNNNNNNGUCCAUCCUCUUUGACACUAUCGUCGAAGUGCACCUUGAGAAAACUAGAGGAUGGGGGCUCGCAGGAUGUGAGCAAAAGCCUAGACGCUAUCAGAGCGUAGCGAGAGCUCCAGAUUUUUCUAGCCAACUCAAGAGACGACGACGCAGUAGUAUCAAGAAUCUUCGCUGCAUGAAGUAGAGCCUUAUCUGCCACCACUCUCGGAAGAGCACCUCUGUCCUCAAAUAUGUUAGCAAUCCUAUCUAGCCAACAAUGAUAGGCUAAAUAGGUUGCCUGAAUCCUCUGCUCCAUGAGUCCAGGUCUUUGAGAGAACUCUGCCAAGAAGACCAAGAAAUCCUCCGUCGAUGACCAUCCUCGAUGCAGGCCAAUGAAAGCCGACAUGCACUCCUAGAUCCGAAUAGUCUUCUGGUAGCCGAACAAAGUAUGGUAGAUAGACUCCUCCGCUACCUGAUAGGCUCAGCAUCCCAUAGGGAUGUUCACCCCCCACCGGGCUAACACUCUCCUGGUGGGCAGACACCCCCGGGCAAGCUUCCAGACGAAUAGAGCCACUCGAGGGUGGAUGUGUAGCCUCCAAAUUCAUCUCCCCUCAAUCUGUCGUGCUGCAGUCCUUUUGACCAGCCCGAGAAGAUCCUGAGUCCGCACCUCUGAACUUCCAGUACCGCCACUACUAACAUUGUGAGGUUAAGCAGCCACAGGAGUCUCAUAAGUUUGAUUAUAUGCAGCAAUUUAGUACUUUACUCAAAAAGGCUAGCCGAAAGAUAUUGUUGGAUUUUUCAGCUCUAUCUAAUGUAUAGAACGUCAAACUAAACACGUGUUGGUACAGGUUUUCUCAUACUUCCUCUCAUUUAAGCAAUGACAUCCUCAUCGAAUUAAACGUCUAGAUCCAUUCAAAUCCAAUGGCAUCCUUGUCGGAUUAAAGAUUUAAAUCCAUUCAGAUCCAAUUACAAGUACGACAAAUCCAAUCAUAAAUACCAUGAUCAGUUCGUAGUUAACUAAAUGGGCCUGCACCGUAUUAUCUCCUAGUUUAUACGGGCUACGAGCCAAGUUUGUUUUGAUACUAUUUGUCAAAAUUAGCCGGAAGAUGUUAUUGGAUUUCUUGACUUUGUAUGAGUAUCCAAGAUAUGCUUAGUUCUUAGUGUGGGUUCUUGCACCAUGGAUCCAGAGUUUAGAUAAAUCAAGACUUCUACGCUCAUACAAAGUAAUUCGGGGCUCUUGACUGGUUAUCAUACCGAAUUUGUUUCUAACGGAAGGACCCUAUUCAGUAUUUCCUCCCACGUCUUCUGCAGAUAGAAACCUACCUUAAGGGUAAUAAGAGCAUCAAUUUGUCCCAGAUGUCCUCAGUAUGGCCUCCAGUCCCACUGGGCACACUUGAAACUUCAGACUAGCGGCAGCUCCUUCAACCUCAUAGACAACUCUGGUUACCGAUGCCAAUCCUCAUUCUGGGCCCCUGACCUGAAAGGAGUGCCAAAGAAUGGACCUCGUAGAAUUACUCUCAACUGUUAUGAGUAGAUCUACCUACAUGGAAAGUGAGACAGGAGUGUACCCCAAACCUCACUCACGGAGUUCCUGUCCUGGCCUCUACUUGAAUCCAAGAACCAAGGAAUACCAAAAGGAAAGCAAAAGACAGCGCAAGACCAAACCAGACCGGCUGCUGAACCCAGAAAGGGAGAGGUUGCAACUUGCAACUAAUCACCGGUUAUCUUUUCACCUGGUCAGCAGAUAAAUUUCCAAUCUUUCAUUCGACAUCUAAUCAACAAUUCUGUAUCGAAGACUCCAUCGGACUCAAUUGACUCAUAAAAAGUUACCUUAAAUGUCCUUUCAGAGUUAUUGGUAUAUUAACUAAUGAAUAGAAAAAUUAUAAUCCAAUUUCCUAAUGCAUAGAUAUUUUUCUUUUUAUUUUUUUCCCUGCAAAUAAACUCAGAUCCAUAGUUCUAAUCCAAUUUGAUGUGAUGUGAUAUAAUCUAAAUCAAAGCGUCAACCUUCUAGCCAGAGUUUUGAAUCAAAAAUUUCGGCUAAACUCUGACCUGUUUAACGUCCAGCGAGAAGAUUUGCUUCUCACUGCUAAAUUUCUGCGUCGGCUCCGUUUUCACCACCCCUUGCAGAAGAAAAGUAGGCAAGUGGGUCCGACGCUCGCCUCCUGGUUUUCUUUGUCUCCUUCCGCUGCGUUUUUACCCGCCUAAGUUGCCACCUCCAUUUCUUGCUCUCCCUUCCCGCUAACGCAGAAAGAAAAAGGAGCCGUUCCUCUUGCCAUCUGUCAUCUCGUGAUUCCGAGGAUGAUAAAAAAGAAGCCUCGCUUUGUGUCGCCUCGCCUUUCCCCUCUCGCCGUCUCCUUUUCUCUCUCAUGACACUUCUGCUCCCGCGAUGUCAUCCCCUCUCCGCAACGGCGACACCCCCCCUCCCCGCCUCCCCUCUCCCGCCGUCGGCCGCCACCACUUCCACUCCACCGUCUCGGAGAAGAAGAUCCGCCGCCUCAACGCCCUCAUCCUCCUCCUCCGCCUCGCUGCCUUCUGCUUCUCCCUCGCCGCCGCCAUCUUCAUGGCCACCAACUCCUCCCGCUCCCCCGGCUCCCACUCCUGGCUCCACUUUCACCCCUUCAGGUGAUAACAUAUCUCGCCUCCGCCCUUUCCCUUCCUCCAUAUCUACCGUCUCUACCAGCGCUGAGCUCCCGGCCUCCGAGGGGGUCCAAUCUGGAAUUUUGCAGGCUUGUGCUCGCGUCGAACGCCAUCGUGGCGGUCUAUUCCUUCUUCGAAAUGGUGUCUUCCAUCUGGGAGAUUCUGAAGGGUGUCACCCUCUUCCCCGAGCCCCUCCAGCUCUGGUUCGACUUCUCCCACGACCAGGUCGAUCCCUAUCUUCCGGAGACACUCUGGUUGUUUUCUAAUCAUUCUUUUCGAUCGAUUAAGCCCUCAUUCCUCUUAAAGAUUGGAUUUUUAUUUGGUUAAUUAGGUGUUCGCGUACUUGCUGCUGGCAGCGGAGGCGGCGGCGACGGUGGAGGCCCAGGGACUGAAGGGGGCCCACACGUGCUCGCCGGAGAGCGCGUUCUGCGUGCAGGCAUACAUCUCCGUGGCUCUCGGCUUCGCCGGAUUUGCGUUUCUCGCUCUCGCCGCGCUCGGAUCAGGCUUCCGCGUAGCCUGCUACGUAAUCACCGGCUCUCGCUUCCACCUCUAGACCGAAUAGGCCGAGAGAAGUUUCCCUGUUGCUUUUGUUUUUCUACUUUAAUAAAUAAUAAUUUUUGUAGAGUUUUUGUCCGAGUCCUUCCCGUCCAUCGUGCGGUUUGUGAUCGAUCCUUCGUCUGAAAGAUCAAGCGUCCGCGAAUCAUGGAUGCGUUUUCUAAAGUCAUUCGUCGUCAUCAUUCUGAUUCCUUUUAAAAAGAAUUACGGUUUCGCUUCCGCAAGUUUUAGCGAUUCCCACGGAUUCCUCAUGUUUAAAAGUUUUCAAAAUGGUCCUUCAAAUUUUCUAAAAUGGCCCUCCGGUGAUGAAGGCUGCAAUUGAGCAGCCCAGAGAAGGUAGGAAAAGUGAGCUCUCGGGACUAGGACUCAAAGAAAAACGGAGAAAUCUAUUGAAUUUAUUAGGAAUCCAUUAAGAAAAAUAUAAGGAUGGAAGCAAUGUAGGUAAGAAGAAAACAGAGCAUGUGGACUUUGGGGCGCCAUAACAAUCAUGGUAGCUCGAGAGGAUAAGAAAACAAAGCUUGGGGAAGUUAUUACGCAGAAAACAAAGCUAGUUGGGCGGCAGAUUAGGUAUCCUUUGUCGCUAACCAUUUUAAGACCAUUUAUGGAUAGAUAAGAUGGUGUUGUCUAGUGCUUUUCGAAAUAUAUUAUUUUUGAUUUUUUGAUUGUAUCCAUAUACAAGUUUGAUAUGAUACUUUCGUUCUAGUGUGCCNNNNNNNNNNNNNNNNNNNNNNUUCUUUUCAUUUUUCUCCCACUCUUAUUUCUUUAUUGCAAUGCCAGAGGCAUGGUAGUGAAUACAUUCAGAUUCCUGAAAUAUAUGGGGAAUGGUAGUGAACAUUUUGAUUCCUGGAGGAUUUUCAUAUCCAAGAGAAAUGGAGUUGAUACAAACUUAAUUGUUUGGUUCUGUUUUAACUUAGUCCAGGGCUUGGGGUUUCAAUUCCACACACUGCAACUGGCCCAGGGGAUGACAUGAUGGCAUAAGUGUUGUUGGGAUGAAACUAUGAUUUUAAUCCUUCAGAUAUCUGAACUCGCAUUGAUUGCAAUAAACUAAUGCUGAAGGCUCAGAGAAAUCUUUGCAGGUAGAUACAUUGUAAGUGCCUCUACAUGCAUAACCAUGCUUUUAGAAGUUGUUGUGUGGGUUGAGGCUGAGCCUUUUGUACCAAAAAGUCUGGAAUAUCUACGCAUCGAAUAAUCUCUUAGCAAUGACUGUGUCAUCCAUAUUCGGAGAACUAGAACUGUCUUUCGAUGAGUAAUUCCACCUAGAUCAACAGCUAUCUUAAAUAAGAUAAAGCGAAGGAUUCCCUCUAACAAGGUGUGCUAGUGGAACAAGAAUAUUUCAAUUUCUUAAAGGAUGUCAAUACAGAGUCUCUCCAAAUCAAGUAUAGUUAUUCAUCAAAGAAUAUCUGUUCUCAUCCUUGGUUUGAUCAAUGAAGUCGAGAGAGCAUUUAUGCCUUUGAUCAUUCGAAAUAUGGAUAUCGACACAAAAUCCCUUGACAUCCAAAUAUCACCACAUGCCACUGCCACAAACAAAAGGUGCUUUUUGCUAGAGAAAGUAAUGUAAACCAUAAGGUUAUGUGGAACCCAUGAUUGGCUAGAAGAAAGUACUUCUUGGUUCUAGAUUACAAGCAGAACCAUGCACUUAAGAUCCCAUUUAGAUUUAUACAUACAACAUGGUGCCAUCAUAAUCACAUUUUUGACAGGGUGACUACAUUCAAGUAGCCUUAUUCAGAUGACGCGAUCUCUGGUUUGGCAUAGAGACAUUAUUCUCUGCAUAAACAUAUAGUCUAUGGCUUGGCAUCUGCAUCCAUAUCACAUGCUUGGUUUGACAUUGAGGCGGUUUGCUACCUUCUGACCGAGCGAAACAUCACACUGCAACCAUGAAGCAAUAAUAAGCAAUCAAGGCAGGGAAAAUCCAGCAUGCUUGUUUAGAUCUGAUGAUUUUUUUCAGAUUUCAUUCNNN
Molecule: long non-coding RNA, 96158 nt
Filed under: Phoenix dactylifera (date palm)
Lineage: Eukaryota; Viridiplantae; Streptophyta; Magnoliopsida; Arecales; Arecaceae
Description: long non-coding RNA (PDAC_LNC004012)
Source: RNAcentral